This 163999-nucleotide long non-coding RNA is filed under the name Hordeum vulgare. RNAcentral's name for it is "long non-coding RNA (HVUL_LNC002874)". The record is from RNAcentral. Lineage: Eukaryota; Viridiplantae; Streptophyta; Magnoliopsida; Poales; Poaceae.
UCAACGUCGAGGAAAGUUAACCAUGGCCUCAUUCACUGGUUGAUUAGUCACCAUUCAUAGUACCAAACAGAAACAGCAGGCAUCAGCACAUCGUUUUUGGGCACACGGUAGAAAGUGAUGAGCGCCAAGUUGCAUCCUCUAUCACCCUGUCACUUUCAAUCAUUUCCAUAGACAGCGCUGCACACAUAUGGAGUGAGAGUUAGAUGGCGUGUCGCGUCAGAGUAUCACAAUGUAUGCUUAUUUGUACAGGCAGGGAUUCAGGAUGGAAACUUUCAACCGCCAUCAGUUCGGCACCAGUGCGAGUGUAACACACACUAAACUUGUCGAUUAUUAGGUCUUAUUACCGUACUUGUGUGCGUACGUACGAGAAUCAGCCGGAAGAGAUCCAUGCAUGAACUUAUUAUCAGAAGGAGGGAUGUGGGAGAAAGGGAUCACCUUCGAGGACUUUACUCUCGACAUGGACCUCCGGAGCAGCACGCCGGCUGCCUCCACCUGCGCCGGCGUAUUGGGCGCGGACGCAUGCGCCGCCACCGAGUCCUGCGAGAAGGCGUUCGCUGGCGCAGUCGUCCCGGUCAGCGGCGAUGGCGAGGAGGUGCGCGCAUAUGCCAUUGCCUAUUGCCCUAUUGGCCUUCCUCCACAUCUCCUCCAUGAGCGCCGGCACGGCAGAUUCGCCCCUGGGACCUCACAGAAGAUUGGGAUCGGGAGCAACGUGGGUGGGGGCUGGGACGUGGGUGCGUGGAUCGUUGGUCAUUUUUUCCGGCUGGUUUUUCAAGCCGAGAUAAGAGUGUUGGGGAACGUCGCAUGGGAAACAAAAUUUUCCUACGCGCACGAAGACCUAUCAUGGUGAUGUCCAUCUACGAGAGGGGAUGAGUGAUCUACGUACCCUUGUAGACCAUACAGCAGAAGCGUUAGAGAACGCGGUUGAUGUAGUGGAACGUCCUCACGUCCCUCGAUCCGCCCCGCGAACAAUCCCGCGAUCAGUCCCACGAUCUAGUACCGAACAGACGGCACCUCCGCGUUCAGCACACGUACAGCUCGACGAUGAUCUCGGCCUUCUUGAUCCAGCAAGAGAGACGGAGAGGUAGAAGAGUUCUCCGGCAGCGUGACGGCGUUCCGGAGGUUGGUGAUGAUCUCGUCUCAGCAGGGCUCCGCCCGAGCUCCGCAGAAACACGAUCUAGAGGAAAAACUAUGGAGGUAUGUGGUCGGGCAGCCGUGAGAAAGUCGUCUCAAAUCAGCCCUAAAACCUCUGUAUAUAUAGGUGGGAGGGAGGGGAGGAGGCAGCCUCAAAACCUAAAGGUUUGGCCGAAAUUGGAGGUGGAGGAGUCCUACUCCAAUCCUACUUGGAGUAGGAUUCCACCUUCCCACUUGGAAACUCUUUCCACCUUGUGUUUUUUCCUUCUCAAACCUUAUGGGCCUUAGUGGGAACUUAUUCCAGCCCACUAGGGGCUGGUUUAUCUCUUCCCAUAGCCCAUGAGACCCCUUGGGGCGUGACACCCCUCCCGAUGGUCCCCGGCACCCCUCCCGGCACUCCCGGUACACUACCGAUGAGCCCGAAACUUUUCCGGUAAUGCACGAAAACCUUCCGGUAACCAAAUGAGGUCAUCCUAUAUAUCAAUCUUCGUUUCCGGACCAUUCCGGAAACCCUCGUGACGUUCGUGAUCUCAUCCGGGACUCCGAACAACAUUCGGUAACCAACCAUAUAACUCAAAUACGCAUAAAACAACGUCGAACCUUAAGUGUGCAGACCCUGCGGGUUCGAGAACUAUGUAGACAUGACCCGAGAGACUCCUCGGCCAAUAUCCAAUAGCGGGACCUGGAUGCCCAUAUUGGAUCCUACACAUUCUACGAAGAUCUUAUCGUUUGAACCUCAGUGUCAAGGAUUCGUGUAAUCCCGUAUGUCAUUCCCUUUGUCCUUCGGUAUGUUACUUGCCCGAGAUUUGAUCGUCAGUAUCCGCAUACCUAUUUCAAUCUCGUUCACCGGCAAGUCUCUUUACUCGUUCCGUAAUACAAGAUCCCGCAACUUACACUAAGUUACAUUGCUUGCAAGGCUUGUGUGUGAUGUUGUAUUACCGAGUGGGCCCCGAGAUACCUCCCCGUCAUACGGAGUGACAAAUCCCAGUCUUGAUCCAUACUAACUCAACGAACACCUUCGGAGAUACCUGUAGAGCAUCUUUAUAGUCACCCAGUUACGUUGUGACGUUUGAUACACACAAAGCAUUCCUUCGGUGUUCGUGAGUUAUAUGAUCUCAUGGUCAUAGGAACAAAUACUUGACACGCAGAAAACAGUAGCAACAAAAUGACACGAUCAACAUGCUACGUCUAUUAGUUUGGGUCUAGUCCAUCACAUGAUUCUCCUAAUGAUGUGAUCCCGUUAUCAAGUGACAACACUUGCCUAUGGCCAGGAAACCUUGACCAUCUUUGAUCAACGAGCUAGUCAACUAGAGGCUUACUAGGGACAGUGUUUUGUCUAUGUAUCCACACAAGUAUUGUGUUUCCAAUCAAUACAAUUAUAGCAUGGAUAAUAAACGAUUAUCAUGAACUAAGAAAUAUAAUAAUAACUAAUUUAUUAUUGCCUCUAGGGCAUAUUUCCAACAAAGAGGACCCGAGAGGGGUUUUUAUUGAACUAAUCGGUUGGUUUAUCGCCUGGUUUAUGGAGGGAUUGAAAAAAUCGGUGAAAGGGUGGAAAGGCUAGCGGUAGGAGGUCGAACCAUCGUACGAGGUUGAACCAUCACGAUGGCAGAUCCCCUUUAAUAGUAGAGAUUGCUACGCAACACGGAAAAAGAAAUAAAAGAAAGGGGGCGCCGAUGGGAUUAAAACCCAUGACCACGGGGUCGAGGCACAUUGCUGGAACCGUUGGGCUAGGAGGGGUGAUCUGAACAAAAAUGGGGUCUUGCUCUUUUGAGCAGGCCCCUCUGCGCUACACUGCUGCUCCGGCGACCGAAACAGAGGCGAUCGCCGGUGAGCACACGGGCCACCAACGGUGGGGAUGAUCACCGACUUGGGUUGCGGGUCCAAGGGGGUUCCAUUCCCAAGGCUAGCGCGGGGAAAUAUGCGCGCUUGGCACUGCUGCUGCUGCCACUGCUAGCUCGUGCUCCUACCGGCGCAACUCCGGAAGGGCAUCUGCCUCGACUAGCUACGACGCAGCUAAUAGAGAGGGGGAGCGGAGGAGAGCGGCGUUGCGGCUCAUCUAGGGGCAGAGGUGACAAUCCGACGCAGGAGAGGAGGGAGGACGACGAGUCGAAGUAGAAGAAGCUUGCCGGAGGGAGAGGAAGAAGCUGUCGUCGUGGACGUCCUGGAUGGAGCUCUCGACGUACGAACUAUGCGGGAACGGGUCGGCCUUGAUGUCCGUGUCCUCCGGGUGCUGCUGGGGAAGAAGGGGACGCCACCUACGCCGGCAUCGAGCUGCUGUAGGAAGCUGGCAUGGCGAGACGGUGGGGCUCGGGGGCUCACCCAGACGACGCGAGGUAAGAAGGAGGGGGGGGGGAGAAUGUGCGCUAGGGCACGGAGGAGAGAUGGGGCAUGGCUAAAUAGCCUCGGACGACGCGCGUGCAGCCGUUGAUCGAUGGAAAAAGUUCCAUCAGCGGCUGCCAUGGCGUCGUACGCCGCUGACGUCGCGAGGUGGGAGACGUGUCACGCUACCGGGCUUGGGCCACAACUAGCAGAGUUGGGCCGCUCUCUCUCUCUCGAGGAAAAGAAAAGGCUUCACGAAAAUAAAAAUAAAGUUGGUUUUGAAAUAAUGCCAGAGGCAAAAUAAAAGGAAUUAAACAAAAAAAAUACUUUUGUGCUCCUAAAAUCAUGUCCCAAUUUAUAAAAAUAAAUUGGGCAUUUAUAAGAGUAAAUAUUAAAUGCCUUUUAAAAUCAAAAGACCCUGUUUUCGAAAUAAAACAAAAGGAGAAUAAUUUCAGAUAAGUGAGUGUUGCCACCCACAAAUAUUUAAAAGGAUUUUCAAAGAAGAUGAACAUUUUUAAUGGGCCAAAACAAGAACUUUAAAAUAGGCGCAAUAAAUUGAAAAGAGACGGAAGAGUUUUAUGGUCAUGGUGCAACAAGGGUUUUGAAGGUUUCUUGUUGCACGCACACAACUCAUAGAUCACACAUGAGCACAUGCACUCACAUACAUGACCAAUGUGGCAAGACACAGAAAAAAGACAAGACAAAGGAUGAUGCCAUGCAUGAUGUCCAAUGCACAUGGAAUGAAGACACAAAGAUCGGCUCACACCACAAAUAAUACCAUAUCAAGGUUGCCAAACAAGGAAAGAAUAACAAAAGGGGGAAAAUUGUAAUGGGGCUGUCACAACUCUCCUACACUACAAGAGGAUCUCGACCCGAGAUCUAAGAAUGAAAGGGGAAGAGGCAGAGAGAAGGAAGAGGUAAAACAUGGUUGCUUCUUUGACAAACGAGUGAAACCAACAAUCCUUGAAGGUUGCAAAGAGAUGAAGAAUGAUAUGAGAAACAAGCAAGAAUUCACAGAAAAUUUCGGCAGCACUUCGGUAGGAAGAGAGGACAAAAUUUGAUGAGAUAGAAAGAACUAGAAAAGAUUCACAACAACCAACUAAAUUGAUAAGCACGGAAAGAACGUGGUUUUGAUAGAACAAGAUGAUAGAUUGAAGAGAGCAACAUCACAACAACUCCGGAACUAGAGAUUAGAAACUAGAUCUUUGAGAAGAAUAGAAUGAAAAAGAAAAUGACAAUCACUAUCACAAUUGGAUUGAAGAGCCUCCGGACAAGAAGAAUUAAACGUAGUUGUUGGAAAAACAACAACCAAAAGACAAGCUUGUUGUGGGCUUAUGGAAACCAUUUCAAAAUAAUGAGGUGACAACCAGCCACUAACAGAAACAAUGAUUGAUUGGAUGGAACAAGAAAGUCAAAACUUCUUACCCCAAGAGGAAACAUCAAGAACUUGGAUCAACGAUAAUCACCAUAUAGCAACAACCCUUAGGAAAAGCUUUAGGUGAAACCCGAUCCAAGGUAACUCAAUGAAGAAACCAUGGUCAAAAUAUCUCAUGAUCAAAGGGUUUGGUGGGUUUACAUAAUUAAUUCUUGAAACAACUUCUCUUCGAGACUCCUCAAGAACUUUAUAACACCACCUCAAAGGAUAAAUGAAAGAAAAGAUGGAGGAGUUGGAAAAAAAGAAUUGAUAUCAUGAGCCACUCCAGAAGAAGAAUUGAAAUGUCACAAUGAAAUAAAAAUAAGAAUUAUGUUACGCUUAUCCUUCAUCAAGUUAAAUUAACUACAAGCAAUGAAUUUAGCAUACCACUUAUUCUUCUUGAAAAGAUUGAGGAGAGAUAUGAGCACAAACUUGAAGAAGUCUUGAAGGAGACACCGGUAAGAAUUGGAAUGAAUGGGGAUAACAAGAAUGAAUGGAGAUACAUGAGAAUGAAUAUAUCAUGAGCCAUAGGAGAGAAAAACUUGAAUAAGGCAACGGAAUAAUUGAGAUACGAACAAAGAGACACAAUUGAGAAGAAUUAGAGAACGAAAGCUGAAAGUUGAGAAGGAAGAAAUCUUCUGAAAUGAUGGCCUUCGGAGGAUCGAGAAAGAACACAACACUGAAAUGUACCGGAUAGAUAUGGAAGAAAAACUUAAGAUUGGAAAUAACUAAGAAUAUAACACUAAGCUGAGAUGACAAUCUUGAAAGAAUGGACAAGAGUUGAGAGAAACACUCCUUCGGUCUUCCAAGAUGAGAAUGAGGCAAGAACCAUCACCAAGAAUAACUGAGACACUCUAAAAUAAUGGAGAAUGAAAGGUUGAGCAAAAGAUGAAAAUAAUAAAUUUGAAAUGACCUUGGAGAAGGAAUAUGACUAAUGAAAUUCAUACUUACGUCAUAAUUGAAAAGAAUUAGAGAUCUCCGAAAAAGAUUACAAGAGCCACGUAAGAUCCUGGGAAAACCUGUGGGUUAUGGGCCCACUAAAGGAAACCACCGUUGAAACAAUUGAUUAGGAAGAAAGACAUUGCGCCGGUAUAACUGAAAACUUGAUGAGUUUGGAACCUCGAAAUAAUUGAAAGGAUUAAAAUCAAUAACUUUUGAGAUACCUUCAGCACUCUGGAUAGAAAAGAGAUUGAUGAAUGACAAGAGAGGCUUGAAGAGAAUUUCCCAACACUGAAGGCAUUGAACAAAUGGAAAGGAUAUGAUGACACCAAUAUCUUGAAUUGACUCAACCGGAGAGAAAACAAAAUGAAGAAAUGAUGAACUCGAACUCCUGAGAAUCUUCACCAUGAAACACCGGAUACCAUACAAAAAAGAAGAAGGUAUAAGCAACACUGAAAAGAAGGCACUAGGAUGAUAAUUGAAUCACUGAAGAAAAGGGCGGGAGGGCGGGGAAAACAAAGAGAUGAACUCCGGAAGAAAUGAGAGAUUGACCUUCCAAAUAUUCAAAAGGAUAGAAUUGACUUCAAGAGAAGCACCCUGGUUGAGAAAGAAUUGAUAUGAUGGCCCCGGUUGAAAAGAAUUGAAAACCCAACUUGAUUGAGCAAAAGAAUUGCAUUCCCAAAAUAUGAGAACACCACUUAGGAAAGUUAUGAAUUCACCACUUGACAUCGAAGCAACUCGAAUUACCAUAUUCCAACAAAACAAAGGAGGAGGCUUAUUAAACAAGCCAGACAAAUUUAUGAGAGAUUUCAUUCGAUAUUUUUGUGGAUGAGGCUCGCACGGGCUCUAUCCUAUAGUAGACAUCAUGUACAAGGUAGUGCACACGACAUACGAAGCGUUCCCGAGUCAUAGCAAGCUACAAGGACUCUUUAAGACAGAACGAGAACCGCUGUAAGAUGACCGUGAACAAACAAAUCCACUAGAUGUCGAACCCCAACCUCACAUCAUGCAUCUGUUGGAAGAUUGUCCUAUAAGUGACUACUUGAAUUCCCACCUAAGAACUCACGAAAUUUCUGGUCAUGCAAUCUGGUCCACGGAUACAAGGAGUAAUAUAUCACUCAGCUCCUAUACUAACCCGUCCAGUGUAUCACAUCCGUCAACACAUAACCAGAAUCUCGAAACUUCAUCUAUCUCAGACCCUCGUAAUCACAACGAUACUAAGUGUGGCAAUACAUCCGGACCUAUCUGCACCAGUACUGGGAAAGUCGGACUCCUCUCCCCACUACCAGUAUUGAAGCAAUUUCAAACAUCCUCCGUCCUAAGAUACUAAGAAAUCUGAAUGAUAACGAUGUGCUCAAGAAUCCCCUGGAGCUCAACUCCCCGGAAGAAAUCAAGUCAGUCAGGAGGCACCAAGACAGAACUCUGUCACAUCGACAUCAAUAGAUUCCCAAAAUAUCUGCGUGAUCCUAAAAAAAUUGAGUAAGAAGAGGAGUAGAAUUAAAUUAUUACGUCAAGAUUCCUAACCAGAGCAUAGAAGAGGAGAAAAAAGAAUCCUACUCUCCGAUAUAUAACUAGACUUAAAGCAGUUUUUUACUAGACUCGACUUGGCCAAGUUCGAUCAAUCAAGGGGCUACUAGGUCGGUACUGUUCUGAUACCAACUUGUAGCGCCCAAGAUGCAAUCCUAUCGUUAUUUCGGCGCGAGGGCCUCGACAGGGAUAGAAACGCAUCUCGUCGUUUCACAAGAAUGGAUAUUGUUACAAGUACGUGUACUGAAAAGAUGAGUAUAUGAAAUUGGCUUACACUCGCCACAAGCUACAUCAGAGUCACAUUAGUACAUUUCAUAUAAUCACCAUGAAGAAGAGCAGGCUCCGCCUGUGGACGAAAACAAACGAUAAAAGAAUGACGUCCAUCGUUGCUAUCCCAGGCUGCCAGCCUGGAACCCAUCCUAGAUCGAUGAAGAAGAAGAAGAAACUCCAAAUGAACAAUCAUCGCGCUCACGUCUUAAUACCACUUUACCUAUACCUGCAACUAGUGUUGUAGUAAUUUGUCAGCCACAGGGGACUCAGCAAUCUCAUUUCCAAAGGUAUCAAGACUAGCAAAGCUUAAUGGGUGAGGUAUGGUUAAGUGGUGAGGCUGCGGCUAGCGACUAAGCAUUUUUUUUGCGGUGGCUAAAUUACGAGUACAAGAAUAAGAGGGGAAAGAUCUACGCAUAGCAGACACGAACUACUGAUGAUCAAAUGAAUGAUCCUGAACACCUACUUACGUCAAACAUAACCCAACCAUGUUCUCGGUCGGAGAAGGAGCUAACGAAAGAGACAGUCACGGUUACGCACUUAGUUGGCAUAUUUUAAAUAAGCUUACUUCAAGUUAUCUAGAACCGGAUGUGAAACAAAGUUUCCACGUUGCCACAUAACCGCGGGCACGGCUUUCCGAAAGAUUUAACCCUACAGGGGUGCUCCAACUAGUCCAUCACAAAUUACCACAAGCCGCAUAGAAAUCCUCGAUCACGAAACUCGCGAUCUCGUCAGACUCCUUAGUGGAAAACCUCAACUCUGAGAUAACCCAAAGCAUCACCGGAAUCCUGAUGCACAAAAUAUUUUGUCAAAGGUAAAAGUAAUCCAGCAAGGCCACCCGACGUGUCGACGAUCCCGAUAGGAGCCGUGUAUCUCGUUCUCACGACACGAUGGAUAAGCUACGCGUACGGUGGCGUGAUAGAAAUCACUCAAGUUGCCCUGCAUUGGCCCCGCAUAGUGCUCUGGGUUGGACCAACACUCAUGAGGAGCACUGGCCCAGGGGUUUAUUAAGUUUCCUCGGGUUAAUUACUCCCUAUGUGGUUCAUUAGCUAUUAGGCAAAUGUAGUACCAAAGUUGGGCCUUGCCAGACCAGUCUUAAUCUAAAACGAAUUAUCAAGGGGGUCCCCAUAACAACCCCGAUCAUGUUAGGAGCGCUCAAUUAUGGAAUGUAACACCAGUAGCCUAAACUAGGGGGGGGGGGGGCAAAGGUGGAACAAAACACGAGGCUAGAAAGCCGAGCCUUCCACCUUUUACCAAGUAUAUAGGUGCAUUAAAUUAAAUAUCAUUUAAUAGGUUGAUAUAACAAGGAACCCAUGUUAUCACAUGGAAGCAACUGCACCUGCAACUAGCAACGCUAACACCUGGUUAAGCAAGCGGUAACAUAGCCAAUCAGUGGUUUGCUAUGUUGUAGACAGGUUGUAGGUUUUCAUGGCAAUGUUGGGAGGCUGAUAUUUAACAGGUGGUAGGCAGCGAGAUAUAACGAUAGAAACGAUACAACUAGCAUGGAAAUGAUAGUAAUGGUAUCUAGGGAAAUGAUCAUCUUGCCUGAGAACACACUUGGAAGAAGAAUGAUACCGUGAAGCAGACGAACCGACGUAGUCGAAUGGAUCCUCACAUUCCGACAUACUUGCAGAACACUAUCGAGACGAAGCAAACCGGAAACAAGAAUCACACACGAUAUACAUCGCAUCACAUGCACAACAUGGUGGACUAACUAAUAUGAUGCAUGGAUGCUCAACCCCUAAAUUAUGCACUUAAACCAGCACUACAGGAAUCACUUUCUUUGUCGUCUGCCAUCACAGAUGGCAAAGACAAAAUCCCGGACGGCAAUGACAAAACAACAGACGGCAAACAAUCUCACGGCCGGCAAAAUUUCUGUGUCAGCCUACGACGGCAUAGGACCUUCUUUGCCGUCUGUCCCCCCAAAGCGGACAGCAAAGCUCUUUGCCGUCAGCUUUCCUUAGGAGCAGUCGGCAAAGUGCUCGAGACGGCAGCCGACAAGCGUUGCCUCCGUUAGGGGUUAACGGAGGCUUUGCCGUCUGCCUGCCCCUUAAUCUUUGCCGUCUGCCUUCCCCUUUAUCUUUGCCGUCUGCCUUCUCCGGGGGGCCCCCCUUUAUCUUUGCCGUCUGCCUCCUCCUCCUCCCCCCUCCACUCUUUGUCGUCUGCCUCCUCCUCCCCCCUCCUCUGUGCCCUCUUCUUUGCCGUCUGCCCACCCUGGAGGCAGACGGCAAAGAGCCUAUAUGGACACCCCAGGAUGCACAGCUGGGUGCCAUGUGGCACCUUUGCCAUCUGCCAGCUGAUGGCACAGGUCUUUGCCAUCAGCUGGCAGACGGCAAAGAGCCCAUAUAGUACCUGUUUUUUUUGUUUUAUAUUAUUUCACAACNAUUGCCAACACAUAUAUAUAAUUCACCACACAUAUAUGAUAUACAUAUAAAUCAAUGUACAUCCCCAUAUAUCGAAAGAACCAACAUACAUAGUAUUGCACUGUUUAUCCAUAUAUACAUAUAGUUCGACAUUGUUCAUCAACUCAAAUGAAAACUAGAUGAUAUACAUAUAAAGUUCAUCCAUUGACAUUGUUCAACUCCAUGAAUGCGAGCUUCCAUGCAUGUAGUAUAUCCAAUCUGCAAAAAUGUGAAUAAGAAAGUCAGAAGAAGAACAAAGUAUGAUGUUUUUCAGCUAAUUAUGUGAUUUUUAGCGGAAAACAAGCUAAGAAUAUAAUAUUCAUGAGCUAACAAAUGUUCUUAUGCCAUUUUUAGCUUAUUAUGGCAUUUUGGAGCUAAAUGGGUUAAUUAAAGCAAGGAUAAUAUGAAAGAGGAGAAGAAAGAGGNNNNNNNNNNNNNNNNNNNNNNNNNNNNNNNNNNNNNNNNNNNNNNNNNNNNNNNNNNNNNNNNNNNNNNNNNNNNNNNNNNNNNNNNNNNNNNNNNNNNNNNNNNNNNNNNNNNNNNNNNNNNNNUUCUUCUUCUUUCUUUUCAUUUUGCCUAUUUCUUCUCCUCUUCCCCUCUUGUUGGAGCUAAAUUACCUAAUUAUGUCUUUUUGGAGCUAAAUGGGCUAUUUAUCCCAUUUUAGAGGAAAACAAGCUAAGUAUAUAAUAUUCAUGAGCUAACGAAGGUUCUUAUGCCAUUUUGAGCUUAUUAUGGUAUUUUGGAGCUAAAUGGGCUAAUUAUGUCAUUGUUGGGGCAAUUAAAGCAAGGAUAAUAUGAAAGAGGAGAAGAAAGAAGAGGAGGAGGAGAAGAANNNNNNNNNNNNNNNNNNNNNNNNNNNNNNNNNNNNNNNNNNNNNNNNNNNNNNNNNNNNNNNNNNNNNNNNNNNNNNNNNNNNNNNNNNNNNNNNNNNNNNNNNNNNNNNNNNNNNNNNNNNNNNNNNNNNNNNNNNNNNNNNNNNNNNNNNNNNNNNNNNNNNNNNNNNNNNNNNNNNNNNNNNNNNNNNNNNNNNNNNNNNNNNNNNNNNNNNNNNNNNNNNNNNNNNNNNNNNNNNNNNNNNNNNNNNNNNNNNNNNNNNNNNNNNNNNNNNNNNNNNNNNNNNNNNNNNNNNNNNNNNNNNNNNNNNNNNNNNNNNNNNNNNNNNNNNNNNNNNNNNNNNNNNNNNNNNNNNNNNNNNNNNNNNNNNNNNNNNNNNNNNNNNNNNNNNNNNNNNNNNNNNNNNNNNNNNNNNNNNNNNNNNNNNNNNNNNNNNNNNNNNNNNNNNNNNNNNNNNNNNNNNNNNNNNNNNNNNNNNNNNNNNNNNNNNNNNNNNNNNNNNNNNNNNNNNNNNNNNNNNNNNNNNNNNNNNNNNNNNNNNNNNNNNNNNNNNNNNNNNNNNNNNNNNNNNNNNNNNNNNNNNNNNNNNNNNNNNNNNNNNNNNNNNNNNNNNNNNNNNNNNNNNNNNNNNNNNNNNNNNNNNNNNNNNNNNNNNNNNNNNNNNNNNNNNNNNNNNNNNNNNNNNNNNNNNNNNNNNNNNNNNNNNNNNNNNNNNNNNNNNNNNNNNNNNNNNNNNNNNNNNNNNNNNNNNNNNNNNNNNNNNNNNNNNNNNNNNNNNNNNNNNNNNNNNNNNNNNNNNNNNNNNNNNNNNNNNNNNNNNNNNNNNNNNNNNNNNNNNNNNNNNNNNNNNNNNNNNNNNNNNNNNNNNNNNNNNNNNNNNNNNNNNNNNNNNNNNNNNNNNNNNNNNNNNNNNNNNNNNNNNNNNNNNNNNNNNNNNNNNNNNNNNNNNNNNNNNNNNNNNNNNNNNNNNNNNNNNNNNNNNNNNNNNNNNNNNNNNNNNNNNNNNNNNNNNNNNNNNNNNNNNNNNNNNNNNNNNNNNNNNNNNNNNNNNNNNNNNNNNNNNNNNNNNNNNNNNNNNNNNNNNNNNNNNNNNNNNNNNNNNNNNNNNNNNNNNNNNNNNNNNNNNNNNNNNNNNNNNNNNNNNNNNNNNNNNNNNNNNNNNNNNNNNNNNNNNNNNNNNNNNNNNNNNNNNNNNNNNNNNNNNNNNNNNNNNNNNNNNNNNNNNNNNNNNNNNNNNNNNNNNNNNNNNNNNNNNNNNNNNNNNNNNNNNNNNNNNNNNNNNNNNNNNNNNNNNNNNNNNNNNNNNNNNNNNNNNNNNNNNNNNNNNNNNNNNNNNNNNNNNNNNNNNNNNNNNNNNNNNNNNNNNNNNNNNNNNNNNNNNNNNNNNNNNNNNNNNNNNNNNNNNNNNNNNNNNNNNNNNNNNNNNNNNNNNNNNNNNNNNNNNNNNNNNNNNNNNNNNNNNNNNNNNNNNNNNNNNNNNNNNNNNNNNNNNNNNNNNNNNNNNNNNNNNNNNNNNNNNNNNNNNNNNNNNNNNNNNNNNNNNNNNNNNNNNNNNNNNNNNNNNNNNNNNNNNNNNNNNNNNNNNNNNNNNNNNNNNNNNNNNNNNNNNNNNNNNNNNNNNNNNNNNNNNNNNNNNNNNNNNNNNNNNNNNNNNNNNNNNNNNNNNNNNNNNNNNNNNNNNNNNNNNNNNNNNNNNNNNNNNNNNNNNNNNNNNNNNNNNNNNNNNNNNNNNNNNNNNNNNNNNNNNNNNNNNNNNNNNNNNNNNNNNNNNNNNNNNNNNNNNNNNNNNNNNNNNNNNNNNNNNNNNNNNNNNNNNNNNNNNNNNNNNNNNNNNNNNNNNNNNNNNNNNNNNNNNNNNNNNNNNNNNNNNNNNNNNNNNNNNNNNNNNNNNNNNNNNNNNNNNNNNNNNNNNNNUCUUCUUCUUCUUUCUUUUCAUUUUUCCUAUUUGUUCUCCUCAUCUUGGAGCUAAAUUACCUAAUUAUGUCUUUUUGGAGCUAAAUGUGCUAAUUAUCUCAUUUUAGAGGAAAACAAGCUAAGUAUAUAAUAUUCAUGAGCUAACCAAGGUUCUUCCAUUUUGAGGUUAUUAUGGCAUUUUGGAUCUAAAUGGGCUAAUUCUGUAUUUUUUGGGAAAUUAAAGCAAGGAUAAUAUGAAAGAGGAGAAGAGAAACUUACCGUGGUGGUUAUCAAGGAGGAGAAACACCACGGUUGCUCGCGGCGGCUUCGUUUGGAGACGGUUGCCCUUGUGAAGGGUCGUGCGAUGCCGCUCGGGAGUUAUUUUGCAGAAAAGAUAUUUUGCAAUGUCUCAGUUAGCAUGAUGACACUCAAUUAUUAAUACUAGUUUAUAAUGAAACUCACCGUGCCAAUCGAAGAGAAGACGGGCAUCGGCGGAGGGACUUGACCGCUCUUCUCGCACAUACCCUGAAGAGUGGGUCGUAUUAGUUAGUAAUGAAACAGACAUUACACACAUGAUUUGGCUAAUGUGAAAAAAAAACAUACCACAAAAAGCUCGUACAGGGCCCGUUGACCCGCCUCAUUCCGGGCCCUCUCCUCCUCAAUCAAUCGUGUCGUGGUCUGGUCCCUCUCAUCAAGAGCAGCCUGGCUUGCCAACUAUCUUUCUCAAGAGCAUCCUGGUUUGCCGCUCUCUCUUUCUGAAGAGCAGCCUGAAACACCAUUCCUCGUUACCACAGUAAUGAUCUAUGGUGACACACAUAAUGAAAUGGAUGAAAGUGUUCUUAGUCCGUACAACUAACCUCGAUGGCAAGUUCGACUGGCCGUGGACGAUGCGUUAUCUCAGGACAACUACUCGACUGGCGCGCCUUGAUCUCCGGAAGAGUGAGUGGACAACGUAUUAUCCCAUCUCCAAUGGCUAUCCAGCCAUGGGGCCACCCGCCACCAGAUAUCAUCACCAGCUCUGGAUCCAAAGGUUCCUGGCUAGGGUUAAAGUCAUCCCCUUUCGUAGCCUUCCCCGCGUCCCUGUAUGCCACGAGCUUCUGGUGGGAUGAUAUGUUGGUGAAGUUAUUGGGAUCAUCCAGGCCAGACUCAGAGAAUGCCUUCGCCUUCUUGUACGAGGCAGUAUGGGCCAUGCCAUAAAGGUCGUACAAGUGUGGCAUCUCCGUCUUAUUGUGAUGCGCCUAAAAGAGAGGAACAAAAUAUUAGCAUCAAGAAUGAAUUGCAUGAAUCAUGAAGCAAAUCACAUACCCAGUUGGGUCCAAACUAAAGUAAGUUGGCGCUGCCUUGAUGAUGUGGCACACCAACCAUUUGGCUACGCCGAUCCUUCACAUUCUCGUGGACGGCUCACCAGCUGCCUGUGCACCACUCAUCAACCAACGCCUCCCAACAAUCCAUCUUAUCCGCACACCAUCUCGGGGGCACCUAUAAGUUGUUAGAAAGAAUUUUCAGCGCUACGCCUAUGAAUGAAAUCAAGAAAACUACGUAGAAGGACUUAAGAAUAGGUAAUUACCUUCAUGUAUUGCUCCUUCUUCAGGAACUUUCUGCGGCAAUCCUUCUUCUGCUUCUUAAUACCACGCGUGGCGUAGUAAUCUCGAAUAGCCUGCGGCCGAGCCUCGUGGCGCAAGUUCUGUAGUAACCGCCUACACCCGGCCUCGAGAACCCUGGCCACCUCCUCCUCAUAUCCAUCCUCACACCUAUAGAAGGUCUGCAAUCAAACGUGAAAACACCGAUUAGUACAAUAAUUAGCUAUAUUGUUAAUUUUAGAUUCUGUAAAAGGAUAAUUUACCCAAAACCUCUUGAUCACCAUCUCGGCCCUCGUGUGGCACAAGACACCAUCUAUAAUCUCCUCCGGCGGGGCCUGCGCAGCCUGGUAGUGCUCCCAGUAAAAUCCUAGUGUAGGAACCUGACCCUCACCAGGCAACGUGACAAACCUCGGGAAAUUUGUUCGACAAAGCACACCAAGGACGGAGUUUGGCCCGCGGACUCCAAGAGGGUGUACCCAUCCCCUAUUGUAUGAUAAGGUCAACGCAUUAGAUAUUUUGAACAAACUUGAAGGCAAAAGCUAAAAAAAGAGUAAAUGUACUUACCUAUCUCCUUUAGGUUUAAUCACCGGCCUCUGCUCGCGGGUAGCCGGCGCGACCGGGAGACGUGUACUACCACGCUUGUACAUGGUGGCCCUGUCCACCUGCACAUUGCCCUCACUAUCCGUAAGCUCAUCCCCGCCAUCCCCGCCCCUUGAGCCACCCGGACCCUCGGUCCAAUCCGGCAACUCGGUACGAUCCGGCCAGGUCUCCCAUCCGGGCCUCUCCACGUCGGGUGAAGCCUCCGGAACCGUAGUCUCCUCCGGCUGCUCCUGGGCCGAAUGCACCUCGACCCGAGGCUUCUCCUGGACCGGAGUAUCAUGGGACGAAUGCCCGUCAACAACAGGCUCCUCGAACGGAGUCCCCGUAGCCUCCUCCGCAAACGGGUCGACCAUACUAGUCCUAUGCUCGGGUGAAUGAGCUGGUGGUGGUGGCGAGGACGGCUCAACAGUCCUCCUGGAUCUUCCGCGGCCACCACCUCUCCCUGUACCCUUCCCCUUCUUCCCUACCCGACCAGCACCUCUCCCAAUGGGCAAUGUCGCUGACGAAGAAGAACCCACGGGUGGUGUCGACAGACUGUCUGCCAAGGCUCUACGGAGAGAUAGGGGUGGAAGGGAAGUACCACCCCUCGUGCGGGGCGCCUGGGAAGAACCCGUCGAGCGAUCUGGACCAGCGCCCACCAUCUUUCCACACCUGGUGACCUGCCAUGAUAAAGAUUAAAAGAAAUUAGUACAAAAUAAAAAAAAUUGAAUAACUGACAUGAAUAAUAAUAUGUACAUGAAUAAUAAAGAUUAAAAUAUAUAUAAUUUAAGUUGUGAAUCUUACAAACUAAUAAUCAUCAUCAAUAAAUGCAUGAUCAUCAUCACUAUGACGCAUGUCUUCAUGAAUGACGUGCUCGUCGGGUUCAACGACGUGAAGUUGUGAAAGGCCUUCCUUUAAUCAUUGAAGCAUUGAUAGGUUAUCCGCAUCAGUAACCUCUACGAGUUCCAGGUCUUCUGGUUCCGGCUCAGGGCUGGAGUCGGAUUCAUUGUCGCUGUCUACUUCCAUGUUCUUGGGUGAAGCACAGCGGUUCUUGAAACGUUUCUUGGAAAGACGUGAUUCUUGGAAGAAUUCUCCAUCAUAUGUGUCUGGGUUAAUGUGAGGUUCAUAAUCCUGUUCAUUUGGGAGAGGUAGUCUGACAUGUGGCGACACUUCAUAAACAACAUACCAACCUUCCAGAUUCUUAUCCGUUUGGCAUGCCCACGGUAGAUAGAAAACUUGGGUCGCCUGUUGAGCCGUAAUAUAGACAUCGGGAACAUCUAAAUGGGUGUUUGGAUUGAUUCGACUAGUCCUAUAUGUUCAUGAGUCCUUCUAGUCUUUUUCGGCUGGAACCAAUAACAUUUGAAGACUACGACGUUCGGUGGGUUUUCACCAUAGAAUUGAAGUUCAUAAAUUGCUUCAACUCUUCCAUAAUACUCGAUAACACCUUCGCCGAUAGCAGAGACACCACAAUUUGUAGAUUUCCGGUCGGGCAUAGAUAGCUCUUUGCCAAAGGUACGAAAGAGAUACCCGUUGAUGUUGUAUUUCUCAAAUGAACGGACCUUAUAGUCAAAACCAUUAGCGACUUGUCUCAAUUCGGCGUCCAUAGACUCUGAAUUAGCCUACAAGUUUAAUACGAAACGGUUGUUGCAUUAGCCGCAAGUUAGACCAAGAAUGAAAUGGUCCAUUAUUGAUAAUUACCGUUUGUUUGAACCAAGAGAUGAAACCGGGAUAGCCGCCUCUUGUCUUUGACAGAAGCUCAUACUCUUCGACGGAAUCAUUUUCGAUCACCGCUCCAUCCGCGAAUUUGACGACGUAACGGCUGUUUGAAAUAUCCGGGAAUAAGAGCAGUUCAAAUGAAUUAGAAGUUACGGGAAAAUGUGCCGAGAACUCACUCGAUGUACGGCCGCACUUCUAUUAGGUUGUUGAAGAUAUACAACGAAAUGUUCCGCCAUUCUUCGACAUCCAACGUUAUUGGUUUCGAAGCACCGGCUGGUGCGAGCUUCCCUUUGAAUAGGCUGAGGUUGGACCCACCCUUUUUAGGGUCUGCAUCAUUGUGCCGAGGCUUUGGAUUAUGCAAAUGAUAAUUUUUGGCUUCGUAGUGUGUUGUCACAAAGUUUGCCACCUCCUCACUAAUGCACGCCUCAGCCAUCGAUGCUUCAAUUCUAUGCUUAUUUUUACAUUUAGCUCGAAGGGUCUUCUGCAUCCUCUCAGUUGCAUAGCACCAACGAUCUUGCACGGGCCCACCCAAUCUUGCCUCGGUCGGUAGAUGUAAAAUCAAAUGCUGCAUUGGAUUAAAGAAGCCCGGUGGAAAGAUCUUCUCUAACUUGCACAACAACUCCGGUGCAAACUCCUCCAUGUCUUCUACCACGCCAGGCGACAAUUCUUUCGCACAAAGAACACGGCAGAAAUAGCUCAGCUCCGCCAGUACUAGCCAUUCAUCCUCACGAAUAAAGCCACGUGACAUCACCGACAUUACCCGCUCUAGCCAUAUGUGCCAAUCAUGACUCUUGAGACCAAAGAUUUUUAAUUUUUCAAGACUCGCUCCCCUCUUUAGAUUCGCUGCAUACCCAUCGGGGAACAUCAAGUGCAUUUUGACCCACAAGAUAAUUUCCCUCAUAGCUGGCCUUCCAAGAUUGAACCAGGCCUUUGGCUUCGACCACUUCUGCUUUCCUUUGCCUUCUCGCAUGUUUUGUAACGGUCUAUGACAUAGUGUCUCUUGAUCGACUCUAGCCUUAAUAUUAUCCUUUGUCUUCCCAUCUAUGUCGAACAAUGUACCAAAAAUAGCCUCUCUGAUAUUCUUUUCAGUGUGCAUCAUGCCAAUAUUGUGUGGAACAAGGAGGUCUUUGAAGUAAGGCAGAUCCCAGAAGCAUGGCUUGUGAGUCCAGGCGUGUUUUGAAUUAUACCCCUUGAAAUACCCUGGAUGCUCUGGAUCAGGCUCGAGGGCGUUUAACUGAUCCAGGAUCUGUUGGCCUGUGAAUGCAGGUGGUGCCAAGUUUUUGACAACUUUACCUUUCGUAAAUUUCUUCUUAUCUUUUCUGAACUGAUGGUCCGGAUCCAGGAACUGUCUAUGCAAGUCAAAGCAAGAAUACUUCCGACCCUCCUGCAACCAAUGAAACUGAAGAGCUGCCUUGCAUUGGGGGCACGGGAACCUUCCAUGCACACACCAUCCAGAGAAUAGCGCAUACGCUGGCAAGUCAUGCAUAGAGUACAUGUACCACACAUGCAUUUUGAAGUUUUCUUUUCUAGCGGCAUCGUAUCCCAAGCUUCUUCCAAUUCAUCCUUAAGCGGUUGCAGGUACACAUUCAUAUUCUUCCCCGGAUAAUUGGGCCCUGGAAUUAUCAACGUCAGAAAUAAGUUCUUUCUUUGCAUAAUCUGCCCGGGGGGAGAUUGAGUGGAAUGACAAAUACAGGCCAACAACUGUAUUGGGUUGCCGUCAUGCCGAAGGCAUUAAAACCAUCUGUGGCGGCGCAGACUCGAGGAUUCCUUGGAUCUGCCGCUUUAUCCUGAUGCAAUCCAUCGAAAUGUUUCCACGCUUCCCCAUCCGAUGUGUGUACCAUCAUCUUAUUCCCAUCCGCAUCUAGUUCGGUUCUUUUGCCCAAUUUGUGCCAUGUCAUCUGUAUGGCUGUCUCUUCGACCAUGAAAAGAUGUUGAAGUCUUGGUACGAUUGGCAUAUACAAAAGAACACUAACUGCGAUUUUGGUCUGCCUCUUCUCACCCAUACCGUUGUCUACCACAAGAUACCUGCAAGACUCGCAAUUGGGACAAUAGUCCAAGUGUGCAUACUCCUUCCUAAAUAAGACACAUCCUUUCUCACAUGCAUCUAUCUUCUCAUAGGGCAUCUUAAGUACACGAAGUAUUUUGUCCGACUGGUACAGGUUUGCAGGCAUGACAUGGCCUUUGGGUAGGAAACGUCCAAAUAGUGUCAUCAUCGCGUCGUAGCAUUCUCUUCCCAAGUCGAACUGAGCCUUCAGAGCCAUUACUUGUGCAAUUGCAUCCAGCUGACAGAGCUCAGUGUGCUCAUGGAGAGGACGUUUUGAAGACUCCAACAUUUCAUAAAAGGCCUUUGCAGAUUCCUCCAUCUCAUCUUCCGAAUCCCGAGCAUCAUCAAAGUCUUGCACCAUGUCUUCGAUCCUGGUACCAUGCUCGUCCGUGCGAUGACGGACCACCUCAGCUCUUGUGCGUUGUAUAGACUCACCAUGAAAUGUCCACACCGUAUAAUUAGGCUUAAAACCCCUCCUCUGCAGGUGUUUAAUCAUUACAGCCUCUGUCGUCUUUUUAUAGUUGUCGCAUCCAGGACAGGGGCAAUAGUUUCUUUCCUGGCCAUUUGCGAAUGCGGCUUUCACAAAUUCCUUUGUUUUUACAAACCAUUCUUUCGUCAUCUCUUUCUGACUAGGGUGACCGGUAUACAUCCACGCACGAUCACUCAUCUUGCAUAGCUACUAAAGACAGAAGAAGUAUAUUUAUAUAUAAUUUAGCAUUUAUACUCAUCGGUUAAUCAGGUUCGCCAUUUUUAUUACGUCCAGGCAACCUACACGCUAAUAGGUAAAGAUAGGUCCUAAUCCCACCCAAGUAUGUGUAGAUUGGGUUCGUUUUCCCAUGCUCUGCUCUGGAUCCAACGCAAAAUUUUGGCAGCAUCUCCCCGCUGUUCUCCUGAUACACGUCUCCGCAAUAAACAGAGAGGAUGUGCAUCCGGAGAACAACAUGGAGGCACUGACGAAAUUCCGCAUCGGAUCCAGAGCACAGCAUACGGGAAAACGAACCCAAUCUACACAUACUCGGGCUGUCCAUGGAUAAUGUUGGACAAUUCGAAAGGAUGGCGGUUAUAAAUAUGCAAAGACAUGCAUAUUUAUAGAUGUCACCCUUUCGAACGGGAGACGCAUACUGGUCACGCAUACUCAUGAUUGAAGAAACCUAUAUAUAGAUAGCAAGUUUCAUCGGCACGAAGACCGGGACAGAGCAAAUUAAGGGGGUAGGAGGAGAAGUCAUUUGUGCUCACCAACAAACAUAGGGGCGGAGCUCGUCCAACGCACGUGGAGGUCGUCGAACAACUGCACAUUGAAAUUCACCCGAUCAACACAAAUAUGAUGUUUUAUAAGAUAAUCAAAAAAUAUGUGACCUAACUCUUAUUNNNNNNNNNNNNNNNNNNNNNNNNNNNNNNNNNNNNNNNNNNNNNNNNNNNNNNNNNNNNNNNNNNNNNNNNNNNNNNNNNNNNNNNNNNNNNNNNNNNNNNNNNNNNNNNNNNNNNNNNNNNNNNNNNNNNNNNNNNNNNNNNNNNNNNNNNNNNNNNNNNNNNNNNNNNNNNNNNNNNNNNNNNNNNNNNNNNNNNNNNNNNNNNNNNNNNNNNNNNNNNNNNNNNNNNNNNNNNNNNNNNNNNNNNNNNNNNNNNNNNNNNNNNNNNNNNNNNNNNNNNNNNNNNNNNNNNNNNNNNNNNNNNNNNNNNNNNNNNNNNNNNNNNNNNNNNNNNNNNNNNNNNNNNNNNNNNNNNNNNNNNNNNNNNNNNNNNNNNNNNNNNNNNNNNNNNNNNNNNNNNNNNNNNNNNNNNNNNNNNNNNNNNNNNNNNNNNNNNNNNNNNNNNNNNNNNNNNNNNNNNNNNNNNNNNNNNNNNNNNNNNNNNNNNNNNNNNNNNNNNNNNNNNNNNNNNNNNNNNNNNNNNNNNNNNNNNNNNNNNNNNNNNNNNNNNNNNNNNNNNNNNNNNNNNNNNNNNNNNNNNNNNNNNNNNNNNNNNNNNNNNNNNNNNNNNNNNNNNNNNNNNNNNNNNNNNNNNNNNNNNNNNNNNNNNNNNNNNNNNNNNNNNNNNNNNNNNNNNNNNNNNNNNNNNNNNNNNNNNNNNNNNNNNNNNNNNNNNNNNNNNNNNNNNNNNNNNNNNNNNNNNNNNNNNNNNNNNNNNNNNNNNNNNNNNNNNNNNNNNNNNNNNNNNNNNNNNNNNNNNNNNNNNNNNNNNNNNNNNNNNNNNNNNNNNNNNNNNNNNNNNNNNNNNNNNNNNNNNNNNNNNNNNNNNNNNNNNNNNNNNNNNNNNNNNNNNNNNNNNNNNNNNNNNNNNNNNNNNNNNNNNNNNNNNNNNNNNNNNNNNNNNNNNNNNNNNNNNNNNNNNNNNNNNNNNNNNNNNNNNNNNNNNNNNNNNNNNNNNNNNNNNNNNNNNNNNNNNNNNNNNNNNNNNNNNNNNNNNNNNNNNNNNNNNNNNNNNNNNNNNNNNNNNNNNNNNNNNNNNNNNNNNNNNNNNNNNNNNNNNNNNNNNNNNNNNNNNNNNNNNNNNNNNNNNNNNNNNNNNNNNNNNNNNNNNNNNNNNNNNNNNNNNNNNNNNNNNNNNNNNNNNNNNNNNNNNNNNNNNNNNNNNNNNNNNNNNNNNNNNNNNNNNNNNNNNNNNNNNNNNNNNNNNNNNNNNNNNNNNNNNNNNNNNNNNNNNNNNNNNNNNNNNNNNNNNNNNNNNNNNNNNNNNNNNNNNNNNNNNNNNNNNNNNNNNNNNNNNNNNNNNNNNNNNNNNNNNNNNNNNNNNNNNNNNNNNNNNNNNNNNNNNNNNNNNNNNNNNNNNNNNNNNNNNNNNNNNNNNNNNNNNNNNNNNNNNNNNNNNNNNNNNNNNNNNNNNNNNNNNNNNNNNNNNNNNNNNNNNNNNNNNNNNNNNNNNNNNNNNNNNNNNNNNNNNNNNNNNNNNNNNNNNNNNNNNNNNNNNNNNNNNNNNNNNNNNNNNNNNNNNNNNNNNNNNNNNNNNNNNNNNNNNNNNNNNNNNNNNNNNNNNNNNNNNNNNNNNNNNNNNNNNNNNNNNNNNNNNNNNNNNNNNNNNNNNNNNNNNNNNNNNNNNNNNNNNNNNNNNNNNNNNNNNNNNNNNNNNNNNNNNNNNNNNNNNNNNNNNNNNNNNNNNNNNNNNNNNNNNNNNNNNNNNNNNNNNNNNNNNNNNNNNNNNNNNNNNNNNNNNNNNNNNNNNNNNNNNNNNNNNNNNNNNNNNNNNNNNNNNNNNNNNNNNNNNNNNNNNNNNNNNNNNNNNNNNNNNNNNNNNNNNNNNNNNNNNNNNNNNNNNNGGGGGGGGGGAGGAUCCGUUAACGGUGUUAGAGCAUUGCCGUCUGCCUCCGGACUCUUUGCCGUCCGCUAGCAGACGGCAAAGGUCCGACUCCAGUUUGACCUAGCCACCCCGCGGUCAGGUGGGCCUAUCUAUAUCUUUGCCGUCUACCUCUGGACUCUUUGUCGUCCGCUAGCAGACGACAAAGAUGUGACAAAUGGCAAAAAGGCUUUAUGCCAUCAGCAUGUGCUUUGCUGUCUGUUUUGCUGAAGCUGACGACAAAGACACUCUUUGCCAUCAGCUAGCAGAUGGAAAAGACUAGGUAGAUGGCAAAAAACUGUUUUCCAGUAGUGCAGCCUACGUAGGUAAACAAGUGCCACCUCAUCACAAAGUUACACUUCUACAGAACUGCUCAAAACUAGAAUCCAGUGCCACCAUUGGAUUCCUUGGGUUCUCCUACCCCAAAUCCAUAUAUCACACCGCUAUAUAUGCAUGCAGAAAAACACCACAAACAACAAAAGAAAUACUACACAAGAUUAAAACUAACUCUGCCAAGAACAAGAGUUGUUCUUCCCCUGUCAUAUCUGGUAUAAACCAGAUUAGGCAAUUCAACUUCUGGAAUUAAUCCACAAAAGAUAAUAUCAUAGCCAAAAAUAAGAAGAGAAAUAAAUAUGGAUCCAAAACAUCUGAUAAGUGAGUGUUGCCACCCACAAAAGACCCUAUUUUAUAAGAGUAAAUAUUAAAUGCCUUUUAAAAUCAAAAGACCCAGUUUAAAAUCAAAAGACCUAGUUUUCAAAAUAAAAAAAGGAUAAUAAUUCCAGAUAAGUGAGUGUUGCCACCCACACAUAUUUAAAAGGAUUUUCAAAGAAGAUGAACAUUUUUAAUGGGCCAAAACAGGAACUUUAAAACAGGCACAAUUAAUUGAAAAGAGACGAAAGGGUUUUAUUGUCAUGGUGCAACAAGGGUUUUGAAGGUUUCUUGUUGCACCCACACAACUCACAGAUCACACAUGAGCACAUGCACUUACAUACAUUACCAAGGUGGUAACACACAACAACAAGACAAGACAAAGGAUGAUGUCGUGCAUGAUGUCCAAUGCACAUGGAAUGAAGACACAAAGAUCGGCUCACACCAAAAAUAAUACCAUAUCAAGGUUGCCAAACAAGGAAAGAAUAAAAGAACGGGGGAGAAUUGCAAUGGGGUUGUCACAUAAGCGCAGCUACACCACCCUUAUCUAUAAGAGAUGAACCAGCAUGUGAUGAACCGUGAACUCCAAGGCGGUGCCUUCAGGAAGGAAACGACACUAGAGCUCUGCCAUCGCCCGAUUCGAGGAUAUGAGUUUCCCCUAGAGCAACACUACGAGCAAUGAGAGACAUGGUGACAAGUUUAAGAAGGGAACGAGCUUCAUCGUGGCUGGUCCAUCCAAACAUACAUAAGUUUUUCAUCCAGACGAACGCUCACCAUCACUGAACACCACACCCUGGAUACCAUGCCAAGCAUACGACCAUUGCCACCGGGCAACACUGAGCCAUGGGCUUUUUCCAUGAGCACCAUGCUACCACCUCCAGGACCACCAACCUGGCAAACAAGACCUUGACACCACCUCACCCGAGCCCUGUCGCUACCUGAUACGUCUCCAACGUAUCUAUAAUUUUUCCUUGUUUUAUGUUGUUAUAUUAUCAUUCUUGGAUGUUUUACAAACAUUUUACUACAACUUUAUAUUAUUUUUUAGGAGUAACCUAUUAAUGGUUGAAAAAUUUCACAAGUUCUUGUUUCACACUUUGAGUUGUAGGAAUUAAUUAGAAAUUGUCGAAAAAAUGCAAAAGGAGCCUUAUUGAAGGAGGACUGUGACUCUCGUGAAAUCUAUCCACGAACAGUUUUUAGCAAUCGUCAGUUUAACCCCCGAAGAAGGUGUCAAAUGGAAAAAGAUAAAACUAGGAAAGUAUGUGGAAUUUUACGGAAAUAAUUCUCGACUACAAAUUCGUCCAAAACGGAGUUCUUAUGCAAUCUGCAGACCCUUUUUAAUGAAGGAAAAAGAAAUCUUAUUAUGGGAUCACAAGAAUUAUUGACGUGAUUGAAUCCAACUCUUAACAUAUCUAAUAUAUUCGGCCAAGCCACGGUUUUGGAGACUCGUGAGGGCUGUGAUGAGCCCAUAGGAAGGUUCUAGAGGUGCCCGAGAGCCAUUGGAUCAAGGGUCCAUCCAUCGGAGGGCCAUAGAGCACCACAAAGGCACAAAUAAGGAGAUAAAACCCUAAUUUUGGUAGAGCCACCAGGAGCCACGAAUUUGCCUCCAUUGCAGCCGCCAAGAAGGGGAGAGGCUCCUUCAUUGCAGCACCAAGACCAAGGAAGACGAAGGGGGAAGGGGCCGCCGCCCAUCGCCGUUGCCGUGGCCGCAAUUGCCUCCAUCUCUUCGGGGCUGCACCUCUCCAUAAAAAAUCUCACUUUCUCACCAUGAUAAUGUGUGAGUAAUCCUCCUCGGGGCUGAGGGUAUGUACUAGUACCAAUGUGUUCAAUCUCUCUCUCGUGUUCUUGAGAUGGAACGAUCUUGAUGUAUCGCGAGCUUUAUUAAUAUAGAUGAAUCAUAUGGAGUUUUCCCCUCUCUAUCUUCUUGUGAUGAAUUAUGUUUUCCCUUUGAAGUUUUCUUAUCAGAUUGAGUAUUUAAGGAUUUGAGAACACUUGAUGUAUGUCUUGCGAUGGGAUAUCUGUGGUGGCAAUGGAAUGUUCUAUUGUUCCACUUGAUGUAUGUUUUGGGGAUCAACUUGCAGGUUCCAUGACCUUGGGAAUCUAUGCAUACGGGUUGUCACAUGUUUUUGUCUUGACUUUCCGAUAGAAACUUUGGGGCACUCUUUGAAGUUCUUUGUAUUGGAUUGAACAUGAUGAAUCUGAAAUCAUAUAAUCAUGCCCAUGGGUACUUGUGGUGACAUUGGAGUAUCUAGGUGACAUUAGGGUUUUCGUUGAUGUGUAUCUUAAGGUGUUAUUUUAGUACGAACUCUAGGACUGUUCGUGAAACUUAUAGGGAUAGCUCAUAAGAUUGAUCAUAAAAUAUAACUUUGAGGGGGUUUCGUACCCUACAAUAAUUUCUUCGUUUGUUCUCCGCUAUUUGUGACUUUGGAGUGAACUCUUUGUCGCACGUGAGGGAUUUAUAUAUGAUUCAACUAUGUUAGUAUUGUUGAGAGAACUUGCACUAGUGAAAGUACAAACCCUAGACCUUGUUUCCAAACAUUUGUACAAUGUUUUGCUCGCUGUUCACUAUUUGUUACCUUGCUGUUUUAUAUUUUCAGAUUACAAAAACCUAUAUCUACCACCCAUAUUACACUUGUAUCACCAUAGCUUCGCCGAACUAGUGCGCUUAUACAAUUUACCAUUGUAUUGGGUGUGUUGGGGACACAAGAGACUCUUUGUUAUUUGAUUGCAGGGUUGUUUGAGAGAGACUAUCUUCAUCCUACGCCUUUCACAGAAACUUGCUAUUAUCCUACAGAACUCUACCCUUGGAGGCCCAACACGAAUCUACAAGAAGAAGGUUGUGUAGUAGACAUCAAGCUCUUUUCUGGCGCAGUUGCCGGGGAGGUUAGAUAAGCGACACUUACAUCCCGUCAAUGACUUUUGUGGCGCCAUUGCGGGGGAGGUGAGUGAUUGAAGGUAUAUCUUUAGAUCUUACAAUUAAAUCUUUUAGUUUCUUGUUUUUCACUAGUUUGGUUUUAUAAAAUAAAACUAUAAAAAAUGGAAUUGAGGUUGCCUGAUAUGAUUCAUCUUUUCAAUGUCUUUUGUGAAAAUGAUGGAUAGGAAAAUUGUGCUCAAGUGUUAGAAGAAGAAGUUAUUGAAAUGUUUGGUACUAAAUCUUUGUAUGAUGAGCAUGAUUGCAAUGGUGUUAGUAUGAAUUCCUUGGAUAUUCAUGAUGCUAAAGAUAUGCAAAGCCACAAGCUUGGGGAUGCUAUGUUUGAUGAAGAUGAUAUGUUUAGUCCCCCAAGUUUUGAUGAGAAAAUUUAUUAUGAUCAAAGCAUGCCUUCUAUUUAUGAUGAUUAUUGUGAUGACAUGUAUGCUAUAAAGAAUAAUGAUAACCAUGAAACUUGUCAUCAUUUUAAUUUUCAAUUGUAUUAUGCUUCACAUGAUAGUUAUUUUGUUGAGUUUGCUCCCACUACUAUUGACGUGAGUAAAUUUUCUUAUGUGGUGAGUAGUAAAAUAUCUAUGCUUGUAGAUCAUGAAAAGAAUGCUUUAUGUGUUGGUUAUAUUAUGGAAUUCCUUCAUGAUGCUACUGAAAAUUAAUAUGAGGGGGAACAUAUGCUUGUAGGAAUUGCAAUAAUAUCAAGUUUCCUCUCUAUGUGUUCGAAGUUUUGAAGUUAUGCUUGUUUUGCCUUCCUAUGCUAGUUGAUUAUUUCUCCCAUAAAUUGUUUGUUCACAAAAUCCCUAUGCAUAGGAGCUGAGUUAGACUUAAAUGUGCUUGUCAUUAGAUUUAUGAUGCUCUUUUGCAUGUUAUAAUUAUUAUUCCUAUGUGAGCAUCAUUGAAAUUAUCAUACCUAGCUAAAAGGCUUUAAAGAAAAGCGCUUGUUGGGAGAUGAUACGUCCCAAACGUGUCUAUAAUUUCUGUUUGUCCCAUGCUCUUUUGGGUGACAUUGUUAUAUGUUUUGCUACACUUUUAUGCCUUUUACACAUAUUUGGACUAACCUACUAACUCAGUGCACCCAGUGCCAGUUUCUAUCUGCUGAUGUCUUUUAAUUGCACGGACUUUACCCCAAUUUUCAGAGUCCCAAAAAUGCCGAGAAAAUAUAUAAAAAUUAGUGGGACGGAAGCUUCACGAAAAACCGAGGUGGGCCAGAGGGGAUCCAGGCCUCACCCAGGCGGCCACCUCGUGUGGCCCCCCUCCAGGCCGCGCCACCAGGUCGCCUGGGCGGCUGGUCCACCCCUUGGCGCCCUCCUUUGGCCUAUAUUUACCCCUCAGACGAAAAACCCUGAAGAUAUAUCCAGAAUCGCGAAUUUCUCUAUCGUUCCGCCGCCGUAGCGCUUCCGAGAUCGGGAGCGCCAGAAGACCUCUUCCCGGCACCCUGUCGGAGGGAGGAUUGACCUCCGGGAGCUUUUCCACCACCAUGGACGCUUCCCGGACAUGCCGUGAGUAGUCCUCCUUGGACCAUGAGUCCACGACCAGUAGCUAUGUGAUAUAUUCUCUCCAAUCUUGUGCUUCAAUUCUUAGCCCUUGUGAUCUGCCCUACAUGAUCAAGGCAUCUAUGUAAUUUACCAGUUGUUGCUAUGCUGAGUUUGCUGGGAUCCGAUGGAUUAUGAGAUUAUGUUUAGAUUGUGAUGAGUUAUAUAUUUGGUUCUCCUUUUAUAUUAUGUUCUUGAGUAAUUCAUGCAUGUUCUCCGUUGCUUUUUAUUGCUUUGGCCAAGUAGUAGAUUGUGACUCCAAGAGGGAGCGUUAUACAUGAUUGUGGGUUCAUGCCCCCCGAUGUCUAGCUUGAGUGACAGAAACAUGAGACUAGGGGAUGUGCUGUUGCCACCAGGGAAAAAACAACGAUGCUUGUGACCAUGGUUGCAAGGAUUGUUUACCUUACACAAAGUUCGUUAAUGCAGUUGUCCGUUUCUUGGAGUUUACACUUUGGGUGGGGCUUGGAACUUAACACCAGCGAGAUGAUCUGGAUACAUAUCCCAAGGUGGAUGAUUAGAGAGUAGAUGCUGAUGGAUAAAUGGUCUACAUGUCUUGGCGUACUUCCCAUUACUUUUGAGCCUCUAACUUUCUUAUAGCGUGGUUAGCAUCGCAGUGCGUUUAUAAUUCUGUCAGUUGCCCAACUGUAAUUUGUUUACCCAGCAUAGUUGCUUAUCAUCUUUUGGGAGAGAGACAUCACUAGUGAACAUCAUGGGACUGUGGUCCAUAUUUCCACCAUUGUUUACACCUCCAUCAUUUAUCGCUUUUAUUUACUUUUCUGUUGCAAUCACUAUCACUAUUCCCGCUUGUGUUUUGAUCCUUUGCAAACUACAAGGCCGGAGAGAUUAACAACCUCUCUGAACUCGUUGGGAGCAAAGUUAUUUGUUGUGUGUGCAGGUCCACGUCUUCUGCUAGCGCCAGAGCAGCGUACGCCUACUUCUUUAUCCUUGGAGUCCUCCUGGUUCGAUAAACCUUACAGUCCCCGUGUAAGGGAAAUCUGUUGCUGACUACAUCUCAACCUUCCACUUGGGGUAACAAACAAGGGGCAAGAAGUAUAUCCAUCAACUCGUUAUCAAGCAAAUUUCUGGCGCCGUUGCCGGGGACUCCCAUCAUCAAGAUAGGGGAGUUGCACACUAUCUUUUAUCUUUGCUUUUUAGUCUUGUUAGUUUGCUUUGUAGUUUUUGCUUUAGAGUCUUAUACCAAAAACUACAAAAAAAGAGUAGUUAUUUUGCUUUGUUUAGUCUGUAUGUCUAAGUCCUUUUCCUUUGGUGUUGCACCCGAAGGAUAGAUUCUUACCAUCAAAUAAAGGGUUGGAGAAAGUUUGAAAGAUGCUUGGUAUAGAAUUAAAGAUCCUCAAGAUAGAGCCACCAAGAAGCAAUCCACCACUAUUUUGCUUAGAAAUUUUUAUGUUGGUAUUACUUCUUGGAAUAGGUUUGUUCUAGACACAACAAUAGGUGGGAAUUUCUUGGAAGCUCCCGUUUGGCAGGCUCUUAACGUUAUGGAAAAUCUUGUCGGAAUCCCACCUAUUGUUGACAUAAAGGAUGGUAUCACUUUAGCUCACGUUAUGAGUAAACUUGAGAAUAUAGAUCUAGAGAUGCCAAGCAUGGGUAACAUAAAUGAAGUAGAUUGUAAGAUUCAAGGGAACUUAAAUAGACUUGAUAGCUCCAUGCACAAAAUUUACAAAACUUGGGAGACCCUUAAAUCCCAUGAUGUGGAUCCUUCUAGGAUUGAUAAGAUCGAGGAUAUUUUUGGAACUUUAGGAACUACUCUAUCCUCCAUCAAUACUAAAAAGGUAGAAACCCCCGCAAGGAAGGGACCUAAGUUCGUUCACGUACCCAAGGUUCCUCAACCCAAAACAAGUAUACCUAUUGCUAAGGGUGUUGAAACUGUGAAGACCUUGGAAGAGAUACCUCUCUUAAAUAGAAUUAGAAAUGGAAUUCCAAUUGAUCUUACUACCUUUGCUUUUGUUCCUAGAAGUGUUGCCACUAGGCCUCUCUUUGAGAGUCCUCUUAAGAUUAGUUGUAAUAUUGAAGAGCUUUUUGAUGAUCUUUGUGAUGGUUCAAUUGAUACAACUUGAUCUUUGUGCAUCAUGCCUAACUCAAAGGCAUAAAAGAAACCGCUUGUUGGGAGGCAACCCAAUUUAUUUUUACUUUCAGUUUUAGUGGUCUUGAUGCUUAUUACUACUGUAGCAACAUCAUUGUAUCUUUAUUUUCAAGCUUUGUGCCAAGUUUUAGCCUUCGGUUGCAAGAAAGCUCAAAAGUUGUGACAUGGUGUCGAGAAACAGAUUAUGUCUGCUUGUCGGAAAAAUCCGCCAAACAUCACCAGAUAAUAUUUUUGAUCUGAAUUGUUUUGACAGUAUGCUCUAUAUAGUUGUAUUUCUGGCAUAUUUUCUAAGUUUUUUAUUUGAGUUGCAAAAGCGCCCCGAAAAAAUCAUUUACUACCUGUUGUUCUGUUUUUCCCAGAUUCUGCCAUGUUUUGCGUUUUCAUUGUCUUCCAAAUCUUAAGCUUGCUUUUUCUUUGCAAAAACCUUUUGGCAACCUUUAGAAACAGUAUCUCUUCCUGAAAAUCUUUAUUUCCAGUAGAGAAAAAUAUAUUUUAUUAUGGGCACUAACCACCCUAAUCAGCUUAUGAUGAGUUUUCUAUGAAGGGAGUUGUCAAGUAUGCGAUGGAAGAUGAUGAAAGAAGAUUUAGCAGUGUCAAGCGCUCAAGCUUGGGGAUUCCCCUAUGCACCCCCAAGAAAUAUUCAAGGAGACUCGAGCGUCUAAGCUUGGGGAUGCCCCCGUGCAUCCCCAUCUCCAUUGAUACGUCUCCAACAUAUCUAUAAUUUUUGAUGGUUUCAUGCUAUUAUCUUGUCAAACUUUGGAUGUUUUAUAUGCCUUUUACAUCUUUUUUGGGACUAACUUAUUAACUCAGUGCCAAGUGCCAGUUCCUGUUUUUUCCGUGUUUUGACCCUUUUCAGAGGAAGAUUUGAAACAAAGUCCAAACGGAAUAAAAUCCCCGAAAAGAUUUUUUUUGAAACAGAAGAAGAUCGGGAAAAUUGAGAACCAAGCCAGGGGGUCCCCAGGGACCCCAGAAGCGCCCUAGCCCCGGCCAGGGGGGAGGCCGGGCCUCCCUGGCUUGUGGGCCCCCUGGAGCUCCUCUGCCCUAGGUUUUUUGCCUAUAUAUUUGAUGUCAACUGUUCUUCCCCUUUGCAACGAUACCAGAAGAAUUCUACUAGCACUCUCCGGCAAUCUAAACUAGAAGAAUGUUGUUGACGGCCCACCAGCGCAUGGGAUCGUAGCAGCUUUCGAGGGUAGAGUAUUCGACCCAAAUUUUUUGAUCGCCAAACAGGAGGUGAGAGAAUACUCUCGAGUAUUAGCAGCUGAAUGCGUCAGAUUCAACCACACCUAAAAGAUUAGUAUCUGCAAGCAAAGUAGUAACAACAAAGUAAUAUGAUAACAACGGUGUCAGAAACGAUCUGUUGACGGCAGACUAUUCCUAACUGUCGUAUCAAUGGCGCCAAGUUGCCUCAUUGACGGAAAUUGUCAGUUCCCAUCAAUGAUCAGCGAUCAAGAUUGUAGCAGGUAGCAGCAGUGUAACGAGCAAUAGCAACGGCAAGGAAAAGCAGUAGUGACAGCAGUAGCAAGUAGCAACAGUAGGAAGCGAUGGCAGUAGCAACAGUAGCAGCAGAGCAAGACAAGUAACAACAGUAGCAACAGUAGUAACAACAGCAGAGCAAGACAAGUAACAACAGCAGUAGGACAAACUCGUAGGCAAUGGGUCGGUGAUUUGUUUGGAUGAUAUUCAUCAUGCAACAGUUAUAACACGGAGAGAUAUGUGGCUAGCUCCCGUUCGUCAAUGUGAUGUAGGCAUGCAUUCCGUGUGUCGUCAUACGUGCUUAGGGAAAAGAACUUGCAUGACAUCGAUUGUCCAUCCCUCCCGUGGCAGCGGGGUCCAAAAGGAAACUACGGGAUAUUAAGGUUCUCCUUUUAAUAAAGAACCGGACCAACGCAUUAGCACUUGGUGAACACAUGAACUCCUCAAACUAUGGUCAUCACCGGGAGUGGUUCUGGUUAUUGUCACUCCGGGGUUGCCGGAUCAUAACACAUAGUAGGUAACUACAACUUGCAAGAUCGGAUCUAAAACACACAUAUAUUGGUGACAACAUAAUAAUUUUAGAUCUGAAAUCAUGGCACUUGGGCCCAAGUGACAAGCAUUAGCAUGGCAAAGUAGUAGCAACAUCAAUCUCAGAACAUAGUGGAUACUAGGGAUCAAUCCCCAUCAAAACUAACUCGAUUACAUGAUAGAUCUCAUCCUACUCAUCACCGCCCAGCGAGCCUACGAAUAGAUUACUCACGAACGACGAAGAGCUCCAUGGAAUUGGAGAGGGAAGAAGGUUGAUGAUGACGAUGGCGACGAUUUCCCCUCUCCAGAGCCCAAGACGGACUCGAGAUCUGCCCUCCAGAUGAAGAACAGGUAGUGGCAGCGGCUCCGUAUCACAAACGCCAUGAAAACUUCUCUAUUUAUUUUUUCUGGGACGAAAGUGAACUUAUAGACCUGAGGUUGGGGGCGCCACAGCCGUGUGGGCCCCACAAGCCUGCCCACCGCCACCAGGGGGGUGGCGGAGCCAGGGCUUGUGGCCCACUGGCCCACCCCCUCAGGUGGCACUUGGCACAGAUAUUUUUCAUAUUUUCCAAAACUUCUCCCCGUAGAUUUUCAGGACGUUUGGAGAACUUUGAUUUCUGCACAAAAAUAACACCAACGCAAUUUUGCUGAAAACAGCGUUAGUCCAGGUUAGUUCCAUUCAAAUCAUGCAAAUUAGAGUCCAAAACAAGGGAAAAAGAGUUUGGAAAAGUAGAUACGAUGGAGACGUAUAAAUAUUCCCUAAAAUCCCAGAAAAAAUCAAGAGAUCAUCGAAAGUACUUUUCCACCGCCGCAAGCUUUUGUCUCCGCAAGAUCCCAUUCGGGGCACGUACCGGUGCCUUGCCGGAGGGGAGAUUCGGAUACGGAGGGCAUCUUCAUCAACACCAUGACCUAUCCGAUGAUGCUUGAGUAGUUCACCAUAGACCUACGGGUCCAUAGCUAGUAGCUAGAUGGCUUCUUCUCUCUCUUGGAUCUUUAAUACAAAGUUCUCCAUGAUCUUCAUGGAGAUCUAUCCAAUGUAAUCUUCUUUUGGGGUGAGUUUGUCGAGAUCCGUUGAAUUCUGGAUUUCUGAUCAGAUUAUCUAUGAAUCUUAUUUGAGUUUCUUCUGAUCUCUUUUAUGCAUGAUUUCAUAUCCUUGUAAUUCUCUUCGAGUUGUGGGUUUUGUUUGGCCAACUAGAUCUAUGAUUCUUGCAAUGGGAGAAUUGCUUGGUUUUGAGUUCAUACCGUGCGGUGACCUCACCUAGUGACAGAAUGGGUAACGAGGCACGCAUCAUGUUGUUGCUAUCAAGGGUAAAAAGAUGGGGUUUUCAUCAUUGGUUUGAGAUUAUCCCUCUACAUCAUGUCAUCUUGCUUAAGGCGUUACUCUGUUCGUCAUGAACUCAAUACACUAGAUGCAUGCUGGAUAGCGGUCAAUGUGUGGAGUAAUAGUAGUAGAUGCAGAAAGUAUCGGUCUACUUGUCUCGGACGUGAUGCCUAUAUGUAUGAUCAUUGCCUUAGAUAUCGUCAUGACUUUGUGCGGUUCUAUCAAUUGCUCGACAGUAAUUUGUUCACCCACCGUAAUAUUUGCUAUUUUGAGAGAAGCCUCUAGUGAGCACUAUGUCCCCCAGGUCUACUCCACACUAUAUUUUCAGCCUUACUCCUUUUCUUCGUUGCACUUUCCGCCUUCAGAUCUCACUUUGUAAUCAAUCUUGAAGGGAUUGACAACCCCUUUAUAGCAUUGGGUGCAAGCUCGUUUGUGUUUGCGCAGGUACUCUGGAGUUGACGAGAUUCUCCUACUGGAUUGAUACCUUGGUUCUCAAACUGAGGGAAAUACUUACUGCUCCUGUGCUGCAUCACCCUUUCCUCUUCAAUGUAAAAACCAACGCAAGCAAGUCUCUGUCAACGUGUCAAUUUCUGGCGCUGUUGUUUGAGAAGUAGCAUCCAUCAACAAUCAUCAGUUCGCCCUUCUCCAUGCUAUAUUUUUGUCACUUCAUAUGUUAUGUGCUAUGCUUGGAGCGUCCCGCUCUUUAAUUUUUAGUUUGUUUUAUUUUUUCUUGCUGUUCAUAACAAGUUGGAACCUAGCCUUCUUGGUUUGGGAGAGAAACACGCUCCACUCCACCCUAGAACACAACAUAGGUUUUCAUGCUUAUCUUUUUUGUGUGUUCUUUAUCUUUUCAUAGCUGUUGUCAUGCUUAGCUCUUAGUUUUCAUGCUUUAUAUUUUUAAGAGCUUUUAUUUAGGUUGCUUUUGGAACUCUCUUGAGUUAUCAUGCUUAUCUUGUUUAGAGAGUUGGCUUAUUGCACUGAGUUGUGUGUCUUGCAUGAGUAAACUGAGGUUGCUAUUUAAGUGUAGUAGUAACUUGCAAUAGUUUUGAGUAAUGUUUGGAGUUUUGGUGUCAUGAGCUUGAGCCUAUUAGUGAUAGGUGUCGUAUUUUCGGAAAUCCAUGUGUGUUUUCAAAAACUAAAAAAAAUAGCUGAGAACUCUAGCUACUAGAUGGAUCGCUAACCUCUGGAGGGGUUGGAAUAUAUAGAGUACCCUCACGUUAUCAUGGGUCGAUGAUGCGCAAGGACUCCUCCUCGGGGUGCUUGUCUAUUUGCGAAUCUCCUGACUAGAUAGAGAGUUACCUAUAAUAAGUGCAUGAGUUCUUCGGACUAAUGUGAGUAUUCGAUUGUUGGCACUUCCACCAUCCAUAUUUUGCUAGCCUCUUUCGUACCGUGCAUUGCCUUUUCUCAUCUUGAUAGUUGGUGGAAAUUUCGCCGGUGCAUCCAAACCCUUGGCAUGAUACGCUCUGUCAUCAUAAGCCUCAUUGUAUCCUUCCUCAAAACAGCCACCAUACCUACCUAUUAAGGCAUUUUCAUACCCUUUCCGAGAUACAUUGACAUGCAACAUCCACCAUCUCAUGACUUGAUCUUCAUUUCGUACAUGCUUUUGCUUGAUCGAGGAGCCGCAUGAUAGUUGGGCCUUGCCCUUAUUAUUGCUACAUGACGCGCUAGAUUCAUUGCAUAUCCUGCUACACUGGCAGAGGCAUACAUUUGCAUACAUCAUGAUAGUUUUCAUUUGUCUUUAUGUUGAGUACUUCUUAUAAAGUGUGAAGAUCUUCUUUUUAUUCUUGUAGAAUAUAGAGUGUUGCCCUUAAGUGAGGAAGAGAUCCCAAAGAGGACAAUUUAAAAGAUCCCAGAAGAGGACACAUGAAAAGAUCCCAAAGAGGACAAAUGUGAGAUAAAUAGAAAGAGCCAAAGAGGCCACAAAAAAAAGAGAGAGAAGGGGUCAACACUACUAUUCCUUUUGAAAGAUCCACACUCGUACUCCAUUGUUAUAUUUGUACUCCAUAGAGAUUAUCAUUCAUGCAUAACUAUGUGGGAACCCUUACACUAUACAACUUGGCUUGUAUAUUCCAAUGAUGAGCCUCCUCAAAUGAGCUCUAGGUCUUCAUGAGCAAGCAAGUUGGAUGCACCCCCACUAGUUACAUUGGAGAGCUUACCUUAGCUCAUAUGUGCAUCCGUUGCAUGGCAAUCCCUACUCCUCACAUCAUAUCUAUCAUUUGGCUUUCUCUCGCCUAUGGUUGUCCUCAUUGAUGUGAGCCUUUCACAGCUUUUUUGUCUUCCUUCCCCAUCAUUAUUCUCUUUGCUAUCAUAAGUGCCAACAUAUGUUGCUUGCACUCAUCCAUUGCAUGAGUGCUCAAAGUCGAAAGGGAGAGGGUCAUUUUGACUUGUGCCUGACUGGUGGUCUGGGGAUGAGUCAAAAUAAGAUUCCGAAGGAGAUCAAGUGUGAAGUUUUUGUAGAUUGAGUUCUCAAUUAAAUUAUAAUAUUUUUAUGCUCUAAACACAUCUCCCACUUCGUGCACGCAAACACCACUUGGAGACAUUCAACUCACGGACAGCGAGAGCUCUUGCACCUUUAUGUUCUUACUUUGCUAUUUUCAAUACUAAAUAUAGACACUUGCUUGUUAUUGUCUUGACUUGAAUUGCAUAUCUUACUUGCUUUACUUUGAAGUUCUUAUAUGUGUGUUAGCAUGUCACCACAGAAAUUAUUUGUGUUAUCAUAUAGCUACUCGAGGACGAGCAGGAAUUAAGCUUGGGGAUGUUGAUACGUCCCAAACGUAUCUAUAGCUUAUGUUUGUUCCAUGCUCUUUUGGGUGACAUUGUUAUACGUUUUGCUACACUUUCAUACCUUUUUACACAUAUUUGGACUAACCUACUAACUCAGUGCACCCAGUGCCAGUUUCUGUCUGCUGAUGUCUUUUUAUUGCAGGGACUUUACCCCAAUUUUCAAAGCCCCAAAAAUCUCAAGAAAAAUAUAUAAAAUUCAGCAUGACGGAAGCUUCACGAAGCACCAAGGUGGUCCAGAGGGGAGCCAGGCCUGACCCAGGCGGCCACCUGGCGAGGGCCCCCUCCUGGCCGCGCCACCAGGUCGCCUGGGUGGCUGGUCCACCCCCUAACGCCCUCCUUUGGCCUAUAUUUACCCCUCGACCGGAAAACCCUAAAGAUAUAUCCAGAAUCGCGAAUUUCACCACCGUUCUGCCGCCGUAGCGCUUCCGAGAUCGGGAGCACUAGAAGACCUCUUCCCGGCACCCUGUCGGAGGGAGGAUUGACCUCCGGGAGCUUCUCCACCACCAUGGACGCUUCCCGGAUGUGCCGUGAGUAGUCCUCCUUGGACCAUGAGUCCAUGACUAGUAGCUAUGUGAUGUCUUCUCUCCAAUCUUGUGCUUCAAUUCUUAGCCCUUGUGAGCUGCCCUUCAUGAUCAAGGCAUCUUUGUAAUUUACCUACUGUUGCUAUGCUGAGUUUGCUAGGAUCUAAUGGAUUAUGAGAUUAUGUUCACAUUGUGAUGAGUUAUAUAUUUGGUUUUCCUUUUAUAUUAUGUUCUUGAGUAAUUCAUGCAUGUUCUCCGUUUCUUUUUAUUGCUUUGGCCAAGUAGUAGAUUGUGACUCCAAGAGGGAGCGUUAUGCAUGAUUGUGGGUUCAUGCCCCCUGAUAUCUAGCUUGAGUGACAAAAACAUGAUACUAGGGGAUGUGUUGUUGCUACAAGGGAGAAAACAACGGUGCUUGUGACCACGGUUGAAAGGAUUGUUUACCUUACGUAAAGUUCGUUAAUGCAGUUGUCUGUUGCUUUGAGUUUACACUUUGGGUGGGGCUCGCAACUUAAUACCUACGAGAUGAUUUGGAUAGAUAUCUCAAGGUGGAUGAUUAGAGAGUAGAUGCUGAUGGAUAAACGGUCUACUUGUCUUGGCGUACUGCCCAUUACUUUUGAGCCUCUAACUUUCUUCUAGCAUGAUUAGCAUUGCGGUGCGUUUAUAAUUCUGUCAAUUGCCCAGAUGUAAUUUGUUUACCCAACAUAGUUGUUUAUCGUCUUUUGGGAGAGAGACAUCACUAGUGAACAUCAUGGGACUUUGGUCCAUAUUUCCACCAUUGUUUACACCUCCAUCAUUUACUACUUUUAUUUAGUUUUCCGUUGCAAUCACUAUCACUAUUGCUGCUUGUGUUUUGAUCCUUUGCAAACUACAAGGCCGAAGAUAUUGACAACCUCUCUGAACUCGUUGGGAGCAAAGUUAUUUGUUGUGUAUGAAGGUCCACGUCUUCUGCUAGCGCCAGAACAGUGGACACCUACUUGUUGAUUCUCAGAGUCCUCCUGGUUCCAUAAACCUUACAGUACCCAUGUAAGGGAAAUCUGCUGCUGACUACAUUUGAACCUUCCACUUGGGGUAACCAACGAGGGGCGAGAAGUAUAUCCAUCAACUCGCCAUCAGGAGACAACCCAACACUUUUACUUUCUGUUUUGAUGUGUUCACAAGAUUAAUCUACUGUAGUAAUCAAGUUUUAUAGCUUUUGUUUCAAUAAAGUGCCAAGUAAAGCCUUUGGCAUAGUGUGGAUGAUAGUUGAGUUGACUAUGUGCAAAAACAGAAACUUUUGCUCUAGGUCCAGGAAUUUUGUAAAUUCACUGGAAUGUCCUUUUGAUCUAAAUUUUUUACACAUGAUUGAUAUACAAAUUGCCUGGAUUGUCCUAUUUUUUCAUAAUUUGUAGAGACAGGGAAGUAUGGUUACACUACAGAUCUUCACAGACUAUUUUGUUUUUGAUAGAUUCUGUUUUGCAUGCAUAGUUUCCUUGUUUUUGUGUUCCCAUAGCUUAUAUUCAGUGAUAUAAAUUAGUGCGUUGGGUGAUUCUGCUGACACGCGGGUGCAGCCCCGCAUUUCGUUGUGGGGUAGUGCAUGGGAGGCUAUCGCAGAUGCACCUUACACUGCCCUAUGAUGGUUUCUUCGGGCACACCCCAUGGUCCAAUCAUCAUGGACCACCCAACGAGGUCCCCGGGCCUACGCCGUUCGAGCAGGUUGGACGGUGCGGUGACGUCCCGAGUGGCCCUCCUGCCACACCAUUACUAGAUGGACGACUGGGAGUGUAUGAGUUGUUGGAUUUCCCGAAAGGAAGCACAUAAAGUAUUUUCCUUAGUUAAGAACCAAGGUUUAUCAAAUCACUAGGAGUCACCAAGCUAAGAUCGUUAGUAGUACAUGCACACCAACAAAUAAAUUGCUUGCACCCACAAAUCAAGGAGGUCGCCAAUCCCCUUGUUGUUGCUAGUUAUAAUAUUAAAUCAAAUAGUGAUAGGAAAAGCGAGAAAAUAGAAAAAGAAAGUAAAGAGCAAUUGUAGGAGUUUUUAUAUUCAUAGAAAAUAGACCCGAGGGCAUAGGUUCACAAGCCACACCUCUCUCAAAAGCAGGUAAUGGCAUGGUAACAAAUUGUUGUUGGACAACUGAAAAAAUACCUUAAAUUAUAACUUUGGUCAUUGAUGGUAUAAUCUCACAUAGGCAUUGCAUGUGGGAUAAGUAGACUCUUAAUCCAACAACAUCUACUAUUUUAUGGCAUAUUUCUACCCUAGUGGUUUUGGUAAUUGAUGACAAUGCAAUAGCGCACUAAUCGUGUGCACUAAGCCUUUCAGGUAUUUCAACGUAUGGCACAAGAUGAUUCAUUCCCCUUGGUGUACUAAUGUGAGGACGGUUUUCUUCCUUAUGUUUCACUGUCGGUGGAAUUGAGUCAUAGGAAAAGCCGUACUAUUAAUAGGCGGCACGCAUUGGAAAGGUUUGGGUGGAAUCAUCAUGUACACAUUUUAUCACACCCUUGUUCCUUUCCCGCGACGAUGGAGCCUCUAACCUUGGCAUUGUUCUGCCUGAAGAUACCCAAGCGGUAGUACCGCUCCCAGGAGAGGUACUACCUGUUAUCUUGGGUGGUAGUGUCAUGGCUUGUGCCGCUUCCUCGGUGUCUCGCCACUUUUCGUGUCCGUCUGAGCAGUUUCUGGAGUGGUAGCUCUCGGUGGUAGUACCUCUUAGUACUAUCAUGUCAGUUUCGCUCACGUUUUCUUAGGUUGGGCUCUCACUAGAUCUUGAGCGGAUGUAGGUGGCGGUACUACCCCUUAUUGGCAGGAGUACCGCCCCUGGUAGCGGUAGUACAACCCUGGUAGUACGACCUCCCUCCGCCUCCCUCCUAAUUUGCUACUCCGUAGCCACAUUGGUAGUACCGCUCCCUCAGGAGCGGUACAACCUCUCAUGGGCGGUAGUAUCGUACAUGUGUGGGCUUUGUGACUGGAUAACGGUUGGAAUUGUCCCCCCCCCAGUAUAUAAAGGAGGUCUUCUAUCCCAAGAAGUUUACCUUUUCUCAAACCUAAGCUCCAUUGUUGCUCCAAGCUCCAUUUUCACCUGAUCUCUCUCCCUAGCCAACAAAACUUGUUGAUACUCUAGGGUUUUCUUGAGAGGGCCUUGAUCUACACUUCCACCAAGAGAAAUUUGAUUCCCCCCACUAAACCGUCGUGGAUCUUGUUACUCUUGGAUGUUUGAGCACCCUAUACGGUUGAGGUCAGCUCGAAGCCAAAUUCCAUUGUGCUAAAGCUUCGUGAUUUCGUUGGGAGCCUCCUAUUAAGUUGUAGAGAUUUCCCCAACCUCGUUUGUAAAGGUUCGGUCAUCGCCUUCAAGGGAACCAGUAGUGGAAUAACAACAUCUCACAUUGUGUAAGGGCGUGAGAAGAAUACGGUGGCCUUAGUGGCAUAUUGGGGAGCAUUGUGCCUCCACACCGCUCCAACGGAGACGUACUUCCCCUCAAAGGGAAGGAACUUCGGUAACACAUCAUCGCCUUCAUCGGUUCCACUUGUGGUUACUUCUUACCUUCACUUUGUAUUUGUUACUUGCUUCUUGUUGUUUUUGUUAGCAUCAUAUAUGUUUCUCACCUAGUUGCAUAUCUAGAUAACCUAUUUGUUGCUAAACUUAGUUUGUUGAAGAAAAGCUAAAAAAUGGUAGUUGCCUAUUCACCGUCCCCCUCUCUAGUCAACCAUAUCGAUCCUUCAAUUGAUAUGAGAGAAACGUCUCUUUGUUAAGGGUUUCACCACCCAAAGAGUAUGGUUAACAAUGGGAUCAGGUUGUGGAUUUACCCGAGGCCAUGGGUGUGAGCACGUUCUCCCGAGAGGAUUUAAAUGAGGCAAUUUUGUCACUUAAAUCCUCUAUGGCGACCGACAAAAAAUCCAUGUUAACAAUUUCCUUGACUGGCUCAAACUCUCUGCCGAUCCAUUGCGAGUCGUUAACCCCACUACUUUGGACUAGGAUGCCAACUCUGAUAAGGAGAUGGCUAUUAUUGAUAAAAACAAGUUUCCUUAAGGAACAGACGACGGAUAACUAUGCCUCGAUUCCUCUUCCCGUGGUCUAGGAGGGCGGGUUCACUCAUCGCAUAAUAUUAAACUUCGCCCUCCUCCUAAACUUGUUAAGAAUGAUUUUGCUAAUUGGUUUUUUCGUAUCAAGUCUCAUUUUAAUCACAGCUCAACACAACUUUGGAGAAUCGUUGAGAAAGGGUACUAUCCUUAUGAUUCAAGCAACCUCACUUCAAGAGAAUAGGUCGACAAUCAACUCAAUCACUCCGCCUUGUUCAUCCUUUAAGAGGCUAUCCCCGUUGAAGAUCUUGCUCACUUGCGGUAUUUCACUUGUGCUAAGGAUUGUUGGGAACCGAUUGUUUCCAUGUACAAGGGAAGCUCGAGUACUCAACACUCCAAUUUUGAGGCGGUUCUUGAUGAGGCCGAUGAUUUUGUGAUGCUUCAUGAUGAGGACCCUCCUGAGCUCUAUCGGAGAGUGACAACUUUUGUCGUUGCUCUUCAAGAUCAUGGAAGCAAGGAUGUGGAUGACAAUUGGAUCAGGCAGAAGUUUCCCAAGGCCGUCAUGCCAUUCAACAAGGACUUGUCAUCCAUCAUCCGUCAAAGGCCGGAGUUUCACUCUUUGCCCUCAAGUGAUGUGUUGGAUGAAUCCAUGCCAUGAACAUAUUGAACAAGACCGCCGACAACUCUCUAGCUCGUGUCCAAUGUGUUGGAAAUAUGCCCUAGAGGCAAUAAUAAAUUGGUUAUUAUUAUAUUUCCUCGUUCAUGAUAAUUGUUUAUUGUCCAUGCUAGGUGAGCCUCUAGUUGAGUAGCUCGUUGAUCAAGAUGGUCAAGGUUUCCUCACCAUAGACAAGGGUUAUCACUUGAUAACAGGAUCACAUCAUUAGGAGAAUGAUGUGAUGGACAAGACCCAAACUAUGAAACGUAGCAUAUGAUCAUGUCAGUUUAUUGCUACUAUUUUUGCAUGUCAAUGUAUCUAUUCCUAUGACCAUUAGAUCAUCGAACUCCCGGAUACCGGGUGAAAGGAUGUGGAUGUCGCCUAGAGGGGGGUGAAUAGGCGCUUUAACAUAAUUACGGUUUAGGCUUGAACAAAUGCGGAAUAAAACUAACGUUUAAUUUGUCAAGCAGAAAUUUAAUUUGUCAAGCAGAAAACCUAAAACAACUAGGCUCGCCUAUGUGCACCGACAACUUAUGCUAAGCAAGAUAAACAACUAAGUGGUAGCAAGAUAUAUGACAAGAAACAAUAUGGCUAUCACAAAGUAAAGUGCAUAAGUAAAGGGUUCGGGUAAGAGAUAACCGAGGCACGCGGAGAUGACAAUGUAUCCCGAAGUUCACACCCUUGGGGAUGCUAAUCUCCAUUUGGAGCGGUAUGGAGGCACAAUGCUCCCCAAGAUGCCACUAAGGCCACCGUAAUCUCCUCACGCUCUCGCACAAUGCAAGAUGUCAUGAUUCCACUAAGGGACCCUUGAGGGAGGUCACCGAACCUAUACAUACAAGGUUGGGGCAAUCUCCACAACUUAAUUGGAGGCUCCCAAAAAAACCACGAAGCUUCACCACAAUGGCAUAUGGCUUCGAGGUGACCACAAAUGCUCGGGGCAAUCUCCACAACUUAAUUGGAGACCUCGACGCUUGCCCGGAGCUUUAAACCACAAUGAUUGAGCUCCGAGGCACCAGCAAGCUUCUAGGGGUACCAAGUACCCAAGGGUAAUAAGCUUCUCAACUUCUCACUUCCACGUAUCACUGUGGAUAACUCAAACUGAUGCAACUAAUGCAAUGGCAAUAACACAUGAAGUGGUCAAGUCCCUCACACUCAAAUCUCUCCACAACAACAAAAGCUAUGGAGUAAUAUGAGAGGAAGAACAAGGAGCUCCAAAGAACUCCAAGAUCAAGAUUCAAGGGGUUCCCCUCACAUAGAGGAGAAAGUGAUUGGUGGAGAUGUGGAUCUAGAUCUCAUCUCUCCUUACCCUCAAGAACUAGCAAGAAUCAUUGGAGGGAUUGAGAGUUAGCAAGCUCUAAGAAGGUCAGCAAUGGGGGAAGAACACGAACUCAACGGAUAGAUAAGGUCCAAUGGGGAAGAAGACCUCCUUUAUAUAGUGGGGGGGGGGGACGAAUCCAACCAUUAAGCCCACUCACAACCCAACUGGAGCGGUACUACCGCUGCUCAGAGCGGUACUACUGUUCCCAGAAUGUCCGAGGGAGCGGUAGUAAAAAAUUACUACCGCUCCAGGAGCGGUAUUACCUCUCGCACCAUGAGCGGUACUACCGCUGGAUACUAAAACUGCACUAACUUUUGCAUACGAACUCUGAAUCGAGAAAACUCAAGCUUGUUGAAUUUACAACGAUAAGAGCUAUCCACAAGCGACAUAAAAUCUUAAGAACAUGCAGUUAGAAAAUUACAAUGAUAUAGAGAAGUGAUACCUCUAUGAAUGAAGAAUCGACAAAAACUUCCAACAUUGAAAACAUCAUAGAAGAUGCAUAUGUACUCCGUUUUCGAUGAACUCGAGCUUGUCUUGAAGAUGACCAUAAGCUCUAAAACUCAUAAAGAGAAACACCAAACGAGAACCAAGAAAUAUGAUGCAAGGAUGCAAAUGGUUUGAGCUCUCAACGAACGAUACGAUCAAGCUACUCACUAGAGAUCCCCCCUUUACAGUACGACAAUCUGUCCUAAAAUAGAAAACCUAUCAAGGGAAAACCUAUACCUUGCACCUAGUCCUCUUGAGCUAGAUGAUGAUGAUCUUGGCUUUCUCAAGAUGGACCACCUUUCUUGAUUGCCUUGGUUUGACGAAGAUUAGUUGAUUGCUCCCCCAUACUCACUAUGGGUGAGCCACUUUUCAGCACAUAUUCAUAGGUCCAUUGCCACCACAAUGGACGGCAAGCUUAAAGCAUGAUAUCUUCGUGGUGCUCCACUUGAACUUGCACACCGCAAUCUUGAUGACGAUUACCACUUGAUGUCAUCCUUCAUAGGCUGAAUGAGAUCUUCCUCUUGACGCAAACCCAUGGAGACACACCUAACCCCACAUAGAAGUCUCACAAGGACCAUGGGUUAGUACACAAAAGCGUUAUGGACAAUGCUUACCAUACCAUGGGAUCACUUGAUCCCUCUCGGUACAUCUGGUACACUUUGUGUGUUGAUCAUCUUAAUUUACUCUUUGCUUAGUCUUGAUCAACCUUGUGUCUUUAUGACCAAUCUUUGGAUAAUACCUUGAAUACCACCUUGGUCAUCAUAUAAACUCCUCGACACCAACAGAUGGACUUCAAGAAGUGCCUAUGGAAAAAUCCUUCGAAUAUAACUUAAGCAUCCAUUAGUCCAUAGGGAUUGUCAUCAAUUACCAAAACCACAUAUGGAGAAAUAUGCUCUAACAAUCUCCCCCAUUUUGGUAAUUGAUGACAAUCAGUACAAGAGAGUUUAUAUAAGAAAAUAAGCAUAACCAAGCACACACAUACAAAGCUAUAAUGCAUGCGUACAAGAUGUAAAUGCUUAAGCAAUAAAAGCAAAACCCUCUAUGCAUCACAAAACUAAACUCUCUAAACUUCUCCCCCAUUGGCAUCGAUUGCAAAAAUGGACAAAAAGUUUAGAAAGCCAAUAUAGUAGGUGGUCCUCCAAAAAGUGUGUACUUCUCAACAAUAGUGCAAAGAAAUGCACAAAUACAAUGAUAAACGUUGGAGGAAAACGAACUAUAUCAAGGACCCAAAGAUUGCAGGAAGGAUCUAAUGUCACACAGACGUACAAACGAGAGAAGCACACAAUCAAAAGAUACCAAUAGGAACAAGCAAUCAUAUGGUCCUUCGAACCACAUGAAUAAAAGAUAUUAUGAUAAGGACAAUAGUGUGUUUUAUAAAAACUAGAGAAGCUCCCCAUGAUUUGUGCACUAAUAAGAUAUUUUUUGUAUUUGAUACAAGUGCAAAAAAUAGGAUGGUUGCUCCCCCAAAAUUAAUAAAAGCACACAACAAGUGCAAGAAAAUAGAUGAGACAAUAAGUAUAUCACUUGCACAAAACAUAUGGUUGAGCAACAUGUAAAAGAGGCAACUUAAGAGUAGGCUCAACCAAAAUGAUGCAUGUGAGUCAUGGCAAGGCACUUGAGAAGACUAAGGCGAGGAUGAGCAUUACUCAUGCAUAUAUUAUUGAAGAAAUAAGAACAAAGUGCAAGACAUAUUCUUCCCCCACACACACUACUAGCAAAUAGGUUCACAAGCUUACUAAUAAACAAAUUGAGAACCAACGGUUUUGACAACCCAUGGUGAAGAAAUGAAAUAAUAACCUUGUCAAGAGAAGGGAUACCAACCAAAAUGUCAAUACCCUUGUCAAGACAGGUAUGAGGAAAAAUAAUCUUCUCUACCAACGAGUGCAUCAGGAUGCAAGGAUAAAAGAUCCGCACUCAAGACAAAUCCUUUCACUAAGCCACCAAAAAUUGAAAAAGAAAAUGCAACGGUGGACAUGAAAGAAAAGAGGAUAUCAACUAGAGAUGUAACUUCUCUCAUGUGUAAAAGAUUCUAGGUAGAAGAAAAUCAUGAUGAUAUAUAUCCAGAAAGAAAGAUGUAGACAUGAAAUGGUUACAAGAAGGAACAAACAAGAUAUCCAAAAGGAAGUCAUAAAUAAACCAAUAAGAUCUUUCCCUGAAAGCAUAGCACAUGGACUAAUAUUUUCUUAUUGUACAAUAUGAACUUCCAACUUAUGAACAUCAAAGACAUCCCAACUAGCAAUAAUACAUCAUUGUUCGGAUGCUUUGAGGAAGGAAACAAAUACCACAAGAACGAAUCAAGAAAUUCAUGCCAUGAUGCAACCUACGAAAGGUUGAAUGCAAGAAAGGGAUGCAUAGAGUAGAUACUUGUUACCGAGAUAGCACUGGAUUGAUGUAGUAGAUAGUUGUUUGUUGAUCAUCCUAACUUGGAUCCAAUAAGCACAUGGUGUUAACACCUUCCUUGUAGGUGAGCCAAGCAUCCAAUGCCUCUCCAAUUGUUCCUAGAACAACAAAACAAACAAAACAGUGCCCAAACUCAUUGGGACCAAAGAGUUAGAAAACCAACAAUACAUAGGACAAACUCCACAUAAAUAUGUGCAUAUAGAUAUGAAAUUGAAUUUCAUGCACACUUUAGCCAAUUUAUGACAAGGUGGAGUUUCCCCUAUAUAUCAGGUCAAGGAAAGAAAGCAUGCAAAAGAAACUAUAUGUAUAUAGUAAAUAUGCAUGCUCAAGGCAUUAAAAAUCAAAUCAACACGUAGUUGAUAAGACACCAAAAGACAAGGUAUCAAGUAAAAAUAAAAUACCAAACGAAAAAUUAUCACUUGAAGGAUUCCAAUUAAAAGAUACAUCAAAGAAUGAUAUCCAUUGACACAUGCCAGACAAAAGGAAACACGAUAUCAAUUGAAGGAGAACAAACACGAGGUAUCUUUUUUCCAAAAGAGCUAGGUUCCAAACAAACCAAACCCUCUACAAAUUUUCAUGAUGGCACAAAGCAUCAUAAAGAGCAAGACUUGCCUCCCAUCAACACACACUUGAUGGGGAUAAAAAGAGUUUAUGAUAGACGUAUAAAGAGCGUGUUCCAAAGAAAAUAGGAUACCCCCCCCCCCAAGGGAUGUGCAUUACAUAGAAUUUCCAUUUGAAUACAAAAUGCACAAGAUGGUAUAAUCACUUUCUCUAUAUCUGGAGAAACACAAGACAUGUUCAAACCAAUCCACAAGAGGCAAGGAAGACAAACGAUACAUAAAAUCCAAUGUAAAGAUGAUUAGCAAUUUCUACCACAUGAAGGGAAUACCAAUUGUCAAAGGAAAAUAAGUAUUUGGAAACAAUUCCCAUUGGUAGAUUGCAAAAAUAUCCAACAUCAUCUUUACUCCUAAAAUGCAAGCAAAUGGCACUUGUAGAGCUAACAUGCCACCUAGGAACAAGAUAAUUUCAAUAUCAACACUAAGUGGCAAUACCUCAAAUAUACACAUUUUCUAGGCUUGUAAUAUGCACAUAUCAUAUUACUCCCCCAUAAUGUGAUAACCUAACAUUAUUAACAAGUGCGAAAUAAAAAAAAACAAGAGAUAAUUAAUAGACCAUUUAGAAUCUGAAUUUCUCAUGAGCAGGACGUACCAGCUAGAGCUUAGAUAAACUUGUAGUAUCAAUACUAAGUGGUAUUAAUCAUGUAUACACAUUUAUAGGAUUGUGAGGGAUUGUGAGGUGUGCAGAGCACAUCACUCUCCCACAAUGGGAUAAUCCAUUAAUCUCUCAAAAGAGCCAACAAAGAUACAAUCAAGAUGCAAAGAGGCUCAAUACAAGACUCACAUGUACAUGAUGUGCAAACCGAUAUACACAUACUUGAUUACUCAAGAUAAGAAAGUUGGAAGCACAACAUAUACAAACAUAUGCAUGGUACAAAACCACAUUAUGCAAAGCGGAAAGUAACUAAAAAUGUAACCACUUUAAGUACAAGUUACUGUAAGGUGGCACAUUGGAUAUAAGAUAGAAACUCGAUAAUCCAAAUGACUUGACAUGAGAUAAUAUAAAUUAUGAAGGUCCUGUAAUUCUUCAAGAUGAAACCAAGUCUCCAAUGUCCUCCACGAUCACCUAUUGAUCAAGUUUGAGAUUGUCGGUCCCCAAUGUAACGACUAAGAUGUGACCCUUUCCUAUUUAGGGGGCGAUGCCCCAAAAGGGAAAGAGGCGCAUCUAAGCGUUUCACAAGCGAGAUAAUCAUAGCAAAUACAUAAAUUAAGAUUGACAAAUAGGGCAUUCAUUUGCCAUCUCACAUAGUAUAAUAUCAGAGUUACAUCCACACAAUUAUUCAGGCAAGAUAGUCCCGCUACGGGCUACAUGAAACAAGGAAAAUACUAUGAUAUCCCGCAUGUUCGCCCACGAUCACGACCACGACCUCAGUCUUCUGGAUAGUUCACGUACAGGCGGCCGUUCUCCUCAUCGUACUGCCACGCCAGUUGCGUGCCAUCUGGAUCACCUGCGUCGGGCGUCCUGUACCUGUUGGGGUGUUGUAGUAAACUGUGAGUCACGGGGACUCAGCAAUGGAUGACCUUGGUGCCGAAACUAGUCAAGUUAUUAGGUGAGGAAGGUUUGGUGUUUAGGUUGCAGCAUCCUAAGCUUAUAUGGUGGCUAACUUACGAAGAUCAGAGUUAUGGUAAGGUGGUCUACGCGAGCGGUCGAAUACUAGGUGAUCACUAAGUGAUCCUGAACACCUACUUACAUCAAACAUAACACCAUCGUGUUCCCGAUCGAAGAGAGGUCUCCGAAAGAGACAGUCACGGUUACGCACACAGUUGGUAGUUUUAUUAGAGUUAGUUCAAGUUAUCUAGAACCGGAUGUUACCAAAUUAUCCAUGUUGCCACAUAACCGCGGGCACGGCUUUCCGAAAGAUUAAACCAUGCAGGGGUGUUCCAACUAGUCCAUCACAAACGGUCACGGGCCGCAAAGUAAUCCUCUAUCACGAAUCUCGUGAUCUCGUCGGAUUCCUUAGAGGAAAACCUCAACUCUGGGGAGACCCAAAGUUUCACCGGGAUUUCUAUACGCAAGAUAUAUCGCUAAGGUAAGACAAGACUAGCACGACCUCCCGACGUGUCGACGACCCCGAUAAGAGCCGCGUAUCUCAGUCUCAGGACACGACGGAUGAGUGACGCGUACAGUGGCCUGAUAGAAAUCACUCAAGUUGCCCUGUGUUGGCCCCGCACAGUGCUCUAGUUUGGACCAACACUCAUGAGGAGCAGUGGCCCUGGUUGUUGAUUAAAUCCUCGGGGUAGCUAUUCCCAAUGCAAAUUAUUAUUAUGUGGUUAGCAAAUUAAAAACCAAUGUUGGGUCCUGCCGGACAAGUCUUAACACUACACGAUUUAUCAAGGGGGUCCCCAUAACAACCCCGAACGUGUUAGGAGCGAUCAGUUAUGGAAUCAAACACCGGUAGCCGAAACUAAGGCGACAAUAAUGGAACAAAUCACCCGGCAAAAGGCCAGGCCUUCCCUCAAUUACCAAGUAUAUAGGUGCAUUAAUUAAAUAACAGUUUAAUCAUAAUGAUAUCAAAUACUCAUGUUAUCACAUGAGACAGCUGGCACCUGCAACUAGCAAAGCUAUCAUUAGAAGCUGAGCAAGCCUACUUAGCCAAACAACAUUAACUAGGAGGGGAAGGUGUUUGGGUUUCAUGGCAAUGACAUGUGGCAUUUUAUCAAGUGGUAGGCAGCGAGCAUAUAUCAAAGGAAACGUGAUUCUAAGCAUAACAAAGCUAGAUACGGUAUCAAGGUCACGGUCAUCUUGCUUGUGAUGUCUUCAUCUUGGAACUGCGCCUGAUCGUCCUGCACGUACUCUCCAGAAUCCACGUACUCGCUCUCCGAUCCCGGUGCUACCCAAGAUAAAAUAACAGCCAAUGAACACCAACACAACAUGAUGCAACAAACCACAUGAUGCAUGAGAUGAGAAUGAAGCAUGCAUCACUAUUCUAGUCACUUGCAUAUGCAUGAGAAGGGAAGAUUAACUUCUAGACAGAAGUUCACACUAAGCUAUCUUGACAUGCAUGAGGAUGACAUGUAUAGGUGCAUCACGAGAAAACGAUGCAAAAACAUAUAAAGAACAUAGAGAAUGGAGCUACGGAUCAACCGGAAACUAGGAAACAAGAUAUGGAGUCCUACAGUUCAAAUCCACCACAACCACACUCCAAUGGCACACCUCUGGUGUAACCAGGUUGCCACAUGAUCAAACAAACAACUAGAAGUGGGGUGGUGCUUGGAAUCACACCAUACCAUCAACUAAGCACUCACAAGCUUCAAAACAACAAAACUAUGCAAUAUGUUUUUAAUAGCAUAAUGGUAGUUUGUCUACAACAUUCGAAGUACCUACAACCACCCAAAUGAGCCAAACAAGAUAUGUGGCAAAAGCCAUUCCAAAUCUCUACAAGCCUGAGCAAGAAUAUAAUACAUAGGAGUCACACAUGAGAAGAUCUACAGGCACUAACUUGGACAAAAAUAACAGAUUCUGGGACUUAGUGAAAACCUCAGAUUUUCACCAGCUGCUUAUGCUCUGAAGCAUUUUGACAGCCUCCAAAAUGAUAUCUACAGGAAGUGAAAAUGCAUGAAAUUUAACAGAGAGCUAUAUAAACACAAAAGCGCCAACUCUCUAGUUGAUUGCCUAGGCUGAUUCCCAACACAUGAGCUUUUGCAACCAAAUCAACAGGGGAAGAAAAUAUCAGCAGAUUCCCAGACUUAGUCAAAAUCACAGGGUUUUCACAAAUUUGUAAUCUUCAACUAAGUGUCAACUUUGACAGCUCAUAUUAGAUGCAUACAAACUCCUAUGAGCAAAACAAAACUACCAUGCUGUAGAGGGGUUCACCCACUAUUGCCACAUCAAGGAAUCAUCCUCAUAGGCUCAACACACCACUUGAUAUAAGGACCUAAAAUGCCAUCAAGACAAAAAUAGGCAUUUCCAGGAAUUCUCCAAAGUGAAAGAUGAUUCCACCAAUGGAUUCCUGGGAAGUUCCUACUCCAAAAACAUAUAUAAUACUUGGGUACUUGCAUAUAACAUGGGGGCACAAAGUUAAGAUGAAAAUCACCCUAGAAUCACAUGAGCUCCAAUAGUGCAUUAUCACAUGUGAUGUGCACUACCCUCAUCUACACUUGCACAUGCUCAUACUCACAACACCAAUGGUGAACAUGAGGGCUAGCCCUCAUGCACUUGUGCCUAAGCACACCACCACACACACACACAUNNNNNNNNNNNNNNNNNNNNNNNNNNNNNNNNNNNNNNNNNNNNNNNNNNNNNNGGGGGUGCCCUGGUUCGAACCCCCAACCUCCUAUGUCAAUGCUCUACACACGCACCACUGGCUAUUGCGGGGUAGCUGCACUAUCACAGGGGUUAACCCUCUUAGACACACUCUUCCAGGCAAUCUACAGCAACGGGAAAACCCACAGAAUAAAAGGGGGCACUGGGUCUCGAACCUCGGAUCUGCCCGUUGCGCGCGUGGGAACGAAGCUAGCUGAGCUGGUGCAGUGCUACUGUCCCAAAGGGGAUUCCUUGACAGGAAAACACGCUACAAGGGGGAGGCUUGCUCUGCUUUGCACAGAGACGCAGACGGAAAAGCUCACCGGAGCGUGGCCUGCUACACGUGACAGGCACACCUACGGGGAUCUACCACCGACUACACUACACCGCCGCGAUGGGAGCCUCAGCCAUGAUGCAAAGGAGCAAGCCCAAGCAUGCGCAAGCCACACCUACGACCACUGCUACGCAAUCUGCUGCUAUCACCUCCGAACAGAGAGGCCACGACGACGCUCGUUCGUAUGCCGCAUCUACAGAGGGAAGAGAGGAAGGAAGCGCGGCUCACCAAGAGGAAGGAGAGGAGAGGAUCUCGCCCGGAGGAAGAAGGCCUGACGACGAGCUGUUGCAGGGGUUCGGGUUCGUUGGGAGCUCGUCGGAGACGAGGUCGUGGCCGUCGUUGAAGACACACUCCGGCCUCACCGACGACGGGAAUGGAACGCGGGGAGACCCCCCGAGUUCCCGGACAUCCUCGCCGGCGCCGGAGACGAGGGAUGAGCGAAGGGGACGACGACGCUCUUCUCUGAUGCUACUGCGAUCUCUCUGAACUACACUAUAGAGGCUUACCUUGGGGAGGGAGAGAGAUGGAGGAGGAAGAUGGCGGCGGCGAUGAGGGGGAAUAGGGAAACCCUAUCGGGGCACGCACGCCGAUGCUUAUAAAGGCCGCGGAUGGGACGGCAACGACGUCAUGGCCACUCUCUCUGUCUCUGAAGACUCACGGAAAGCAGCUGUGGAGGAGAACGGCGUCAGGAGGAGGAAGAAAGGAAAAAUGCGCGGGCCUACUGGGGAAAGGAGGAGGAGGGGGGAAGCCCACCUGGACUCACUUAGGUCUGACAGAUUAAAUCAAAAGGGUUUUUUCCUUUAUUUAAAACCACACCACAACACAAAAAUGCCCAGAGCCAAACAUGCACAAGAAAAACAAAAUAAAAAUACUCUGGGAAUUAGGGAAUUAUGCCCUAAUAAAAUAAAAAACAAAACUGAAUUUUCAAGCAAAUAAAUUACAAUUGGAAAACAAGAUUUACCCUACUGUUUUAAUAAAUAGAAAAUAAUCCAAAACCUAUUUACUCAAAGCGAGUUACCCAAUCUGCCACAAAUCUUAAACACAAAUUUAACAACAUUUUUAAAACAGGGUUUAACCAAGUAAAUUCCACAAGAACACAAAUUGAGGAAGAAAGGGGUUUUUGAUACCUAGUUUUGGAAGAAUACGUAAAGUUGAAACCCAAGCUUUGCACCACCUCAACACACACCACAUGCACUCAUCACACCACACAUAUGGAUCAACACAACAACAACACAAGAAUGGCAUGAAUGCUAUGGAUGGCAUGAAUGCAAAGGGGAUACAUGAAAUAAGCCACAUGAAAUGAUAACUACAUAUACAUGACAUCAUGGAUCCAAACAUGGAAGAUUCCAAAUAUGGCAAGGUUAUACUUGGGGCACUACAAACUCUGCCACACUACAAUAAGAUCUCGUCCCGAGAUCUAGGACUGAAAGAACUCUGGGAAUUCGGAACGGAGGUGAUCCUCGCGCUCCCAACUGGCUUCUUUAUCGGAAUGAUGUGACCACUGCAUCUUGAGAAACUUGAAUGACUUGUUGCGGGUCUUGCACUGAGUCGUCUCGAGAACUGUAACUGGAUGCUCACGACAGGAUACGUCGGGUUGAAGGUCGAUAUCCUAAAGAUCAAAUGUGCGCUCGGGAGUCUUGAAGCAUCUCCGGAGCUGAGAGACAUGGAACACGUCAUGCACGUUUGCGAAGUUUGAAGGGAGCUCAAGUUGAUAAGCAAGGUCCCUCUCUUGCCAACAACUCUGAAAGGACCAACGAAAUAAGGAGCAAGCUUGCCUUUGAUGCCAAAACACUAAGUGCACUUCAUAGGAGACACUUUGAGAUAGAAGGAGUCAUCGAGCUCAUAAGACAUGUCACGAUGCUUGCUAUCGUAGUAGCUCUUCUGACAGGACUGCGCUUCUGUGAGAUUAUCCCGAAUGACCCGACACAUCUCUUCUGCUUCUUCGAUCAAGUCAUUCCCAAGAAUAUGACGCUCGCCGGUCUCGGACCAGUUGAGCGGGGUACGACACUUCCUGUCAUAGAGAAUCUCAAACGGAGCUUUGCCUGAACUUGCCUGAUAACUGUUGUUAUACGAGAACUCAGAGAAAGGUAGGAAGUCUUCCCACUUCAUGCCAAAAUAAAUGACACAGGCUCUAAGCAUAUCCUCGAGGACCUGAUUGACUCUCUCCACUUGCCCACUAGUCUGAGGAUGAAAGGCUGUGCUGAAUCGUAUCUUCGUAACCAUCAUAGACUGAAAAGAGUCCCAGAACUUGGAAGUGAAGAUACUUCCGCGAUCCGAAGAAAUCAACAUAGGCACGCCGUGCAAAGACACUAUCCUCGAAGUGUAAAACUCUACAAGCUGAGCUGUCGAGAUGGAUUCUUUGACUGGAAGGAAAUGAGCUACUUUGCUCAACUUGUCGAUGACGACGAAGAUGGCAUCGUUACCCUUCUUGGACUUCGGAAACCCGGUGACGAAAUCCAUCUCAAUAUGGUCGAACUUCCACUUGGGAAUGGGCAAUGGAUGCAAAAGACCUGUUGGACAUUGAUGCUCUACUUUCACCCUUCGACAUACAUCACAUUCAUUUACGAACUGAGCAAUCUCACGCUUCAUGCGAGUCCACCAGAAGGUGUGUUUCAAGUCCUGAUACAUCUUGGAACUUCCUGGAUGUAUAGAGAGAAGAGAGUUAUGAGCUUCUUCCAUGAUAACCUUUCUGAGAUCACCUUUCGGAACGACAAGCCGAUCCUCAAAGAAUAAUGUAUCUCUGGCAUCAACACUGAAGCACUUAUAUUUGGGAACUCCCUUUUCCAAGCAAAUCUUAACUUUCUUCACCAUUGCAUCAAGAAGUUGAGCUUGUAGGACCUGGUCUUCCAAGGUAGGAGAGAUAUGAAGAUUUGCAAGAAAUCCCUGAGGUACUAACUGAAGGUUGAGCUUUCUGAAAGAUUCACAAAGGUCGGGCUGGAGAGGCUUCAGAAUGAGACUGUUGCAGUAAGCCUUCCUGCUCAAAGCAUCUGCCACGACAUUAGCUUUGCCUGGAGUGUACUCAACGCUCGGAUUAAAAUCUUGGAGCAUUUCCACCGAACGAGUUUGCCGAAGAUUGAGGUUAUGCUGGGUGAAGAUGUACUUGAGACUCUUGUGAUCGGUGAACACUUCAACCUUUCGUUCCAACAAGAGGUGUCUCCAAGUCAUGAGAGCAUGUACCACUGCCGCCAACUCAAGAUCAUGAGUGGGUUAAUUCUUCUAACUUGGCUUUAACUGCCUCGAGGUAUAAGCUACCACUUUCUUAUCUUGCAUCAACACAUCACCAAGACCUUGAAGAGAGGCGUCGCAGAACACUUGGUAAGGUUUGGAGUCAUCGGGAGGAACCAAGACUGGAGUAUAAGUGAGCUUCUCUUUGAGUGUGUCGAAAGCCAACUGACACCCUGGAAACCAGACAUACUUCACACCCUUCUGAAGAAGGCUUGAGAGAGGCUUAGCAAUCUUGGAGAAGUUCUCAACGAAUCUUCUACAAUAGCUUGCUAUCCCGAGAAAGCUUCGAAGCUGCUUCACAUUUUGCGGAGGUUCCCACUCAACAAUGGCCUGCACCUUCGACGGAUCAACUUUGAUGCCCUCGGCAGAGAUGAUGUGCCCAAGGUAGACAACUUCUUUCAACCAAAAUUCACAUUUGGAAAACUUAGCAUAGAACUUAUGCUCUCUCAGCUUAUCAAGCACCAGCCUGAGAUGUUCUUCAUGCUCUUCCUCAGUUUACAAAAAUACCAGAAUAUCAUCAAGAUACAGCAAGACGAAUUCAUUCUUGAAUGGGGAGAAGAUAUAAUUCAUCAUUCGAUAGAAGGUCGGUGGAGCAUUGGCCAGACCAAAAGACAUCACUGUAUACUCAUACGAGCCAAAGCUUGUCCUGAAAGUAGUCUUUGGAAUAUCCUCUUCGCGAGUGCGAAUCUGAUGAUAACUGAUAUGUCUCCAACGUAUAUAUAAUUUUUGAUGUUUUGCAUGCCUUUUAUAUAUUUUUUGGGACUAACUUAUUAACUCAGUGCCAAGUGCCAAUUCCUGUUUUUUCAUGUUUUUUACCCCUUUCAGAGGAGGAUUUUGAAAGGAGUCCAAAUGGAACUAAACUGCCAAAAAGAUUUUUUCCGAAACAGAAGAAGAUUGGGAAGCCUGAGAAAUAAGGCAGGGGGCCUACAGGGACCCCACAAGCCCCCUAGCCGCGGCCAGGGGGUCCACGCCUCCCUGGCUUGUGGGCUCCCUGGGCCACCUCUGCCCUAGGACUUUCGCCUAUAAAUUCCCUAAAAUCCAAGAAAAAAUCAGGAGAUCACCGAAAGUACUUUUCCGCCGCUGCAAGCUUCUGUCUCCGCAAGAUCCCAUCUGGGGCACAUUCUGGUGCCCUGCCGGAGGGGGAUUUGGAUACGGAGGGCUUCUUCAUUGACACCAUGACCUCUCCGAUGAUGCGUGAGUAGUUCACCAUAGACCUACGGGUCCAUAGCUAGUAGCUAGAUGGCUUCUUCUCUCUCUUGGAUCUUCAAUACAAAGUUCUCCAUGAUCUUCGUGGAGAUCUAUCUGAUGUAAUCUUCUUUUGCGGUGUGUUUGUCGAGAUCCGAUGAAUUGUGGAUUUAUGAUCAGCUUAUCUAUGAAUCUAACUUGAGUUUCUUCUGAUCUCUCUUAUGCAUGAUUUCAUAUCCUUGUAAUUCUCUUCGAGUUGUGGGUUUUGUUUCGCCAACUAGAUCUAUGAUUCUUGCAAUGGGAGAAGUGCUUGGUUUUGGAUUCAUACCGUGCGGUGACCUCACCCAGUCACAGACGAGGUAGCGAGGCACGCAUCAUGUUGUUGCCAUCAAGGGUAAAAAGAUGGGGUUUUCAUCAUUGGUUUGAGAUUAUCCCUCUACAUCAUGUCAUCUUGAUUAAGGCGUUACUCUGUUCGUCAUGAACUCAAUACACUAGAUGCAUGCUGGAUAGUGGUCGAUGUGUGGAGUAAUAGUAGUAGAUGCAGAAAGUAUCGGUCUACUUGUCUCGGACGUGAUGCCUAUAUGUAUGAUCAUUGCCUUAGAUAUCGUCAUGACUUUGCGCGGUUCUAUCAAUUGCUCGACGGUAAUUUGUUCACCCACCGUAAUAUUUUCUAUUUUGAGAGAAGCCUCUAGUGAACACUAUGGCCCCCGGGUCUACUCCACACCAUAUUUUCAGCCUUACACUUUUUCUUCGUUGCACUUUCCGCCUUCAGAUCUCACUUUGCAAUCAAUCUUGAAGGGAUUGACAACCCCUUUAUAGCGUUGGCUGCAAGCUCUUUGUGUUUGUGCACGUACUCUGGACUUGACGAGAUUCUCCUACUGGAUUGAUACCUUGGUUCUCAAACAGAGAGAAAUACUUACUUCUCCUAUGCUGCAUCACCCUUUCCUCUUCAAGGGAAAACCAACGCAAGCUCAAGAUUCGACAGAAGGUUUCUGUCGACGUAGCAGAAGGAUUUCUAGUGCCAUUGCUGGGAAAGGACUUUUGUUGCCGUAGCAGAAGAAUUUCUGGCGCCAUUGCCGGGGAGGAUCAAGUCAAGAACUCAUCCAAGUAAGUGUCGCAAACUCAUCUCUUGCAUUUACUUUUUUGCCUCUCGUUUUCCUCUCCCCCACUUCUGAAAAACAAAAAAAUUACAAAAAGAUUUGCCUUUUUCGUUUGCCUUUACGUUCGCCCUUUUCUCUCUCUUGCUCUUUGUUCGCUUGAGUGCUUGCUUGCUUGCUGAAGUCACCAUGACUGAAAACACCAAACUUUGUGACUUCUCGAAUACUAAUAAUAAUGAUUUUAUUAGUACUCCAAUUGCUCCCGCCACUAGUGCGGAGUCCGACGAAAUCAAUGCCGCUUUGCUGAAUCUUGUUAUGAAAGAGCAAUUCUCCGGCCUUCCUAGUGAAGAUGUCGCAUCCCAUAUUAACACCUUCAUUGAGCUUUGCGAUAUGCAAAAUAAGAAAGAUGUGGUAAUGAUGUGAUUAAAUUGAAGCUUUUUCCUUUCUCGUUGCGAGGUCGAGCAAAAACUUGGUUUUCGUCUUUGCCCAAAUAUAGUAUCGAUUCUUGGGAUAAGUGCAAAGAUGCUUAUAUAUCCAAGUAUUUUCCGUCGGCUAAGAUUAUCUCUCUCCGUAAUGAUAUCAUAAACUUUAAGCAACUUGAUCAUGAACACGUUGCACAAUCUUCGGAGAGAAUGAAAUUGAUGAUUAGAAAUUGUCCUGGUCAUGGCUUGAGUCUUUGGAUGAUUAUACAAAUCUUCUACGCUGGCUUGAAUUUCGCUUCUAGAAGUAUCUUGGACUCCGCCUCAGGUGGAACGUUCAUGGAAAUCACAUUAGGACAAGCCACAAAACUACUAGACAACAUCAUGACGAACUACUCUCAGUGGCACACUGAAAGGUCACCUACUAGUAAGAAGGUGCACGCUAUAGAAGAAAUUAAUUUGUUGAGUGCUAAGAUGGAUGAGUUAAUGAAUUUGGUUGCUAGUAGAAGUGCUCCUUUAUAUCCUAGUGAUAUGCCCUUGUCUUCCUUGAUUGAGAGUAGCAACGCUAGCUUGGACGUUAAUUUUGUUGGUAGGAAUAAUUUUGGCAACAACAAUGCUUUUAGAGGAAACUAUGUUCCUACGCCUUUUCCUAGUAACUCCUCUAAUAACUUUGGCAACUCCUACAACAAUACUCAUGGAAAUUACAAUAGAUUACCCUCUGAUCUAGAGAGUAAUAUCAAAGAGUUUAUCAACUCACAAAAGAUUUUCAAUGCGUCUAUAGAGGAAAAACUACUCAAAAUUGACGAUUUGGCUAAGAGCGUUGAUAGAAUGUCUAGUGAUGUUGAUGCUUUUAAAGUUAGAUGUCCUCCUCCCAAGAUCAAUAUGGAUGAAACUUUGAAAGCUAUGCGUGUUUCCAUGAUUGAGAGCAAAGAAAGAACCGCCCAAAUUCGUGCUAGACAUGAAUAGCUUAAAAAGGCGUGUUCUCGUGAUAAGAAUCACGAAGAUCUUAAAGUGCUUGGUGUGACUCCCAUUGAAUCUUUGUUUUCUUGUUUCAAACCCAAUGAUUAUGGGGCUGGAUAUGAAUCCACUUUGGUUGAAAAGCGCCCUAAUGAUUCGGAGUCCAUCUAUCUUGAUGCUAAAAGCAUUGAAAGUGGAGUAGAAGAUAUUAAACCUUUGAGUAGUAAUGAAAUUACUACUAUGGAUUUCAAGGAAUUCAAUUAUGAUAGUUGCUCCUUGAUUGAAUGCAUUUCCUUGAUGCAAUCCACGUUAAACUCUCCACAUGCUUAUAGCCAAAACAAGGCCUUUACCGAUCAUAUCGCCGAAGCUAUGAUAAAAUCUCUUGAAGAGAAACUUGAAUUGGAAGUCUCUAUCCCUAGAAAGCUUCAUAAUGAGUGGGAACCUACUAUCAAAAUCAAAAUCAAAAACUAUGAAUGAAAUGCUUUGUGAGAUUUGGGUGCUAGUGUUUCCGCGAUUCCAAAGUCUUUAUGUGAUGUUCUGGGUUUUAACGAGAUUGAAGAGUGUUCUCUUAAUUUGCAUCUUGCGGAUUCUACUGUCAAGAAACCCAUGGGAAGGAUCAAUGAUGUCUUUAUUAUUGCAAAUAGGAACUAUGUAGCCGUGGGUUUCAUUGUGCUUGACAUUGAUUGCAAUCCUGCAUGCCAUAUUAUUCUUGGUUGACCUUUCGUAAGGACUAUCGAUGCUAUCAUCGAUAUGAAGGAAGGGAAUAUUAGAUUUCAAUUUCAUUUAAAGAAGGGCAUGGAGAACUUUCCUAGAAAGAAAAUAAGAUUGCCUUAUUAAUCCAUGAUGAGGGCUACUUAUGGUUUGAACACGAAAGACGACGAUACGUGAUUCUAUCGCUUUUAUGCCUAGCUAAGGGCUACUUAUGGUUUGACAGAAACUUUUCGCUCACGAGAUGAUUUUUCAUUUUUAUUCAGAAAGAGCUUUUGAGUUGAUUCAUUUUGCUGCUGGUUGAUAUGCCUUUUUCCCAGGCAUUCGUAAGUUUUCAGAAUUUUUGAGGUAUGAGAAGUAUACGAAGUAUACAGAUUGCUACAUACUGGUCUGUUUUUGACAAAUUCUGUUUUUGUUGAGUUGGUUGCUUGUUUUGAUGAAACUAUGGAUAGUAUCGGGGGGUACUAGCCAUAGAAAAGUGAGAAUACAGUAGCCCAACACCAAUAUAAAUAAAGAUCAAGGUACAGUACCAAAAGAGGUGGUAGUUCGUUUUCUUGUGCUAAUGUUAUCACGAGUUUCUGUUUAAGUUUUGUGUUGUGAAGUUUUCAUGUUUUGGGUGAUGUUCUCAUGGACAAAGAGAUAAGGAGUGGAAAGAGCUCAAGCUUGGGGAUGCCCAAGGCAUCCCCAUCCAAAUUCAAGGACACCAAAAAUCCUAAGCUUGGGGAUGCCCCGGGAAGGCAUCACCUCUUUCGUCCUCAAUCCAUCGGUAACAUUACUUGGAGCUAUAUUUUUAUUCACCACAUGAUAUGUGUUUUGCUUGGAGCGUCUUGUAUUGUAGGACUCUUUUCUUUUGCUGUGUCAGAAUCAUCCUUGCUGCACACCUUUAGAGAGAGACAUGCACUCAUCGUGAUUUUGCUACAAUGCUCAUAGUGCUUCACUUAUAUCUUUUGAGCUAGAUAAUUUUGCUUUAUGUGCUUCACUUAGAUCUUUUAGAGCAUGGCGGUGCGUGACUUGGUAGUUGGCUUAUGCUAUGAAAGUAGUCCCAAAGGUGAUAGGUACCCAAAGAGGAUACAAAUACCUCCAUCUUCAUGUGCAUUGAGUAGAAAGAGAAGGCUUGAUUCCUCUCAAUUAGUUUUGAGACGUGGAUUUGGUAAUGUUAAGAGCUAUGUUAGUAGGGUGUUGUGAAUCUAGAAAUACUUGUGUUCAAGUUAGUGAUUCCCGUAGCAUGCAUGUAUGGUGAACCGCUAUGUUAGGAAGUCGGAGCAUGAUUGAUCUAUUGAUUGUCAUCCUUUGUGUUGAGGUCAGGAUUGCACGAUGGUUAACACCUACCAACCCUUCCCCUAGGACUAUGCGUUUAGCACUUUGUUUCGAUUACUAAUAAAAACUUUCGCAACAAGUAUGUGAGUUCUUCAUGACUAAUGUGAGUCCAUGGUAUAGAUGCACUUUCACCUUCCACCAUUGCUAGCCUCUCUAGUGCCGCGCAACUUUCGCCGGUGCACAAACCCACCAUAUGCCUUCCUCAAAACAGCCACUAUACCUACCUACUAUGGCAUUUUCAUAGCCAUUCCGAGAUAUAUUGCCAUGCAACUCCCAUCAUUCUGUCUCAUGACUUGUGCCGUCACUCUCAUAUUGCCAUUGCAUGAUCGUAAGAUAGCUAGUGAGAUGUUUCAACGUCAUACGCCAAGCUAGAUGGUUGAACAUCCCGGUACACUGUCGGAGGCAUUUCCUAUAUAGAGUCAUCAUCGUUCUAAGCUUCGAGCUAUGAGUAAAUAAAAGUGUGAUGAUCAUCAUUAUUGGAGCAUUGUCCCAUGUGAGGAAAUAAAAAAAGGCCAAAGAGCCCAAAUAAAAAAAAGGAGAAAAGAGGGGAAAAAAAGAGGCCCAAGAGCCCAAAUAAAAAAAGAGAGAAAGAGAGAACGGACAAUGCUACUAUCUUUUUCCACUCUUGUGCUUCAUAAUAGCACCAUGUUCUUCAUGAUUGAGAGCUUCUUGCUUUGUCACUACCAUAUGCUUGUGGGAAUCUUCAUUAUGUAACUUGGCUUGUCUAUACCUAUACUAAUUCUAGACUCCCUACAAAUUCCCACAUUAAUCAGUAAUUAUGAGCCGUUAAUCUGAUGGGACCAAAUUACUACGGUGUAGAUCGAUCCAUAUAAUACUCUAUGGAAACUUUUCACAGUUGUGCAAAAAGAAGAGUUGAUCAAAAGUCCAAAAUUAGGUUGUGUGGGCAGAUAAAAAAGAAUUUUUGGGUCGGUUGUAAAAAUGAAUCCACGUACUACUAAUCUACGGUUUCUGUCUCUCCUAACUAAAGCAAACUGUUGAGAAGAUUUUGUUUUUUAAAACAUCUAUCUCUUUUUUAAAAGUAUGUAUAUAUCUGCUCAUACUCUUUAGCUCUCCUUCCGUCCAUCAAAAAAUGCUAUCUCUUCCGUUCAUCUUAACCAGAAAGGGGCUAUCUCCUUGCGUAGCAAAAGGAAGAAAAAAAUUGCUUAGGCAGAUAAAAAAAUAACGACCAUGGGACUCCUCUCUCCUUCUUUCUCUAGCACGGGGCUCCUCUGCUUGAGAUUCCUGUACAAAUCCGCUUCUGCCUUCAUGGCACCAUGGAUGGCUACCAAACCCUCAAUUAUCUGCAAGCAGACAUUCCCACCUCACAAACCCUCCCCCCGUUCUCAUGUAGCGCACAAAAAAAGUCGUCCAUCGCUUGCAUGCUUCAACUGCCUCAGCUGGGCCCCAAUGCGAGGAUGGUCUCCAAUACCAGCACAACGUCAUGGCCAUGAAGUCCUCCGUCUAUCCUUGCAAUCAAGGCUGGUGCGUCCUUUCUCAUGUCCUCACAAAGUUCAUGGACCAUCUAAAUUAAUUUGGAUGAUCUGAUUAACAUAUUUGGGGAACGAAGUCUGGUGUCAAUUUGUUGGGCUAGAAGCAUAUGCUUAACUGGCAGUUAGAAGUGGAAACAUCCCUUUAUUCAUUUGCAUAUAUUAUCACACAGGAGGUUAUGGAUGAUGAGCAGUUGAGGACCAGUGUCAAUCUGUUAGUAUUUGGGAACUAUGAUCCAUGGAUUAUUUUGUUCGUAGAUCUGUUCCAUGUACGAAUGAAAUAUUUAUGAUUUUGAAUUACUGGAAAGCUUUAUGAAUGUAUAUGUUAUAUAUUUUGAGCAGUGAACAUACUAUACUUAUAUACAAAUAAUAGUUAUCAGUUUUCUCUGUAACAGGCAUGCAUAUUCUGGCAUGUUUUCCAGGUGGCCCAUUGUUUCUGAUGCAAUUUUCUUCAAACUGUAUACCGAUACUGAUUUUUUUAACCUGGUAUUCAUUUGAGUGAAGCAACAGUGCAUAAUAGCCAUGCAUUGGUUAGUAAUCAUCAUUGAUUAUUUCAGUAUUUCUGAUUUGGAGAAUGUAUGGUUUACUUCAUUUAGCUCAUGUCGUCCAUCGCUUUUUGAUGCAUGUCCAUGUGCAGUUUUGUGCCUCAAGUCCUCGCUCUAUCCCUGCAAUCAAUGCUGGUACGUCCCUUCUCCUAUCCUCACAAAGUUCAUGGAGAAUCUGGAUUAAUUAGGAUCAUCUAACCGGAUUCUUUCUCACCCCGCUGUACAAAAUGUGUUGACAGCUGAUGGGAUAGAACCAUAUGAUUUACUGUGAUUCAGAAAUAGAAAGACCCCCUUUAUUCAUUUUCAUAUAAUACCACACAUGAUUUUAUGGAUGACGACCAGAUGUGGACUGGUGGCAAUCCAUGACUAUUUGAGAACGGCGAUCCUUGAAUUAAUCCUUAGAUUUAUUUUGUUCCUAAAUCUAUUCCACGUACAAGUGAAAUAUCGAUGGUUUUGAAUUGAAUGGAAAGCUUCAUGCAUGGAUCUUUUUAAUUAAUAGAGCAGAGGACAUACUGUGCUUAUAUAGAAAAUAUAUUUGUUAGCUUUCUCUAUAAUAGGCACGUAAAUUUUCCCAAGUUUUUCAGGCGGUCCAUGGUUUCUGUCGCAAUUUUAUUGAAACUACAAACUGAGAGGGGUUUGAAUAACCUGGCUUUAAUUUCUGUGCAACAACAGUGGCGUUAUACCCAUGGAUUGGUUAGGAUUCUUAUCAUCACAAAUUAUUUCAGUUUUGCUCAUUUGUAUAAUGUAUGUUUGACUCAAUGUACCUAAUUUCAUCCACCUCAUUUGGAAGCAUGUACGUGUGCAUUUCGUACAGUUUUGUGAUCAUCCAAAUAUACAAACCAAUAACACUUCAGGCUGAGUCAUUCAUAUGAUUUCUAUUUCAUGGUUGGAUCACGCAGUCCUUGCUUUUCUCAUACUUCAGUCACACGGUAUCAGUUGGCGGCCAAGAAGGCAUUAGCUAUUACAAGGUUAUGGAGAUAGCAAGUUGAUAGGAUUAUGUAUUUAUAGUUUUUAAUCAAUAACAUAUGCUAGGAAAAAAACAUGUAUUUUGCGGUACUUAAUUCAUCCAUGUUUUUCGUCCGUCAGUCAUUAUUGAGGUAAAAUAUCUUAUCAUCUAAUAUAUACUAUGUUAUUCACAUUUCUAAUAUAUAAAAGUUAGUUUCACAAAAAAUAAGUAUGGUCUCAAUUUCGUUAAUAGCUCGAAAGGAAGUACUUAAGCUAUUGUAAUUAUGUCUCCACAUGCAUAGGAAUUAAACUGUCAAUACUAUUAUUAAUUCCAUUCCAUGUUUACUAUAUCUUAGUAAAACCGAAGAAAUUACAUUUGCAAAGUUCCUUAUCAAAAGGCUUUUGGUGCAUAAAUGUUGUUUGUGCCUUAAUGUGAUAUAUAAGUUACUCGAAUGUCAAAAGUAUUUUAAACUUACAUGGCGCCACUAAUUUUAUAUAAGUUACACGAAUGUUAAAAGGGAUUUCUGCGGUGUUCAUAAUCAGAAUCUUUCUGAACAAAGUGUAUUUUUCCCUAUGGAAAGCUUUGUGCAUUUUUAGUGCGUUAUAAAUCACUAUAUGGCUUUUAGAAGGGUUUUUUACUAUAUAUAAAAUUCUAAAAUUUAUUCAUAGAAAUGUUGAUCAAUACGAUUCAAUGUCAUGUAUUUUUCUAAUGAUAGUCCAUGCAUCUGCAUGGGUCUUGUGAUACAAAUGCCAACAUAGGCGGUCUAAUAUUAAGCAAAUAUUGUGUCGAGGACCACAGUCGAAAUUUACUUUGCUUAACAAUUAAAAGCAUUUGCUACAUCAGGUUAGAGAAGCUUCCUUUUUAAAAUUUCCUGUUCUAGCUUCUUGAGUUUUGGAAGAUGAAAAAGAUGGAUGAUGCAGUUCAUAUUUCCUAAAUAGUAAAUUGUUAUAAACGAACAUGUUUGAUGUAUUGAUUUGUGUUUGUUUUGUGUGACUCACUCGAGUCAUGAACUAUUCCGUGUGUGCAUAAAUAAAGACAAGGACUCUCUAAAUAUUAAAAAAAUUAACCAUCGGUCUCAACAUUGAAUUUAUACACCAUUGUCGAGGAAUAUAAGGAACUCUAAAUUUAUCACCCGUGGAUAAUUUAACCCAAAAGAGUAUCGGGGUAUUGCAGCUGACAUUCUUAAUAUGCUAGCCCGUGCAAAUGCAUGGGUUGACGACUAGUAUAUUCCAAUGAUGAGCUUCCUCAAAAUUGCCCUAGGUCUUCGUGAGCAAGCAAGUUGGAUGCACACCCACUAGUUCUCCUUUUGAGCUUUCACAUACUUAUAGCUCUAGUGCAUCCUUUGUAUGGCAAUCCCUACUCAUUCACAUUGAUAUCUAUUAAUGGGCAUAUCCAUAGCCCUUUAAUACGCCGAGUCAAUGUGACCAUCUGCUCCUUUUUUGUCUCACAACCACCACCACACUCUAUUCCACCUAUAGUGCUAUAUCCAUGGCUCACGCUCAUGUAUUGCAUGAUAGUUAUAAAAAGUUUGAGAAAGUAAGAGUGCGAAAACAAUUACUUGGCCAAUACCGGGGUUGUGCAUGAUUUACAUUAGUUGUGUGAGGAUGAUGGAGCAUAGCCAGACUAUAUGAUUUUGUAGGGAUAACUUUCCUUGGACUUGUUAUUUUCAAAGUUCAUGAUUACUUUGCUAGUUUGCUUGAAGUAUUAUUGUUUUCAUGUCAAUAGAAAACUAUUGUCUUGAAUCUUACGGAUCUGAACAUUCAUGUCACAUGAAAGAAGUUGCAAAGGACAACUAUGUUAGGUAGCAUUCCACAUCAAAAAUUCAGUCUUUAUCACUUCCCUACUCGAGGACGAGCAUGAGUUAAGCUUUAGGAUGCUUGAUACGUCUCCAACGUAUCUAUAAUUUUUGAUGGUUUCAUGCUAUUAUCUUGUAAACUUUGGAUGUUUUGCAUGCCUUUUAUAUAUUUUUUGGGACUAACUUAUUAACUCAGUGCCAAGUGCCAGUUCCUGUUUUUUCCAUGUUUUUGACCCCUUUCAGAGGAGGAUUUUGAACGGAGUCCAAACGGAACGAAACUGCCAAAUAGAUUUUUUCCAAAACAGAAAAAGAUCGGGAAGCCUAAGAAACUGGGCAGGGGGCCUGCAGGGACCCCACAAGCCGCCUAGCCGCGGCCAGGGGGCCCGCGCCUCCCUGGCUUGUGGGAUCCCUGGGCCACCUCUGCCCUAGGACUUUCGCCUAUAAAUUCCCUAAAUUCCCAGAAAAAUUCAGGAGAUCAUCGAAAGUACUUUUCCGCCGCCGCAAGCUUCUGUCUCCGCAAGAUCCCAUCUGGGCACGUUCUGGUGCCCUGCCGGAGGGGGAUUCGGAUACAGACGACUUCUUCAUCAACACCAUGACCUCUCCGAUGAUGCGUGAGUAGUUCACCAUAGACCUACGGUCCAUAGCUAGUAGCUAGAUGGCUUCUUCUCUCUCUUGGAUCUUCAAUACAAAGUUCUCCAUGAUGUUCAUGGAGAUCUAUCCGAUGUAAUCUUCUUUUGUGGUGUGUUUGUCGAGAUCCGAUGAAUUGUGGAUUUAUGAUCAGCUUUUCUAUGAAUCUUAUUUGAGUUUCUUCUGAUCUCUCUUAUGCAUGAUUUCAUAUCCUUGUAAUUCUCUUCGAGUUGUGGGUUUUGUUUGGCCAACUAGAUCUAUGAUUAUUGGAAUGGGAGAAGUGCUUGGUUUUGGGUUCAUAUCGUGCGGUGACCUCACCCAGUGACAAAAGGGGUAGCGAGGCACGCAUCGUGUUGUUGCCAUCAAGUGUAAAAAGAUGGGGUUUUCAUCAUUGGUUUGAGAUUAUCCCUCUACAUCAUGUCAUCUUGCUUAAGGCGUUACUCUGUUCGUCAUGAACUCAAUACACUAGAUGCAUGCUGGAUAGCGGUCGAUGUGUGGAGUAAUAGUAGUAGAUGCAGAAAGUAUCGGUCUACUUGUCUCGGACGUGAUGCCUAUAUGUAUGAUCAUUGCCUUAGAUAUCGUCAUGACUUUGCGCGGUUCUAUCAAUUGCUCGACAGUAAUUUGUUGUAGCGACCCGACUCAAGACGAGUCAAGCCUCUGGUGUUUCCGUACCAUCCCAAGAUCAUGCUGGUACACACUCAGUACAUCAAUGUAUAUAUUACAAUAAAGGAUUACAAUAAAGUGGCUGAAGGCCAUCUCAUGAGAUAUCUAACGAAGACUAGCGGAAGCAUCAGGUAGACGAGUCCAUCCGACUCCAGGGCAUGUCGCUGAGCGUAGAUCGUAGCCUCACUCCUGGUCGGAAAAGUACUCUGCAACAUGAUACGUUGCAGCCGUGUAGGUCAGCAUAUGGAAUAUGCCGGCAAGUCAUCAAAGAGAGGGGGUAAAAUAAUAAUCAACUAUCUCUACAUGCAUAUUUGGCAGGUGGGGCUAUAAGUUUUGCAUAAAGCCAAUUUUAUCCUACAACAAGAGGGGCUGGAAGCAAAAUAUUACUACAUUUGGUUGUUGUUAACGAGAUGGUUCCACCAACCAAUUCUCGUACCCGAGUUAUUGUUAACUCCCACAUCAUUAUUAAGUUGUGUCGAGAGUUCUGGGGAAUUUCAAUGCCUUCGGCUCAAGUUGUCCAUGACCGUGGACACGGCUAAUCGAUUAGGUUGGGCACUCUGUAGAGUUUUGCACACGUUCCCCACAAGAUUUGAUCGCCUCCGUGUAUGUCCUCGCACUUCAGCGUGUUUGAAGACCGGAUGAUCAAAACAUGGUCUUUCAACGGGUCCCUCUGAAUCCCUGUCAGUGCCCAUCCAUUCCUACCGUUCUUCUACAUCUGCUAGCACCGCCUGUCCAGAGUCGCCGCGUUGUCCAACCAAGCCAGAGCCCAUAAUGACUUGUGGCUGUGCAGGUAAGCCUUGGGACUUGAAGCCUCCGUCCGUCUCUUCGAGCCUGGGUGAAGCUUUCCGCAAGAUGUCAUGGCCGUCUCCAGCAUCCCGGGUCAUCCACUGGUUUCUCCAGGGAGCCGAUCAACCGUCCUUCACCCAGAGUUGCAUUGCAUCCGAGGUCUUGAAAAUCUUGUCUUAACCGGUCUUGAUUAUUUAAUCAACCUUGCAUCACUCGUGUUAUGCACUCAACCGAAAUCCCGUCUACUCAAGCAUAGCAAUAUGAAAUUUGUCGUUCCGGGGCCAAGUAUCGGGGUUGUUAUGUGCCUACCACAUGAUACUACAACCUAUACUAAAAUUUCCAAGUACCUAAGCAGCAUGCAAAAGGGCAAAGAAAGGUGAAACUACCAUGCAUCGAAAAACAUAGGAAAUAGCAUGAUCAAAAUGACUUGCCUUGAUGAUAGUUAUCUUGAUCGAGCGCUUCUAAGUAACAAGCUUCGCACUCCGGGUGAUCUACCGAUACAAACCAAUACACACCAUAAGCACUACAAUCAAGCAACAAGUAAAAAAAUAACAUCACAAGUAAAUAGUUGCUAUGGCCUAAGUGAAAGAAUUCACUACACGUCACUAAGGCAGAAACUUGUUUCUGUGGAAAACCCAAGUAAACAUAUUUAACAAAAUUUGAAACUUAUACCACAGUAAGAUAUAAUCACUAGGAAGCAGUAGCAAAAAGAAUCAAAUCAAAAUCAUUUUUUAAACUCCUGGAAUAAGCAAAACAAGGUUUAAACUAAAUCUGGUCUAAUUGGGGGGGGGGGGAAAAUUUCAAACAUAGACAAAUUAUAUGUUUUUAAAAACUACAGAAAAAUUUGGAUCUACUGGAAAAAUAAUCAACCUCAUUGGACUUCGGGAUCAAAAUCUAUGAUCAAAAAAAACUUGAAACUUUUCUGUUUUUGGAACUAAACAGAAAAAGAAAACAGAUUCUAACCGAAUACGUGGCAGUCCCUGAUUGGUUAAGGGGGGUGAGUGCUGCGGGAAAACUAACAAACGACCGAAACUUAAGAAAAUCUACGGCUAAAAAUAAGUGGGGCAGAAAACCGUUCGGGUUUUUAUUUAAAAACCGAAGGGGUACCUAACUUCUAAUCUAGCGCGUACAUCUAAGAUCGGACGGCUACGGAGAGGGGAUGGGGCUUACCGUGGGCUGGGAGUUAUCUCCGGUGAGCCUGUGCUCCGGCCGAAGGUGUGGUGGCCGGGGAAGGGGUUCCGGCGGUCGGCCGAGGUGGGGGAGAUGUCCGGGCGGCGGAGGGGAUCGCCGGCGUGCUUCUGGUGGCGUCGGGGAGGUGCGGCGUGGCCGGAGGCGAGCAGUGGAGUGGCCGGAGCUUCGGCCGUGCUUGUGCUCCGACGAGGUGUAGCAAGGGGCGGCUAGAGGCGGCGAAGGGGGGCGAUGGAGAGGGGAACGGAGUGCGGGGACAGGGGGUAUUUAUAGGAGGAGAGGGGGCCUCGGGAGGGAAGGAGGAGGGAGAUCUGGGGAGGGAAUCGGGCUGCCAUGGGAAAGGAAGGAUCUCCAGCUCGGGUUAGGAAAGAGGAGGGGCGAGAGGAAGGAGGUGACCGGGGAGGGUGGUGGUUCGGGUGGUGGGGCCCGCUGGCAGGGAGAGGGGAGCUGGGGGACUCGGUCGGUCGAUCGAUCCGAAGGGGAUCAGGAUCCCGGCUACAGUGCGAUUUGGCCCUUAGGGCCUAUCUGGCGCCGGUGCGGUUUCUAAAAAAAAUACCUUUCCUAUUUUUCUAAAAUAGGAACUAAAACAAAUAAAAGGCAGGUAAAUAAAAUCCUAAAAUAGGGGUAUUAUAUACCGAAAAAAAUCAGAAAAAUAUCCUCUACUCGAUUAACAUUUUUCCAAAGUACAAAUAAAAACUUAAAAAAAAUGUUUUUUUUCAGAAAAAAAAUCCCCUAUGCUAUAUUUUAUUUUUUGCAAUUAUUUUCACGAUAAAACUUUGGCUUUCUUGGCUCAAAAUAUUUCAAAAAUGCCUCGCACCUUGGAGGGUCAUUUUCCUCCGCUCUCUCUUGCGUGCAAGAGAUUAUUUCCCGGCACUUCUCAUGUGAAGAAAAAUAGAAAUGCAAAAGCAAAAGUCGAAAGAAUUCAUAUGCAAACUUUAUUUAAAUCGAUAUGCAUAGAUGCUUAGCUACAAUGUAAAACAUUCCCAAUUAGGAAAAUUGGGAUGUUACAUUUGUUCACCCACCGUAAUAUUCACUAUUUUGAGAGAAGCCUCUAGUGAACACUAUGGCCCCCGGGUCUACUCCACACCAUAUUUUUAGCCUUACACUUUUUCUUCGUUGCACUUUCCGCCUUCAGAUCUCACUUUGCAAUCAAUCUUGAAGGGAUUGACAACCCCUUUAUAGCGUUGGGUGCAAGCUCUUUGUGUUUGUGCAGGUACUCUGGACUUGACGAGAUUCUCCUACUAGAUUGAUACCUUGGUUCUCAAACUGAGGGAAAUACUUAUUGCUCGUGUGCUGCAUCACCCUUUCCUCUUGAAGGGAAAACGAACGCAAGCUCAAGAGACAACAAAAGGUUUCUGUCGACGUAGCAGAAGGAUUUCUGGCGCCAUUGCCAGGAAAGGACUUUUGUUGCCGUAGCAAUAACCCAUCCUGAGAUCGAGCUUGGAGAAGAUCUUAGCCCCUUUCAAUUGCUCGAACAACUCAUUGAUGUUAGGAAGUGGAUACUUGUUUCUGAUUGUCUUCUUGUUCAAUGGAAUGUAAUCAACACACAAUCAGUCUGUGCCAUCCUUCGGCUUGACAAAAAGCACUCCACAGCCCCAAGGAGAUGAGCUUGCUCUGAUAAGAUCCAGACGCUCCUGCUCAUCGAGUUGUCUCUUUAGCUCCUUAAGCUCUUCUGGUCCCAGUUUGUACGGCCGUUUGCACACAGGCUCAGUACCCGGUUCAAGCUAAAUUACAAACUCAACUUCUCGGUGCAGGGGCAUUCCUGGCAGUUCUUCUGGAAAAACAUCUUCCUAUUCGCAGACCACUGGGACUUGCGAAAUUGGAGAGAUCUCACCCUUCUCAUUCAAGGAAAACAGACGGAUUGUGUCAUCACGCGCUGCAAAGAUAAUCACGUCCUCCGAAGAAUGAGUUACCUUCACUUCUUUAGCUUCACAAUCAAUAGACACCUUGUUCAUGGCCAACCAGUCCAUUCCAAGGAUCAAAUCAAUGUCAGAAUUGCCAAGGACAAUAGGAGAGGCCAGAAAAGCAUAAUCCCCCAUCUUGACAGUGACAUCCCGAACCACUUUGUUGGCGCUCAUAAGAGUACCGGGUGACACCACACGUAACGCCUUGCUCAAAUACUCGGAAUCAAAAUCAUGCUUGGCAAAGAACAUUCUAGACAUGAAUGAAUGAGAAGAACCAGAAUCAAACAGAACCUUAGCAGGAAUAUCAUUAAUGAGGAGAUUACCCAUAAUCACGUCUGAGGAGUUGUGUGCUUCAACUGCAUUCACCAUAUUGACUCUAGCAGACCUGGUGUUGAACUUCACUAUAGCAUUGCUUGGAGGUUUGCCUGGAGGAGGACGCGGAAGACGCAGCUGAGAGGUGCACUUCUUGGCAUAGUGACCCUUCUUCCCACACUUGUGACAAGUAACAUCUGCCGGCUGACGGAACUGUGUUUGAGGAUUCCCUUGCUUCUGCUGCUGAAACCUCUGCUGGAAAACUGGGUUGGGUGGGUGGGAAGAACCACGACCACCUGAUUGCUUGAACUGUUGCAUGUGCCGAGGAGAAGGAGGAGACACCCAGUAUUUCUAUUGCUUCUGAACCACCUGAGUUGAGGAAGGCGAGCUAGAAUCUCUGGAACGCUUCUUCGAAUUCUCCACCCUGAGCAAAGCUUCCUCAGCCCUGAGAGCCAAGUUGUAGAACUUAUCAAACUCCUUAGGAUCGUGCAAGGCGAGGGCUAGCUGCAAAUCCUCUUUCAGACCACCUCUGAACUGAUAGAUCUUGCUCUUCUGAUCUGGAAUGUCCUGCAAGGCAUAUCGGUCUAGCUUGUGGAACUCGACGUUGUACUUGUACAUGGAGUUACCACCUUGCUUCAAGCGCCUGAACUUCUCACGCAUCUCCUCCACAAAGCUAGAAGGGAUAUAGUGGGACCUGAAGUCUCUGCAGAAAUCAUCCCAAGUGAUCACUCUAGCACCCCUGGAGUCCUUCAACUGCUGCCACCAGAUCGAUGCUUGCCCCUUCAGCUGGAAUGUUGCAAACUUGAAGAAAUCCUCUGGACGGACAUUGCUGCACUCAAAGUGUUUGUUCAUGUCCCGAAUCCAUUCCUCAGCGUCAAACGACUGAUCACACGACGUGAAGGUCUUCGGCUGGUUUGCCAGGAAUUGACUCAGAGUAGCAAACUGAUUACCACCGUGGUUGAAGUUGCCUUGCUGCUGAUUAGUCCUCUCUUGCCACAACUGGAUCAACAUCUGAGUGUUAGCCUUUGCAGGAGGAGGCGUCGGAGGAGGAGGUGGUGCAGGGGGUGGUGGCGGCAUCUCAGCACCCUCAUGACCUGGAUUCUGACGAGUUGGUGGAGCCAUCCCGAAGACGGACAACACAUUAGCCCAUAGAAUAAUAUUGAAGGUAAAGCUGAAUCAAAAGGCAGGAAUAUCUGAACAUGAAUAUUAGCAAUUGCACUCGAACAAAAUAGUAAGAAUGCUUGCUCAAAGUGACUGUCGACAAAAUUCUGAUUAAGACCACUGGCAAACCAAGUAUGAGCUAGAACUGCUCGGAACAAACGUAUGAUCGAGAUUUCAUCCGAUAUCUUCGUGGAUAUGAUCGCACGGGCUCAAAUUUACAGUAGCCAUCCUGUGCAAGGUAGUGCACACAACUUACAAAGCAUCCCCGAGUCGUAGCAAGCUACAAGGACUCUUUAAGACACAACGAGAAUCGCUGUUGUCUUGUGCAAGAAGAAGCGAAGUGACCCUUCUCACGACAUAAGUAGCAACAUCUACCCUUUACUUUCUUCCCAAUUGAUUUCUCAACUUGAGGAAUGUUGGCAUGGGUCUUCUUGGGAAGAGGCCUUUCUUCAACUUGAAUUUGAGUAUGUGAUUGAACUUGUGGUCGCUUCCCUUGUUGCUUGUGACUUUGGGGCUUCUUAUUUACUGGACAAGAUCUAACAUGGUGCCCUUCAAUCUUGCACUUGAAGCAAACAAUCUUGGAAGAAUUCUUGACUUGUUAUUGGCCCUUCUUCUUGAAGCUUUUCGACUUGUUCUUCUAGUUAGAGUUGAACCCAUGUCCACCUUUGUCAAUUGGGGAUUUUUUUCCCACACAAGACAUUGUUGAGUCUGGACAUCCCUUCGUGACUCUUCUCCAAAUCUUUCUUCAACGAAGUGUUGGGCCUUGAGCUCUUCGAUUUCCUCUACAUGGUUAGUAGAAACACAAGUACUAGAGGAAGUAUAAGCUCAUUGUUAGAGCAACAAGGCAAGGAAAGUAAUUCAUCACAAGAUGUAGCAACAUUAUAAGUUGAUGAAUUACGAGGACUAGCACAUGGAAAUAUAGCAUUUUUACUAGAAGUAGUGCUAAUGUCCACAUGAGGCUUACUUGAUGUUACCUUGGUAGUAGUAGCCUCAUGAGCUAAUUUUAGCACAUUAUGGGUUACUAGAAGAUCAUCAUGAGAGCUUGUGAGCAUUACAUGACUUUCUUCCAAUUUCCCAUAAUUGCUAGAUAGCAACUCGAGUUGAGCCCCUAGCUCAACAUUCUCCUUUAAAAUGGAUGUUUCACAAGAAAUAGAGUUAGUAGCACAAGCAUCAUUAUUAACAAUAAGAGGAGAAGGCAACUUGGCAAGCUCUUUAGCAUAUGACGCUUCAAGUUGACCAUGCGACUCGGUGAGUUCGAUGAGCAAACUCUUAAUAGCCCUUGAACCAUUUUCGAGGUGCUCAUAGUCCUCAAGGAGUUUAGCAUGUGCAACUUCAAGCUUAUAAUUUUUAGUCCUAAAAUAAUUAGCCACCUCAAGAGCUCUAUCAUGAGAUUCCUUUAAUCUAGAUAAUUCUAGAGCAAAGGUCUCCUCAAGAGAUUCCUUGGUGGUUUGUUCAUUUUCAAGAGCUUGAGAUAGCUCUGCGAUCUCAUUAGUGUAAUCACGCUCAUGACCUUCCAUUCUCUGAAUGGUGGCCUCAUGCUCCUCGAGAUGAGCUUUCAACUCCUCAAUAUAUUUCUUGCCCUCACUGGCAAUAGACAUGAUUUCCAUGAAGUUGGAACAAGCAAGUUUAUUCUUAUAAAAAGAUCUACAAGCAUUUCACCCUUAAUUUUUAAGGAUGCAAUAUCAUCACUCUCUUCAUCUUUAUCCUCAUCCUCAUUAUCAUCGGGCAACAUCAUCAUCAUGAGAUAUAUUGGGAUUCAAAGUAGGAGAUACCUUAGAAGCCUUAGCCAUAAGGCAAAAGUGAGAAACAAUAGAUGAUGACGUGGAAUCCCUUGAAGCAUAAUUUAAGGCCACGUCUUGUUCCAAGGAGUGAUGGAUUUCCUCUACAUUGUUAGCACAACAAAUCGAGGAAAUAUAUACAUUUUUAUCAUGGAAACAAGAUACAGAAAGCUUAUCAUCAUGAGAUUUAGUCAAGCAGUUUUUACAAGAUAUGCACGGACUAUCAACACAAGCAUGUAAAACAUUUAGAGUGAUCAAAGUGUUAACGCCCAAAGAUGAAGCAUUGAAAUAAUAUAGUGAUGAAGGAUCACCAACAAUAAGCCCACUAUCAUCAUUGCAAUGAUCUCCACUACUCACCAUAUCAUUAACUUGUGGCAAUCCACAUGUAGGUGAAGUAGAUGAAGUUGAGAAGACCACACGACCGGAGGUGGAGGGAGAACAAUCAUUCCCACAAAUCGUGCACGUACCAUAUUUAUCUUGAAACUUUGUCCACAACUCAUGAGCAUCCGGGAAUGGCAUGAAUUGAAAUAUAACUACAUUGCUCAAAGCAUCAAAAAGCACAUUAGAAGCUUGAGCACUGAGAUAAGAGUUUUUCUCAUCCUCUAAAGAUAUAUUUUGAGAAUCCUUUGGAGGAGAAAAACCCCAUAUCUACAAUUCGCUCCAAAUUUGGGUCCAUGAACCUAAAGUGAUUAAGCAUGCGAAUUACCCAAACAUCAAAAAUUGUGCCACCGAAACUAAGAGUGUGAGAGAAUCCUAAACGCCUAGUCGACAUCCUUACUGUCUAGGUGGUUAAACCUAAUAAAGAGAGACCAAGCUCUGAUACCAAUUGAAAGGAUGUGGAUGUCGCCUAGAGGGGGGGUGAAUAGGCACUUUAAAAUAAUUAUGGUUUAGGCUUGAACAAAUGCGUAAUAAAACUAACGUUUAAUUUGUCAAGCACAAAACCUAAAACAACUAGGCUAACCUAUGUGCACCAAGAACAUAUGCUAAGCAAGAUAAACAACUAAGUGAUAGCAAGAUAUAUGACAAGAAACGAUAUGGCUAUCACAAAGUAAAGUGCAUAAGUAAAGGGUUCAUGUAAGAGAUAACCGAGGCACGCGGAGACGACAAUGUAUCCCGAAGUUCACACCCUUGCGGAUGCUAAUCUCCGUUUGGAGCGGUGUCGAGCCACAAUGCUCCCCAAGAUGCCACUAAGUCCACCGUAAUCUCCUCACGCCCUCGCACAAUGCAAGAUGUUGUGAUUCCACUAAGGGACCCUUCAGGGCGGUCACCGAACCCAUACAAACAAGGUUGGGGCAAUCUCCACAACUUAAUUGGUGGCUCCCAACAACACCACGAAGCUUCAUCACAAUGGCAUAUGUCUUCGAGGUGACCACAAAUACUCGGGGCAAUCUCCACAACUUAAUUGGAGACCCCUACGCUUGCCUAGAGCUUUACACCACAAUGAUUGAGCUUCGAGGCACCACCAAGCUUCUAGGGGUACCAAGUACCCAAGGGUAAUAAGCUUCUCAACUUCUCACUUCUACGUAUCACCGUGGAGAACUCAAAUCGAUGCAACUAAUGCAAUGGCAAGAACACACAAAGUGGUCAAUUCCCUCAAACUCAAAUCCCUCCACAAACAACGAAAGCUAUGGAGAAAUAUGAGAGGAAGAACAAGGAGCUCACAAAGAACUCCAAGAUCAAGAUCCAAGGGGUUCCCUCACAGAGAGGAGAAAGUGAUUGGUGGAGAUGUGGAUCUAGAUCUAUGAUGACCCACAAGUAUAGGGGAUCAAUCGUAGUCCUUUCGAUAAGUAAGAGUGUCAAACCCAACGAGGAGCAGAAGGAUCUGACAAGUGGUUUUCAGCAAGGUAAAAUCUGCAGGCACUGAAAUUGUUGGUAACAAGUGAUUGUGUGGUGAGAUGAUUCGUAGCAAGCAACAAGUAACAAAAGUAGCAACGGUGCAGCAAAGUGGCCCAAUCCCUUUUGUAGCAAGGGACAAGCCUGGACAAAGUCUUAUAGGAGGAAAAACGCUCCCGAGGACACACGGGAAUUUCUGUCAUGCUAGUUUCAUCAUGUUCAUAUGAUUCGCGUUCGUUACUUUGAUAGUUUGAUAUGUGGGUGGACCGGCACUUGGGUACUGCCCUUACUUAGACAAGCAUCCCACUUAUAAUUAACCCCUCUCGCAAGCAUCUGCAACUACGAAAGAAGAAUUAAGACAAAGUCUAACCAUAGCAUUAAACUAGUGGAUCCAAAUUAGCCCCUCACGAAGAAACGCAUAAACUAGGGUUUAAUCUUCUGUCACUCUAGCAACCCAUCAUCUACUUACUACUUCCCAAUGCCUUCCUCUAGGCCCAAAUAAUUGUGAAGUUUUAUGUAGUCGACGUUCACAUAACACCACUAGAGGAAAAACAACAUACAACAUAUCAAAAUACCGAACGAAUACCAAAUUCACAUGACUACUAUUAGCAUGAAUUAUCCCAUGUCCUCAGGAAAAAAAGUAACUACUCACAAAGAAUAAUCAUAUUCAUGACCAGAGAGGUAAUGAGUAGCAUCAAGGAUCUGAACAUAAACUCUUCCACCAAAUAAUCCAACUAGCAUCAACUACAAAGAGUAAUCAACACUACUAGCAACAGUACAAGUACCAAUCAGAGUCGCGAGACAGAGAUUGGUUACAAGCUAUGAACUAGGGUUUGGAGAUGAGAUGGUGCUCAUGAAGAUGUUGAUGGUGACGAGUCCCCUCAGAUGAGAGGAGUGUUGGUGAUAACGAUGGCGACGAUUUCCCCCUCCGGGACGGAAAUUUCCCCGACAGGAUCGUCCUGUCGGAGCUCUAGACUAGUUCUGCUCAAGUUCUCGUUGGAAUUAUGCCCUAGAGGCAAUGAUAAAUAACUUAUUAUUACAAUUCCUGUAUCAAGAUAAUCGUUUAUUAUCCAUGCUAUAAUUGUGUUGAAUGAAGACUUAGAUACAUGUGUGGAUACAUAGACAAAACACUGUCCCUAGCAAGCCUCUAGUUGGCUAGCCAGUUGAUCAAGGAUAGUCAGGGUCUUCUGACUAUAUACAAGGUGUUGUUGCUUGAUAACUAGAUCACAUCAUUGGGUGAAUCAUGUGAUGGACUAGACCCAAACUGAUAGACGUAGCAUGUUGAUCGUGUCAUUUUGUUGCUAUUGCUUUCUGCGUGUCAAGUAUUUAUUCCUAUGACCAUGAGAUCAUAUAACUCACUGAGACCGGAGGAAUGCUUUGUGUGUAUCAAACGUCACAACGUAACUGGGUGACUAUAAAGAUGCUCUACAGGUAUCUCCAAAGGUGUCCGUUGAGUUAGUACGGAUCAAGACUGGGAUUUGUCACUUCAUGUGACGGAGAGGUAUCUCGGGGCCCACUCGGUAAUACAACAUCACACACAAGCCUUGCAAGCAAUGUGACUUAGUGGAAGUCACGGGAUCUUGUAUUACGGAACGAGUAAAGAGACUUGUCGGUAAAUGAGAUUGAAAUAGGUAUGCGGAUACCGACGAUCGAAUCUCGGGCAAGUAACAUACCGAAGGACAAAGGGAAUGACAUACGGGAUUAUAUGAAUCCUUGGCACUGAGGUUCAAACGAUAAGAUCUUCGUAGAAUAUGUAGGAUCCAAUAUGGGCAUCCAGGUCCCGCUAUUGGAUAUUGACCGAGGAGUCCCUCGAGUCAUGUCUACAUAGUUCUCGAACCCGCAGGGUCUGCAAACUUAAGGUUCGACGUUGUUUUAUGCGUAUUUGAGUUAUAUGGUUGGUUACCGAAUGUUGUUUGGAGUCACGGAUGAGAUCACAUACGUCAUGAGGGUUUCCGGAAUGGUCCGGAGAUGAAAAUUGAUAUAUAGUAUGACCUCAUUUGAUUACCAGAAAGUUUUCGGCAUUACCGGGAAUGUACCGGGAGUAACGAAUGGGUUCCGGAUGUUCACCGGGGGGGGCAGCCCACCCCGGGGAAGCCCAUAGGACUUAGGGGUGCCGCACCAGACCUUAGUGUGCUGGUGGGCAAUCCCAAGAAGGCCCCUGCGCAGGAUAUAAGAAAAAUCAAAGAGAAAGAAAAAAAGGGGAAGUGGGAAGGAAGGGAAGGACUCCACCUUCCAAUCCUAGGUGGACUAGGAUUGGAGGCGGAUUCCUCCUCCCCCCUUCGGCCGAACCCCUUGGGGCUCCUUGAGCCUCAAGGCAAGGCCCCUCCCCUCCCUCCUAUAUAUACUGAGGUAUUAUGGCUGAUUUGAGACAACUUUGCCACGGCAGCCCGACCACAUACCUCCACGGUUUUUCCUCUAGAUCGCGUUUCUGCGGAGCUCGGGCGGAGACCUGCUGAGAUUAGAUCACCACCAACCUCCGGAGCGCCGUCACGCUGCCGGAGAACUCAUCUACCUCUCUAUCUCUCUUGAUGGAUCAAGAAGGCCGAGAUCAUCAUCGAGCUGUACGUGUGCUGAACGCGGAGGUGCCGUCCGUUCGGCACUAGAUCGGAGCGGAUCAUGGGAUGGAUCGCGGGACGGUUCGUGGGUCGGUUCGCGGGGCGGAUCGAGGGACGUGAGGACGUUCCACUACAUCAACUGCGUUUAUUAACGCUUCUACUGUGUGAUCUACAAGGGUACGUAGAUCGGAAAUCCCCUCCCGUAGAUGGACAUCACCAUGAUAGGUCUUCGUGCGCGUAGGAAUUUUUUUGUUUCCCAUGCGACGUUCCCCAACAGUUCCGCCUCGUGGCAGCGGCGAAACCACGAAAAAGCUCCUCCGUGAUUGUUUCCUGGACGAAACCCUCCAUAUAGCAAAAGAGGGGGGCCAGUGGGCUAGUGGGCUGCCCACAAGCCCCCAUGGCGCGGCAUGGGGGGUGGUCGCGCCGUGCAGGCUUGUGGGCACCCCCUAGUGCCCCUCUGGCACUUCUUUGGCCCAGUAUUUUUGAUAAAUCGAGAAAAAAACCGUUGAUUUUCACGGGUUUGGAGUUGCCCAGAAUAGGUAUCUCAACUUUGCUCCACUUUCAGGCCAGAAUUCCAGUUGCCGGUAUUCUCCCUCUUCAUAUAAACCUUACAAAAUAAGAGAGAAAAGGCAUAAGAAUUGUACCGUAUAGUGAAAUAACAGCCCAAGAAGCGAUAAAUAUCAACAUGAAAACAUGAUGCAAAAUGGACGUAUCAACUCCCCCAAGCUUAGACCUCGCUUGUCCUCAAGCGAAAGUCAAGCUCAAUAAAUAUGUCCACAUGUUUAGGGAGAGAGAGGUGUGGACAAAACAAGAUACGAACAUUCAUGCAUCAUGAUCAAGAUCACAACAGCAAUACCAACAUAUAAUCCCUGAUGCUAAAGUGAUAAUUCCUUCACAAAGUAAAGCAUGGAUCAAGAACCUUACCGAGAAGUAACAACCGAUAGCCUUUAGUCAUUGAAGCAAUUGCAAUUUAUCACAACAUCAGAAAGAGUCAAAUAAAAGCUUGUAAAGCAAAUCCACAUACUCGAUCAUUCUUUCGUUCUCUACAAUUGCUACAACUCACUUGGUACUCAUGGGAUCAAAGUUUCAGCUGGACACACAGAAAGAUAAGGGCUUACAGUUUUGCCUCCCAACUGCUUACCUCAAGGGUAAUGUCAACAAUAAUAAUUCAUGAAUGCCUACCUCCAAGUUGACAUAUGAAUAUAGAUCUUUCCCAAGCAUAUGACGUUAGCCAAGAUAAAGACAGAAUAAGGAAUUGGUGAAGAUCAACAUGACUCUUUCAAGGGCAAAAAGUAAAGGUACAAGAUAGGCCCUUCGCAGAGGUUGUCAUGCGCUUUUUAGGUUUGGAUGCGUGUCCUCUUAGUGCGGAGGAACGUCACUUUAUAUUGCCCCCUGUGAUAAAGAACUUUAUUAUCCAGUCUGUCGCUUUUAUGUCUUCCUCAUCACAGGUUCGUAUAAAGCUUAUUUUCCACACACUAAUAGAUCAUACGUAUUAGGGAGCAAUUUUUAUUGCUUGCACCGAUGACAACUUACUUGAGGGACCUUAUUCAAUCUAUAGGUAGGUAUGGUGGACACUCAUGGCAAAACUGGUUUGAAGGUUUAUGCAUGCACAAGUAGUAUCUCUACUUGGUGCGGGAGGUUUUGGCUAAUGUGAGGUGGAAGCAAUCGUCACAUGCCAAGGGAUCUCUAAUCAUAAAACAUUGUUUGGAACCAAGCAAACACAAUUCAUUAUGUUGUCUUCCUUGUCCAACAUCUACUUCUAGGCAUGUAAUAGUUUAGUGAGUGUUCACAAUCAUAGAUGGUGUCACAGAUGAUAUAUUUAUAUGUGAACCUCUCCUUCUUUAUCACUUCCUAUUAAUUGCAACAAUGACCAAGGUCUACAUUUGUCUACCCUCAACAAGUUUCAAUCCUCAUUCUUUUUAUAUGUGAAGCCAUCACUUCCCAUAAGAUCAUUACAUGAUCUUUCGGACUUUUGUUCUAUUCUCACUCUUUUGAUCAUGGCAAGAGGCAAAGCCCUUCAACUAAGAAACUCUUUAUUAUAUGGCUCACGAGCAAGAAUACAUCGGGGGUGACACAAAGCUAAACUCAAAACUGAAACACUAAGACUUUUAAUCUACUAGAGAAAGAGAAAACUGAAAAGGAAAACUAAAACAAAGGUAAAGGCAAAAUAUGUGAUGGUGAUACGAUACCGGGGCAACUCCCCCAAGAUUGGCACAAGCCAAGGGGAUUGCCCAUACCAAUGCUCAGUUGUCUUCCUUUGGUGGUGAAGGUGGAGGAUUUGUUGCAAUCUUUGACUCCAAGAGGGCCAUUAAUCUUUGAUUUAUACCUUGGAGAUCUUCGAUAUGUUUUUCUAGCAAAACAACUUCACGAGUGAGACAAGUAUUGCGAGCACGAGUUGUUUCACAAAACCUCAAGAGUUCAAUCAAAGAUGGAGACAGUAGGUGGAGGUAGGGUUGGAGGAAAUCCACUUCUUCAACUUCUUCCUUGUUGAGCACAGAUUGCACUUCGUCCCAUGCCUGAUCCUUCUCCUUAGCUUUGCCCUUGUUUUCUUUAGGUAGCCAUUGCUUAGCCUCCAUGACCUCCAUCCUUUUCAGAUCAGCAUGAACUUCUCCAUAGAUUUGACGGAGAUUGUUCUCCCCCACAGAUUCCUGGGAUGACAUCUUGCUCUAAAUCUGCGGCAGAAAACAGGCUCGAAAUGAAAAACAGAGGGAAUCUGCAUGAUGCACGGGUCAGACCAAACGGGAGUAUAUAUAAUGAUUUUUUCAGACCAGAAGGAGUAUCCCGCACGAAAACGGAGUCCGGGAGGCGCACGAGGUGGCCACAAGCCCUCACGGCGCGGCCAGGGGGUGGGCCCGCGCCGUGCAGGCUUGUCGCCUCCUCGUGCACUUUCCAGACUACUUCCAAUUUUUGUAUUUUUUUCAAAUAUUCCAAAACGGAGAAAAUUUCCUACUGGAAAAGUUUUGUACUCUGUUUUCUUACCGAAUCACAUACCUCUUCGUUUUGGGAGUCUGAAACAGGCUGAUAAAUAUCCCUUAGGUAUUCUUCCGGAGUAAUGGUAUUGAUAAUAUUGCUUUCAACAUUUAUGGGAGUACCUGAGAUAUAAUGCUUGAUUCUCUGCCCAUUUACAACUCUCGGACAAUUACCUUCCAUGUUGUUGAUCUUGAUAGCACCGGAACGAUAUACUUCCUCAACAACAUAGGGACCUUCCCAUUUAGAGAGAACCUUGCCUACAAAGAACCUUAAACGAGAGUAUUAUAGCAAAACCUAAUCACCUACAUUGAACUCACAAUUUUGUAUCCUCUUAUCAUGCCACCUCUUAACCUUCUCUUUGAACAGCUUGGCGUUCUCAUAUGCCUGAGUUCAACACUCAUCAAGCGAGCUAAUAUCAAAUAAUCUCUUCUCACCGGCAAGUUUGAAAUCAAAGUUGAGUUCUUUGAUUGCCCAAUAAGCUUUAUGCUCUAGCUCAAGAGGUAAGUGACAUGCUUUACCAUACACCAUUUUGUACGGAGACAUGCCCAUGGGAUUCUUAUAGGCAGUUCUAUAAGCCCACAGUGCAUCAUCGAGCUUCUUAGACCAAUUCUUUCUAGACCUGUUGACAGUCUUUUGCAGAAUCAGUUAAUCUCUCUAUUACUUAGCUCUACUUGACCACUGGACUAAGGGUGAUAGGGAGACACAAUUCUAUGGUUGACAUCAUACUUAGCAAGCAUUUUACAGAAAGCAACAUGAAUGAAGUGUGAACCACCGUCGGUCAUUAGAUAUCUAGGGACUCCAAAUCUAGGGAAGAUAACUUCUUUCAGCAUCUUGAUAGAGGUGUUGUGAUCAGCACUACUAGUGGGGAUAGCUUCUACCCACUUAGUGACAUAAUCAACAGCAACUAGGAUGUGAGUAUACCCAUUGGAUUUUGGAAAAGGUCUCAUAUAAUCAAAGCCCCAGACAUCAAAUGGUUCAAUGACAAGUGAAUAGUUCAUAGGCAUUUCCUGACGUUUGCUAAUAUUACCUAUUCUUUGACAUUCGUCACAAGACAAGACAAACUUACGGGCAUCCUUGAAGAGAGUGGGCCAAUAGAAACCUGAUUGCAAUACCUUGUGUCCAGUUCUGUCUCCCGCAUGGUGUCCUCCGUAGGCCUCGGAGUGACACUUCUGUAGGAUCUGGCCCAGUUCAUGUUCAGGUACACAACGUCUAAUAACACCAUCUACUCCUUCCUUAUAAAGGUGAGGAUCAUCCCAAAAGUAGUGUCUCAAGUAGGGAUGAAAACGGAGCAGAAAUGGACGGAACUGAGUGCUAUCACAUUUGUUUUCAUAUUGUUUUGCAGAAGUGGAAACGAAUACAGAAACCCCGGAAAUGAAUACGAAAACAGAUACUACCGGAAACAGACACGGAACAAAUACAAAGCGGAUACAGAAAUAGAAGUGGGCGUUGACCAGAACUUUAAAACCCCUUGAAUCAUAGAGUAAUACAGAAAACAACAAAAAUUAAUGAAUUGCUAACAUGUCUACAAAAUUAUUUGAUUAUGUUAGCAAUAUAUCCUAGUAUUGUAUUAGUACAUGACAAAUGUGUAUAGGGUCUAGCUGAGUAUAUAUAUGGUAGUAUAAGUUGGGUCUUAAAUGAUCCAUUAUGUUCAUUGUUUCAUUGGGUGUUAUUUGAUGGUUGGGCUACAAAGCAGUCGUAGGCCUAUAGUAAAAAUGGGAAAUUCCAUAUUCACGGAAACAGAAAGUUCCAUUUCCACAUAUGUUCCACCGGAAAACACUCUUCCGUUUUUGUUUCCGUUUUCGCAUUAAAAAUUCCAUUUCCAUUUCUGUUUUGCAAAUUUCCAUUUCCUCUUUCAUAUUUCCUCUCCGUUUUCAUUUUUCCUCCGGAAAAGCGGAAAGUUUCCACUCCAUUUUCAUCCCUAGUCUCAAGUCAAAGAAGAAUUUCUUCUUUUGCUGGUACGUGAAACUAGGUGGUAUAUAUUUGGCAACGGUAUAGUUUGCAUAAUCAGCAUACCACGGUGUGCUCCGUGAAGCAUUGAUGACAUUCAAUUGCUCAUUGGGAAAGCUAUAAUCAAUAGGUUGUGGGUCAUCAAGAACGUUCUCCAACCUAGAAAAGUUAUCUGCUACAGGGUUAUCAGCACCCUUUCUGUCAACAAUGUGCAAAUCAAAUUCUUGUAGCAAGAGAAACCAUCUGAUAAGUCUAGGUUUAGCGUCCUUCUUCUCCAUGAGGUACUUAAUAGCAGCAUGAUCAAUGUGAAUAGUGACUUUGGAAUCAACUAUGUAAGACCUGAACUUUUCACAUGCAAACACGACUGCUAAAAAUUCCUUCUCCGUAGUAGCAUAGUUUCUCUGGGCACUGUCUAGAGUUUUACUAGCGUAGUGAAUAACAUUCAACUUCUUAUCAACUCUUUGCCCUAGAACAGCACCGACAGCAUAAUCACUAGCAUCACACAUGAUCUCAAAAGGUAAGUUCCAAUCAGGUGGUUCAACAAUAGGUGCAGUUAUCAAAGCCCUCUUAAGUAUUUCGAAGGCUUCCUCACAAUCAUCGUCAAAAACAAAAGGAAUAUCCUUUUGCAAGAGAUUGGUAAGAGGCCUAGAAAUCUUAGAGAAGUCUUUAAUGAACCUUCUAUAGAAACCAGCAUGAAGAAGGAAACUUCUUAUACCUUUGAUAUCUGUGGGGUAUGGCAUUUUCUCGAUUGCAUCAACCUUAGCCUUAUCGACUUCAAUACCUCUUUUAGAAAUAUUAUGUCCUAAGACGAUGCCUUCAUUAACCAUAAAGUGGCACUUCUCCCAAUUCAAGACAAGAUUGGUGUCUUUACAUCUCUGUAAGACUCGAUCAAGGUUGCUGAGGCAAUCAUCAAAGGAAGUCCCGUAAACGGAGAAGUCAUCCAUGAAAACCUCAACAACCUUUUCACAAAAGUCAGAGAAUAUAGCCAUCAUACAUCUUUGAAAGGUGGCAAGUGCAUUACACAAGCCAAAAGGCAUACGUCUAUAAGCAAAGGUACCGAAAGGGCAAGUGAAUGUGGUUUUCUCCUGAUCAGAUUGUGCAACUGGUAUUUGGGAGAAACCAGAAUAACCGUCUAGAAAGCAGAAGUGUGUGUGUUUGGACAGCCUUUCUAGCAUUUGGUCGAUAAAAGGCAAAGGGUAAUGAUCUUUCCUAGUGGCUUUAUUCAACUUCCUAAAAUCAAUCACCAUCCUAUAGCCAAUAAUAAUCCUCUGUGGGAUCAACUCAUCCUUAUCAUUAGGGACAACAGUAAUGCCUCCCUUCUUAGGGACGCAAUGCACCGGACUCACCCAAUCGCUAUGAGCAACAGGAUAGAUAAUACCUGCUUCUAGGAGCUUUAGUAUUUCUUUUCUCACUGCUUCUUUUAUCUUAGGAUUUAAUCUCCUUUGAUGAUCAGCAAUUGGUUUGAAUUCAGGAUCAGUUUUGAUCUUGUGCUCGCAUAGAGUGGGGCUAAUGCCCUUAAGAUCAUCAAGAGUAUAUCCAAUAGCAGCACGAUGCUUUGUCAGAGUUUUUAGUAACUUCUUUUCUUCAUGCUCUGAGAGGCUAGCACUAAUUAUAACAGGAUAUAUCUCUUUUUCAUCAAGAUAGGCAUACUUAAGAGUAUCAGGCAACUGUUUAAGCUCGCACACAGGAUCACCCUUUGGUGGAGGUGGAUCUCCAAGCAGUUCAACAAGCAAGUUAUUCUUAAGGAUAGGAUAUUGUUCUAAGACAACUCUAUCUAUCUCAUCCCUUUCAUCCAUAUGCAUAUCAUUUUCAUGCUCAAGCAAGUAGUGCUCUAAUGGAUCAGUAGGAGGCACGGCAAUAGAAGCUAAGGCAAUAAUUUCAUCCCUACUAGGAAAUUCCUUUUCAUGAGGUUGUCUACCAAACUUAGAGAAAUUGAACUCAUGUGACACACCUUCAAAGCCAACAGUGAUAGUUUGCUUCUCACAAUCAAUAUGAUCAUUGACGGUAUUGAGAAAAGGUCUGCCAAAUAUGAUGGGACAAAAGCUAUCUUGUGCGAUAGCAAGAACGAGGAAAUCAGCAGGAUACUUCGUUUUACCACAUAAGACUUCAACAUCCCUAACAAUUCCCACAGGGCAGAUAAUAUCUCUAUUGGCAAGCUGAAUAGUGACAUCUAUAGGUUCUAUCUCAACAGGUGCAAUCUCAUCUUUGAUUUCAUCGUAUAAGGAUUGAGGUAUUGCACUAACACUAGCACCCACGUCACAUAAACCAUGGUAAUAAUGAUCUCCUAUCUUAACAGAAACCACAGGCAUGCCAACAACAGGCCUAUGUUUGUCUCUAAUGUGAGGUUUAGCAAUUCUAGCAGCAUCUUCACAGAAGUGAAUAUUAUGUCCCUCAACUUCUUCAGACAGAAGAUCUUUGAUAAUAGCAAUGCUAGAUUCAACUCUAAUUUGCUCAGGGGGUGUAGGUGUUCUAAUAUAGCCUCUACGUAUCACAGUUGAAGCUUUAGAAUAAUCCUUUAUCCUAACACGGAAAGGUGGUUCCUCAAUGUAAGCACUGGGAACAACAGGACCAUUAUAAGCAAUGACUCCCUCUUCAACUGGAGUGGGUUUAACUACAUUGACUUCUAAAGGAGGAUAAAAUUUAAACCACUUCUCUUAGGGGAGAUCAAUAUGGGCAGCAAAGGAUUCACACAAUGAAGCUACUAUCUCAGAGUCAAGUCCAUACUUAGCGCUAAAGUCACAAAAAGUAUUUGUGUCAACAAAGGAUUUAACGCAAUCAAAAGUGAAAUUCAUACCUGACUCCUUACCUUAUUCAAGAUCCCAAUCUUCAGAGUUGCGUUUAAUUCUCUCCAAUAAAUUCCAUUUGAAGUCAAUAUCUCUCUUCAUAAAAGAACCGGUACAAGAAGUGUCAAGCAUGGUGCGAUCAUCAUGAGAAAGCCGAGCAUAGAAGUUUUGAAUGAUAAUUUCUAUCGAGAGCUCAUGAUUGGGACAUGAAUAUAGCAUUGAUUUAAGCCUCCCCCAAGCUUGAGCGAUGAUUUCUCUGUCACGAGGCCAAAAAUUAUAAAUAUAAUUCCGAUCACGAUGUACUAAAUGCAUAGGAUAAAACUUUUGAUGAAAUUCCAAUUUCAACCGAUUGUAGUCCCAUGAUCCAGUAUCAUCACAUAGCCUAUACCAUGUCAACGCCUUAUCCUUCAAAGAUAAAGGAAAGACCUUCUUCUUGACCUCAUCCUCGGGCACACCUACAAGCUUAAAUAAACCACAAACCUCAUCUACAUAGAUCAGAUGCAAGUCUGGGUGUGAUGUUCCAUCUCCUGUAAAAGGAUUAGCCAGCAGUUUCUCAAGCAUACCCGAAGGAAAUUCAAAGAAAAUAUUUUCAGUAGGUGAAGCAGGUUGAUGAGAAACUCUUUGUGCUUCUGUUCGAGGUGAAGAUACCCCGAACAAGCCCCUCUAAGGAUUAGUAUCCAUAGUGACAAGUGAAAACAAAUUUCAGCACACUAUAUGAAUGUUUCCUUACCAAGUUCCACUUACCAAAGGCGCUUCACUCCCCAGCAAUGACGCCAGAAAAGAGUCUUGAUGACCCACAAGUAUAGGGUAUCAAUCGUAGUCCUUUUGAUAAGUAAGAGUGUCGAACCCAGUGAGGAGCAGAAGGAUCUGACAAGUGGUUUUCAGCAAGGUAAAAUCUGCACGCACUGAAAUUGUUGGUAACAAGUGAUUGUGUGGUGAGAUGAUUCGUAGCAAGCAACAAGUAACAAAAGUAGCAACGGUACAGCAAAGUGUCCCAAUCCCUUUUGUAGCAAAGGACAAGCCUGGACAAAGUCUUAUAGGAGGGAAAACGCUCUCGAGGACACACGGGAAUUUCUGUCAUGCAAGUUUCAUCAUGUUCAUAUGAUUCACGUUCGUUACUUUGAUAGUUUGAUAUGUGGGUGGACCGGCGCUUGGGUACUGCCCUUACUUGGACAAUCAUCCCACUUAUGAUUAACCCCUCUCGUAAGCGUCCACAACUAUGAAAUAAGAAUUAAGACAAAGUCUAACCAUAGCAUUAAACUAGUGGAUCCAAAUCAGCCCCUUACGAAGCAACGCAUAAACUAGGGUUUAAGCUUCUGUCACUCUAGCAACCCAUCAUCUACUUACUACUUACCAAUGCCUUCCUAUAGGCCCAAAUAAUGGGGAAGUCUUAUGUAGUCGACGUUCACAUAACACCACUAGAGGAAAAACAACAUACAACAUAUCAAAAUACCGAACGAAUACCAAAUUCACAUGACUACUAUUAGCAUGAAUUAUCCCAUGUCCUCAGGAACAAAAUUAACUACUCAAAAAUCAUAAUCAUAUUCAUGACCAGAGAGGUAAUGAGUAGCAUCAAGGAUCUGAACAUAAACUCUUCCAUCAAAUAAUCCAACUAGCAUCAACUACAAAGAGUAAUCAACACUACUAGCAACCUUAAAAGUACCAAUUGGAGUCGCGAGACGGAGAUUGGUUACAAGUGAUGAACUAGGGUUUGGAUAUGAGAUGGUGCUGAUGAAGAUGUUGAUGGCGACGAGUCCCCUCCAAUGAGAGGAGUGUUGGUGAUGAUGAUGGCGACGAUUUCCCACUCCGGGAGGGAAGUUUCCCUGGCAGGAUCGUCCUGCCGGAGCUCUAGAUUGGUUCUGCUCAAGUUCCGCCUCGUGGCGGCGGCGAAACCACGAAAAAGCUCCUCCGUGAUUUUUUUCCUGGACUAAACCCUCCAUAUAGAAAAAGAGGGGGGCUAGUGGGCCAGUGGGCUGCCCACAAGCCCCCAUGGCGCGGCCUGGGGGUGGUCGCGCCGUGCAGGCUUGUGGGCACCCCCUGUUGCCCCUCUCGCACUUCUUCGGCCCAGUAUUUUUGAUAAAUUGGGAAAAAAUCCCUGUUAAUUUUCACGGUGUUUGGAGUUGCGCAGAAUAGGUAUCUCAACUUUGCUCCACUUUGAGGCCAGAAUUCCAGUUGCCGGUAUUCUCCCUCUUCAUGUAAAGCUUGCAAAAUAAGAGAGAAAAGGCAUAAGAAUUGUACCGUGAAGUGAAAUAACAACCCAAGAAGCGAUAAAUAUCAACAUGAAAACAUGAUGCAAAAUGGACAUAUCAAUCUCCUCUCUAUUUUCCCUCAAGAACUAGCAAGAAUCAUUGAGGGAUUGAGAGUUAGCUAUCUCUAAGAAGGUCAACAAUGGGGGAAGAACACGAGCUCAACGGAUAGAUAAGGUCCAAUGGGCAAGAAGAACUCCUUUAUAUAGUGGGGGAACGAAUCUUACCGUUACCCCCACUCACAGCCCGACUGGAGCGGCACUACCGCUGCUCGUAGCAGUACUACGGCUCCCAGAAUGUCCGAGGGAGCGGUACUACCACCCGGGAGCGGUAGUAAAAAAUUACUACCGCUCGCACCAUGAGCGGUAUUACCGCUCGAUACUGAAAUUGCUCUAACUUUUGCAUACGAACUCUGAAUCAAGCAAACUCAAGCUUUUUGAAUUCACAAUGACAAGAGAUAUCCAACAGUGACAUAAAAUCUUAAGAACAUUUAGUUAGAAAAUUCCAAUGAUAUAGAGAAGUGAUACCUCUAUGAAUGAAGAAUUGGCAAAAACUUCCAACAUCGAAAACAUCAUAGAAGAUGCAUAUGGACUCCGUUUUCGAUGAACUUGAGCUUGUCAUGAAGAUGACCAUAAGUUCUAAAACUCACAAAGAGAAACACCAAACAAGAACCAAGAAAUAUGAUGCAAGGAUGCAAAUGGUUUGAGAUCUCAACGAACGAUACGAUCAAGCUACUCACUUGAGAGCCCCCCUUGACAGUACGACAAUCUAUCCUAAAAUAGAAAACCUAUCAAGGGAAAACCUAUACCUUGCACCUAGUCCUCUUGAAGUAGAUGAUGAUGAUCUUGGCUUCCUCAAGAUGGACCACCUUUCUUGAUUGCCUUGGUUUUACAAAGACUAGUUGAUUUCUCCCCCAUACUCACUAUGGGUGAGCCACUCUUCAGCACAUAUUCACAAGUCCAUUGCCACCACAAUGGACGGCAAGCUUCAAGCAUGAUAUCUUCGUGAAGCUCCACUUGAACUUGAACACCCCAAUCUUGAUGACGAUCACCACUUGAUGUCAUCCUUCAUAGGUUGAAUGAGAUCUUCCUCUUGACGCAAACCCAUGGAGACACACCUAACCCCACAUAGAAGUCUCACAAGGACCAUGGCUAAGUACACAAAAGCGUUAUGGACAAUGCUUACCAUACCAUGGGAUCACUUGAUCCCUCUCGGCACAUCUGGUACACUUUGUGUAUUGAUCAUCUUGAUUUACUCUUUGUUUAUUCUUGAUCAACCUUGUAUCUUUAUGACCAAUCUUUGGAUAAUAUCUAGAAUACCACCUUGGUCAUCAUAUAAACUCUUUGACACCAAUUGAUGGACUUCAAGAAGUGCCUAUGGACAAAUCCUUUGAAUAUAACUUAAGGCAACCAUUAGUCCAUAGGGAUUGUCAUCAAUUACCAAAACCACAUAUGGAGAAAUAUGCUCUAACACUGGGGGAAUACCUUGUGUGUAUCAAACGUCACAACGUAACUGGCUCACUACAAAGGUGCUCUACGGGUAUCUCCAAAGGUGUCUCUUGGGUUGGCCUGAAUCGAUAUUGGGAUUUGUCACUCUAUCUCGGGGCCCACUCGGUAAUACAACAUCGCAAUAAGCCUUGCAAGCAAUGUGACUAAGGAGUUAGUCACGGGAUCUUGUAUUACGGGAGUAUUAAAGAGACUUGCCGGUAACGAGAUUGAACUAGAUAUGGGGAUAUUGACGAUCGAAUCUCAGGCAAGUAACAUACCGAUGGACAAAGGGAACAGUAUACGGGAUUGAUUGAAUCCUUGACAUCGUGCUUCGACCGAUAAAGAUCUUUGUAGAAUAUGUAGGAACCAAUAUGGGCUCGAGGUCCCGCUAUUGGUUAUUGACCGUAGAGGUGUCUCGGUCAUGUCUGCAUAGUUCUCGAACCCGUAGGGUCUGCACACUUAACGUUCGGUGACGCUAGAGUAGUAUUGGGAUUUGUAUGUUGGUGACCGAAAGUUGUUCAGAGUCUCGGAUGAGAUCCCAAACGUCACGAGGAGCUCCGGAAUGGUCCGGAGGUAAAGAUUUACAUAUGGGAAUUCAUAUUUUGGCUACCAAAAAAGUUUCGGGUUUUUUCGGUAUUGUACUGGGAAGCUUCUAGAAGGUUCCGAAAACGUCUGGAGGAGUCCGAAAGUCCACCAAGGGUUCCACCACGUCCCAACGGUUUGCAUGGGCUGAGUGGAGAUGUCGUGGCCUUAUUGGGCCAAUCACACAAGUCCCUCAAGGCCCAUGUAGUUGGCAAAGGUGGAAAGUCCAACUUUGUAAGGAAGGGAAGGAAGGGGACUAGGUUUCCACCUCAUCCCCCCUUGGCUACGCCCUAGGGCUUGGAGGGGUUGUUCCCCACGCCCCUUCACCUAUAUAUAGAGAGUAGGGGGAACCCCAAAAGUACACAACAAACCACGACUGCUCUCUCUCUAGAUCGUUUUCUCCUCUAGAUUAGUUCCGUAGAGCUUGGCGAAGCCCUUCUGGAUUAGUUCACCAUCACCACCACCAUGCCGUCGUGCUGGAGAACUCAUCUACCUCUCCACCCCUUUUGCUGGAUCAAGAAGCCGGUGAACGUCAUCGAGUUGUAUGUGUGCUGAACGGGGAGGUGUCCUCCGUUCGACGCUUGAUCGGGAUUUCAUGGCACGGAUCGUGAUUGGAUCGCGAAGAUGUACCACUACAUCAACCGCAUUCUUUAACGCUUCUGCUUAGCGAUCUACAAGGGUUUGUAGAUACACUCACCCCUCUCGUAUAUGGUCAUCACCAUGGACAGAUCUUAUGUGCACGUAGGAAAAAUUUUGUUUCCCAUGCAACAUUCCCCCAAACAAUGGUGAAGAAAAGACUCUCCUAACCUAGCUUUGAACGACAACGCUGUUUUGGAGGAAGAAGAAGAAGAGGAAGGUUGUACCGAAGACACCAAAUAUGCUUAUCACGAGCAUAUGGCUCUUGCGUCAAGGCAAUUUUGGGGCAACAAGAGAAACUAAAGGCCUAACAUCUCCAAGAAUAACAAAAGUGGGUCCAAGGGCAAGCAACGUGUGAGGACUUGCUACAAUUGUGGCAAGGUGAAUCACUUUGUGGCAGAUUGUCCGUAUGAGAAGAUGGAAGACAACUGUGGAAAGCUCAUUCGCAAAGACAAGGCCAAGUCCUUCCCCAACAAGGAGAACUUAUCCAAGAAGAAUCCCCAAAAGGUGUUGGUGGCUCAAUAAGAGUACCUCUCCGCUGGGGAUGAAGAUGAUGAUGCAAGUGGUGAAGUAAUGGCAAUGGCCACAAUGGCCAUUGCAUCCUCUUCCCCAAGCAAGGUGUCCCGCUUCAACUCCCCCAACGAGAACCGCAUGGCCAAGUGCCUUACACCAAGGAAUCCAACAAGGUAACCUCCAACAUCAAAACUACCAUUUCCACUACCCCUUAUUCUAUGGAUAGUCGAGAUGAAAAAGAGGAGGUAAAAGUUAAGGAAAACCCCUUUGGUAAGUUCAUGAGAAGAAACAAGGCUGAGACCACAAAGCAUUUUUUUGCUCUCUUGGAACAACUAGGCGAGGCUAGCGAUCUCAUUAAGACCCAUGAGAAAACCAUCUAUCAAUUAGAGGGACAUGGUCGAGACUAUGACAAUGAUACUAGUAGAAAAGAGGGCUUUGGUCCACUUGAUAAAAUCCCAUUAGUCCCGGUUCACUCACGAACCGGGACCCAUGUGGGCAUAGGUCCCGGUUCGUGAGGCCAGGGCGCUGGCCGGGCCUCGUGGACCAUUUGUCGCGGUUCGUUUGUCACCUUCGGUUUGGUUCUAGACAUGAACCGAGACCAAUGUGCUUCGCUCCUGGCCCACAACCACUAGUCCCGGUUUGUGGUUGGAACCGGGACCUCGGGUUGUCCUUUGGUCUUGAUUCCAGCCAAAAACCGGGACCAACGGUUGGCCUACAUAUACCCUCGCGAGCAGAGCAGUGCAUUGCUCUAUUUUUUCGGUCGGCCGUGGGAGAGUUUGUGGUGCUCUAGCUCACCUCCUAUGCACAUGAGGUGUUCGAUGAGAUGCCCGAGCCAGACAUAAGCUUUCUCCUUUAGAAGCUCCUUGUCCAAGCUCCAAUUUCAUCAAGAUUUGUGUUGUUUUUAAUACACUUUGUUAUAUAACGCACACAGAUGAACCGUAAAUGGAUGUACGGUGACCGACACACCUCCGAGUAUAUUAAUGGCCUGUAUAAUUUUCUCGAAGCGGCUAAAGCAAACAAGCAGAAUGGUUUUAUGCAUUGUCCAUGUACUGUCUGUGGGAAUACGAAGGAAUUCUCUGACUAUAAAACCCUGCACUUCCAACUGCUUCAGAAGGGUUUUAUGCCACACUAUAAUGUUUGGACCAAGCAUGGAGAAAGAGGGGUUAUGAUGGAAGACAACAUAGAAGAAGAGGAUGAUGACAACUACCCGCCCCGUGAAUACGGUGAUGCUGCAAUGUGGGAAGCUGAAGAUCAAGAGGAACCAGACGAUGUGCCCGAUGAUGAUCUUCGUCAGGUCAUUAUUGAUGCACAUGGAGAAUGCGAAAGUGAAAGGGAGAAGUUGAAGUUUGAUCGCAUGUUAGAGGAUCAUAUAAAAGGGUUGUAUCCAAAUUGCGAAGAUGACAACACAAAGCUCGGUGCCACACUCGAAUUGCUGCAAUGGAAUGCAGACAAUGGUGUAUCUGACAAGGCAUUUAGUUCGCUACUGAAAUUAAUGAAGAAGAAGCUUGAUACGUCUCCGUUGUAUCUACUUUUCCGAACUCUUUUGCCCUUGUUUUGGACUCUAAUUUGUAUGAUUGGAAUGGAAUUACCCGGACUGGCGUUGUUUUCAGCAGAAUUGCCAUGCUGUUUUUUUGUGCAGAAAUAAAAGUUCUCGGAAUGUCCUGAAAAUUUACGGAGAUUUUUUCUGGAAUAAAAGAAAAAUACAUGCGCAAAGAUCCACCGGAGGGGGUGUGCCAGUGGUCCACAAACCCACAGGCCUCAGCCAGCCCCUAUGGGCGCGCCGUGAGGGCUUGUGGGGCCCACGUGGAAACACCUCCCCCAAACUCAGCUCUAUAUCUUCCGUUUCGCAUGGAAAAAAAUCAGAGAGAAGGUUUCAUCGCGUUUUGCGAUACGGAGGUGCCGCCACAUCCUGUUCUUCAUCUGGAGGGCAGAUCUGGAGUCCGUUUCGGGCUCUAGAAAGGGGAAAUCGUCGCCAUCAUCAUCAACCUUUCUCCAUCGACAAUUCCAUGAUGCACUUCAUCGUUCAUGAGUAAUCUCAUCGUAGGCUUGCUCGACGGUGAUGAGUUGGAUGAGAUCUAUCAUGUAAUCGAGUUAGUUCUUGACGGGGAUUGAUCCCUAGUGUCCAUUAUGUUCUAAAUUGAUGUUGCUACUACUUGGCUAUGCUUAGUGCUUGUCACUAGGGCCCGAGUGCCAUGAUUUAAAAUUUGAACCUAUUAUGUUGUCGCCAAUAUAUGUGUGUUUUAGAUCUUAUCUUGCAAGUUGUAGUCACCUACUAUGUGUUAUGACCCGGCAACCCCGGAGUGAGAAUAGCGGGAACCACUCCUGGAGAUGACCAUAGUAUGAGGAGUUCAUGUAUUCACCGCAUGUUAAUGUGUUGGUCUAGUUCUUUAUUAAAAGGAGUACCUUAAUAUCCCAUAGUUUCCAUUAGGAACCUGCUGCCACGGGAGGUAUGGACAAUAGAUGUCAUGCAAGUUCUUUUCCCUAAUCACGUAUGACUACAUACGGAAUACAUGCCUACAUUAGAUUAACGAUUGGGAGCUAGUUACAUAUCUCUCCGUGUUAUAGCUGUUACAUGAUGAAUCACAUCCGUCAUACCCAUCCAUCACCGAUCCACUGCCUACGAGUCUUUUACUACUAGUUCUCGCUGCGUUACUUUGUCUAGGCUUGUCCCUUGCUACAAAAGGGAUUUGGCCACUUUGCUGCUAUUGUUGUUACUUUGCUGCUUCUGCUACUAUAGUUCCUUGCUACUCCGUUCUUACUUGUUGCAAGACUUUGUUGGAGCCGUAGUCGGGGAAGCAUUCUUCUCAAGAAUAAUCCCCCGUCAACGUGUUGGCGCCAUUGAUACAACAGUUAGGAAUAGUUUGCCGUCAAUAGUUCUGUUUCUGACACCGUUGCUAUCAUACUACCUUGCUACUGAUACUUUGCUUGCAGACACUAAUCUUUCAGGUGUGGUUGAAUUUGACACAUUCAGCUGCUAAUACUUGAGAAUAUUCUUUCGCUUCCCGUCUUGGCGAAUCUACAAAUUUGGGUCGAAUACUCUACCCACGAAAACUGUUGCGAUCCCAUACGCUUGUGGGACAUCAAGGCUUUUUUCUGGCGCCGUUGCCGGGGAAGCACAGCUAUAUUCUCUGAGUCACUUGGGAUUGACGUCUGUUGAUCACUAUGAGGAAUCCGAAAGAUCCAAGAACUAAAAUCCUACCUUCCACUACGAGGAGAGGUAAGGAACUGCCAUCUAGCUCUGCACUUGAUUCACCUUCAGUUCUGAGUAAGUUUGCGACUUCGCCUCCUGCUAGAAAUCUUGAUAUGUCCCUUGAUGAUGCUACUUCUGUUGCCCAUGAUGCUUAUGAUGCUAUGCUUGAUACUAUGCCUGAUGAUGCUAUGCUUGAUACUAUGCCUGAUGAUAUUAUGCUUGAUACUAUGCCUGCUAUGUCUGAUACUGCUUUGCCACUUGGUGCAUUCCUUGAUGCACAUAUUGCUAGAGUUGCUGUUAGAUGUGAUGAUACUUCUGAAACUACUGAUACUAUUGAAGUAGAACCUGCUAGUAUGCCUGAAUUGCCUAUUAUGCCUGAUACGCGCUAUGUUAUGGAGGGAGAGAUAGGUGAGGACUUUCUUGCGUGUAAGGAUAGCUAUGAUGUUGAGAAACUUCUGCGCAAGUGGAAAGAAAAAUCUCUGAACGCUAGGAUGAAUUACGACCCGAAGUUUGCUACUUCGCCUAUCUUUGUGACCGAUAAGGAUUAUGAAUUCUCUGUCGACCCUGAGUCAAUCACUCUUGUCGAAUCUGAUCCUUUUCACGGUUAUGAGUCUGAAACGGUUGUAGCCCAUCAUACCAAACUGCACGAUAUAGCCACCCUAUUCACUAGUGAGGAAAAGAUCCACCACUACUACAUACUCAAGCUGUUUCCUUUCUCGCUAAAGGAUGAUGCUAAGACCUGGUUCACUUCUCUUGCUCCUGGUUGUGUGGGUAGCCCCUAGGAUAUGGUCUACUACUUCUCUGAAAAAUAUUUCCCUGCCCAUAAGAAGCAAGCUGCCUUGCAGGAAAUAAACAACUUUGCUCAAGCUGAGGAAGAGAGUCUCCCACAAGCUUGGGGGAGGCUUAUCCAGAUACUGAAUGCUUUGCCUGAUCACCCUCUUGAGAAGAACGAAAUACUUGAUAUCUUCUAUAAUGGACUUACCGAUGCUUCUAAAGACCACCUAGAUAGUUGUGCCGGUAGUGUUUUUAGGGAACGAACCGUAGAACAAGCUGAGAUUCUAUUGAAUACCAUCUUGUGCAAUGAGAAUGCUUGGACUAUUCCUGAACCACCUCCUAAGCCAACUCCGAGGAAAAGAGGUAUUCUAUUCCUCGGUCCUUAAGAUAUGCAAGAAGCCAAGAAAUCUAUGCGAGAGAAAGGCAUUAAAUCUGAAGAUGUCAAAAAUCUACCACCUAUCGAAGAGAUCCAUGGUCUCGAUAACCCGAUACAGGUAGUAGAAGCAAAUUCUCUGUAUAGGUUUCAUGAGAGUGAUAUUCCUUUUGAUAAACCUGCUAGCUUAUGCAUGGAUGAAUUUGAUAACUUCGUUGCCAAACAACAAAGUUUCAAUGAUUAUGUUAGCAGACAAUUGGAAAAGAAUGCUCGUAUGCUUAGUCAUUUAAGUGCUUGUGUGGACAGAAAUGUCAAUGAUCUUAAACUUCUGAGUAAACAUGCCUCUAUGGUUACUACUCAGGUAGAACAAGUACUUAAAGCUCAGAAUGACUUGCUCAACGAGUUGAAUGACAAUUCUGUCAGAGUCGUUACUAGAGGCGGUAGAAUGACCCAGGAACCUCUGUAUCCUGAGGGUCAUCCGAAGAGAGUUGAACAAGAGUCUCAAGGAGUUAGCACUGAUGCACCUAGUCAUCCUAGAAAGAAGAACAAAGAUGAUAGGGACCUGCACGCGAGCAACCCUGUUGCUGCUACACCUGAGAGUCCAAACGAUGCCUCUGUCUCUGAUGCUGAGACACAAUCUGGUGAUGAACAUGAGCCUAAUGAUGAUAUCAAUGGUGAUGUUCAUGUUGAUGCUCAACCUAGCAAUGAAAAGGAUGUGGAGAUUGAACCAGUUGAUCUUGAUAACCCACAUCCUAAGAAUAAGAGAUACGAUAAGAAUGACUUCGCUACUAGGAAGCAUGGUAAAGAAAGGGAGCCAUGGGUUCAGAAACCUAUGCCCUUUCCUCCCAAACCAUCCAAGAAAAAGGAUGAUGAGGAUUUUGAGCGCUUAGUUGAGAUGAUCAGACAUGUCUUUCUACAAAUGCGUUUGACAGAUAUGCUCAAAAUGUCUCCGUAUGCCAAGUACAUGAAAGAUAUUGUGACUAAUAGGAGGAGGAUACCUGAUCUUGAGAUCUCCGCCAUGCUUGCCAAUUAUAUCUUCAAGGGUGGAACUCCUGAGAAACUAGGUGAUCCCGGUGUGCCCACUAUACCUUGCUCCAUUAAAGGUAACUAUGCUAGAACUGCUUUAUGCGACCUUGGAGCCAGUGUUAGUGUUAUGCCUCUCUCUCUUUAUCGUAGACUUGAACUAGAUAAGUUGACACCCACUGAAAUCUCUCUGCAAAUGGCCGACAAAUCAACUGCUUUCUCUAUCGGCAUUUGCGAGGAUGUGCCUGUUGUGGUUGCUAACACCACUAUCUUAACAAACUUUGUUAUCUUGGAUAUUCCCGAGGACGAUGCCAUGGUUUUCAUCCUCGGAAGACCCUUUUUAAACACUGCAGGGGCUGUUAUAGAUUGCAACAAAGGCAAUGUCACUUUCCAUGUCAACGGUAAUGAGCAUACGGUGCACUUUCCGAAGAAAUAAUAUCGAGUACAUUGCAUCAAUGCUAUCGAAAAAACUUCAUCGAUUCUUAUCGGGAGCUUUGAAUGCCCUAUUCCUUGUGUCAAGAUGAAGUAUGAUUUGCUUGUUGGGGAGAUACACAUCCCCAUUGAGGUGACUUAGUGACUAUUCGGAAAUUCUCUGUUCUCUUUUGCGAUCCGAGAAAGUUUUGUCGAGGGGAUUUGAUCAACCCCAUUGACGGAUUUCUUUCGAUGACCAUGAGAUGGAUGAAUCAAGGAGUCACAAACCUCUGUUCUAAGCUUUCACUUUAGGUUGCUUAGAAGAAAAAUGAUAGGUUUAGUUUAGUUUUCCCUGUUUUCUGUUUUAGCGUCCGGUAGAAAAAUACCCCGAAAAUAAAAGUUCUCCGAACGCUGUGAAAAUCUAGUAUGAUUUUUUCUGGAAUAUUUGAAAAAUACUGGGACAAAGAGUCUGUCUGGGGGCCACACCAGUGGGCCACAAGCCCUAGGGGCGCGGGCACCCCCCUGGCCGCGCCACCCAGGCUAGUGGGGCCCACAGGCACCCCCUCCACUCAUUCUUGCUCUCAUCCGCUUCUCCUAUCUCCAGAAAAAAAAUCGUUUCGCAGCUCAAACCCGUGUUCUUGCUCCUCUUGCUGGGAUUUUCGAUCUCUUUGCUCAAAUCACCGUUCUCCAAACUGGUUUGGGGAAAUUACUCCUUGGUAAGUGACUCCUCCAUUGGUCCAAUUAGUUUUUGCUCGAGUGCCUUAUGCUCCGCGUAUUUUUGCUGCCUUGGUGACCAUGUUCUUGAGCUUUGCAGGCUGAUUCUAGCUGGUCCCCAGUAGUUUUGAUGCGUAAUAUGGUCUCUAGGCACUUGUGGGAGUAGUUGCCACGAGUUUCGUUGAGCCUUAUUCACUUUUCCUUAGAAUCACUAAAAAUUUCAGAAAUUUUCAGAGAUAGAAAAGGGAAAAGAUGAGGAGGUUCUUGAGAGGCUCGUCAAGUCGUGACCCCAAGGAGGAUGGGAGUGAGAAGAAGCCCAAGUAUCCGGUCCCUCGAGUCGCGGAAGUUCGAGCGUGCGAGUGGCCGAGCGACGUGUUCUUACGCGCCGCUGGAAUUUAUGAGGACUUUUAUCACUUGGUGGAAAACGCAGGCCUUACCGCCUUCGUUGAAGAUAAGUGUUCGCAAUACCUCCUCCUCACUAAUAUCUUCGUACAAAGCUUUAACUUCUAUCCGAGAAAGAAUCCUCCGAUGGUUGAGUUUAAACUUUAUGAUAUCCCCCAGCGCAUGUCACUCCAGGACUUUUGCAAUGUUUGCAAAUUACCUUACAUUGGAGAUAUUCAUGAACCUCAUCCACGGGAUUUGGAAGCUUUUAUCGGAACCAUUGCUGUAGGAGAUGAGAGAGGAGUGUCUUGCGCUAGAGCUGCUAGCAUUCAUUUUCCCGUGCUUCGGAACUUCUCACUUUUUAUGGGAAAAAUUUUGAUUGGCUGUGGGAAAGCUGGGUCACUUAGUUCCCUAGAUCUUGCGGUAUUGCGCGACGCCCUUUAGAACGAUAAAACUUAUAGCUUGGGCACUAUAGUAGCUCAACGGUUGAACCUGAACCGUUCUAAAGGUGUUGUCUAUGGAUGUAUCUAUGCUACCCGUCUUGCCAGACACUUUGAGAUACCCAUUAGACUGGAGGAAGAAGAAGAGGUUCUUCUUCCCGAGAGAUAUCUAGAUUACGAUAGCAUGGUUUGCCAUGACUUUCUUGAUAGAGAUAUAGGUGGAAGGAUGAUUUAUAACCUGGUAUUUAGUCAGGGUACUCGUGAGACUAUUACUUUGCCUAUUCCUUCUUUGUUCAACCUUCAUGCAGGAAGGUACACUAUUAUGCCCUCGGACAUCUACGCAUAUUGGGGCCUAGCCCAACCACACGUGCCCUUGACCGAGCCGCCAGUCGAGUACCAAACGGCAGUUUAUCAGUGGGAGCCAGAGGAGGUCACACAACAGUGGAUCCACAGCCCACUCCGAAGUAUCCCGGAGCUGGUUAUUUCCCUCCUUGGGAGUAGACCAAGUUAGGACAAAAGCCUAAGCUUGGGGGAGUACGUGUUCUCACCGACUUUACAUUCUUGCGUAUGCUUUCACUUUGUUAGCCGGUGUUCACACUUUGCCACUGUAUCAUCCAUGCUAGUUUAUUUUCUUUUUCUCGUUUUCUUUUCGUGUGUCUGUCUAGUUUGAGAAAACCCAAAAAGAUUUUCUUUUUCUUCUUGUCUUUUUUCUUGUUGGGAUCUUUCCGUGUAGAUAGUUUUCUUUUUCUUUGGGUCAAGGUAGAAGAUAUUGGUUACAAUGUUUAGUGGCUCUUGCAUGCAUACCUGUUUAGCUUUCAAAGAGACAUAUUACUUUGUCUUCUCCUUUGUGUUUGCCUGCAGAUUCCAGCUUUAGUCCAAUGCACAAGCACGCUUAUUAUUGUUCACAUCGUUCGGUCGUGCAAGUGAAAGGCAAUAAUGACGAUAUAUGAUGAAGUGACUGAGCCUGGAAAAGCUGGUAUGAACUCGAUCUAUUUUGUUUUUGUAAAUAUGACUACCUCAUUAUGCCUGAUUCAGCUUUGUAGUGAGAGAAACAUGCUUGCAAUGACAACUUAGAGAUCAUAGUUGCUUAUGCCAUGCUUAUUUAGCUAGGAGCUUAUAAUGUUUGUCUUGGUUGCCCACAUGAAUGUUGAGAUGACUAUGAUGUAGUAUGAUAGGAUGGUAUCCUCCCUUGAAUGAUUCAAGUGGCUUAACUUGGCGCAUGUUCACGCAUGUAGUUGAAACAAAAUCAACAUAGCCUCUAUGAUAUUCAUGUUCAUGGUGAUUUAUGUCCUACUCAUGCUUGCACUCAAUGUUAGUUAAUCUCAAUGCAUUUUGAUGACUGUUGCUUCUCUCUAGUUGGUCGCUUCCCAGUCUUUUGCUAGCCUUCACUUGUACUAAGCAGGAAUAAUGCUUGUGCAUCCACCUCCAUAUCCCCAAAGUUGUGCCAUAUGAGUCCACCAUACCUACCUAUGUGCAGUAUCUACCUGCCAUUACAAGUAAAUUUGCAUGUGCCACUCUCUAAACCUUCAAGAAAUAAUCUGUUUUGCAUGCCCGAACCGCUCAUGUGGUGACAGAGGGCUAUUGGUAUCUUCCAUGCUAGGCGUGUUAUCCUCGAUAUGUGUUUAUUCACUAUCAUUCACGAGAAAGGGGUCGGUAAUUGGAAUUCCCAGUUCCAUGCUCAAAUCGGAGAGAUAAUUGCAAGCAAAACUCCCCCAGGAUUGAAGUUGGUAUGGACGGUACCCGAGGAUUCGGCUAGCCGUGGAGUGUGAUUGAUUGGUGGUGGGGGAGUCAAAACUUUACUUUUCUGUUUGGGAAUCGCCUAUAGCAUGUGUAGCAUGGAAGAUGUUGAGAACUCUUAGUCAUUGCGUUGAUAAUAAAAGCAUGCCACCCAAAAUUAUUAUCUCUGUUUUCAAAGCUUGAGCUCUGGCACCUCUAAAAUCAAUGCUUCCCUCUGCAAAGGGCCUGUCUAUUUAUGUUCCUGUUGAGUCAUCCUCCUCUUACAAAAGCACCAAUUAGAGAGCACCUCUGUUGUUUUUAUGCUUUGCUUUUAACUGUGUUGAGUAUGACUAUGACUGGAUCUUCAUUGCUUUGAAUUACAAUGUUUAGUCAGCCCUUGGUCUUUGAAGGUGAUCUGCAUUUAUGUUUUGCGGUCUCAGAAAGAGCUAGCGAGAUACCAUCUAUUCGUACUGCUUCAUGUUGUUUUGAUUGAAGUGUUGACGUUUGAGACUUAUUAUUAUUUGCUCGCUAGUUGAUUAUGCCAUUGAUAUGAGUUUACCGUGAGACCUAGAUGUCAUUUGCUUAUGUGGUUUGAUUGUGAUCUUGCUGAAAUUCUGGUUGUGAGUUAGACAUACUUGCAGCAACAAGAUCAAACAGAGUUCGUCAAAGUUUUACUUUUGUCUCUCUCAGUUUGUCAACUGAGUUGCUUGAGGACAAGCAAGGUUUUAAGCUUCGGGGAGUUGAUACGUCUCCGUCGUAUCUACUUUUCCGAACUCUUUUGCCCUUGUUUUGGACUCUAAUUUGCAUGAUUUGAAUGGAACUAACACGGACUGACGCUGUUUUCAGCAGAAUUGCCAUGGUGUUGUUUUUGUGCACAAAUAAAAGUUCUCGGAAUGUCCUGAAAAUUUACGGAGAUUUUUUAUGGAACAAAAGAAAAAUACCUGCACAAAGAUCCACCGGAGGGGUCGUGCCAGUGGGCCACAAGCCCACAGGCCGCGGCCACCCCCUAUGGCCGCGUUGUGAGGGCUUGUGGGGCCCACGUGGCACCACCGCCCCCAAACUCAGCUCUAUAUCUUCCCUUUCGCCUGAAAAAAAUCAUAGAGAAGGUUUCAUCAUGUUUUGCGAUACGGAGGCGCCGCCACAUCCUGUUCUUCAUCUGGAGGGCAGAUCUGGAGUCCGUUUCGGGCUCCGGAGAGGGGAAAUCUUCGCCAUCGUCAUCAUCAACCUUUCUCCAUCGACAAUUCCAUGAUGUUCUUCAUCGUUAGUGAGUAAUCUCAUCGUAGGCUUGCUAGACUGUGAUGAGUUGGAUGAGAUCUAUCAUGUAAUCGAGUUAGUUCUUGACGGGGAUUGAUCCCUAGUAUCCACUAUGUUCUAGAUUGAUGUUGCUACUACUUGGAUAUGUUUAAUGCUUGUCACUAGGGCCCGAGUGCCAUGAUUUCAGAUCUGUACCUAUUAUGUUGUCGCCAAUAUAUGUGUGUUUUAGAUCUUAUCUUACAAGUUGUAGUCACCUACUAUGUGUUAUGACCCGGCAACCCCUGAGUGACAAUAGCCGGAACCACUCCCGGAGAUGACCAUAGUAUGAGGAGUUCAUGUAUUCACCACGUCUUAAUGCGUUGGUCCGGUUCUUUAUUAAAAGGAGAACCUUAAUAUCCCGUAGUUUCCAUUAGGACCCCGCUGCCACAGGAGGGAUGGACAAUAGAUGUCAUGCAAGUUCUUUUCCCUAAGCACGUAUGACUACAUACGGAAUACAUGCCUACAUUAGAUGGACGAACGGGAGCUAGUUACAUAUCUCUCUGUGUUAUAGCUGUUACAUGAUGAAUCACAUCCAUCAUACUCAUCCAUCACAGAUCCACUGCCUACGAGUCUUUUACUACUGGUUCUCGCUAUGUUACUUUGUCUAGGUUUGUCCCUUGCUACAAAAGGGAUUGGGCCACUUUGCUGCUACUGUUUCUAUUGUUGUUACUUUGCUGCUGGGCUGCUACUGCUGUUCCUUGCUACUCCGCUGUUACUUGUUGCAAGACUUUGUUGGAGCCGUAUCCGGGGAAGCAUUCUUCUCAAGAAUAAUCCCCCGUCAAUGUGUUGGCGCCAUUGAUACAAUAGUUAGGAAUAGUCUGCCGUCAACAGUUCUGUUUCUGACACCGUUGCUAUCAUACUACCUUGCUACUGAUACUUUGCUUGCAGACACUAAUCUUUCAGGUGUGGUUGAAUCUGAAACAUUCAGCUGCUAAUACUUGAGAAUAUUCUUUCGCUUCCCGUCUUGGCGAAUCUACAAAUUUGGGUCGAAUACUCUACCCUCGAAAACUGCUGCGAUCCCAUACGCUUGUGGGACAUCAAAGCUUCCAAAGGAUAACGAAUUGCCCGGCAGUACGUACGAAGCGAAGAAGGUUCUAUGGCCUCUAGGAUUGGAGGUGUAGAAGUUACAUGCAUGCCCUAAUGACUGCAUCCUCUACCGUGGUGCGUACGAGGAUUUGAACGCAUGCCCGGUAUGCGGUGCAUUGCGGUAUAAGAUCAGAAGAGAUGACCCUGGUGAUGUUGAGGGCCAGCGCACCAGGAAGAUGGUUCCUGCCAAGGUGAUGUGGUAUGCUCCUAUAAUACCACGGUUGAAACGUCUGUUCAGAAACAAAAAAGCAUGUCGAGUUGAUGCAAUGGCACAUAAAAGACUGUAAGAAAGACGUGAAGUUGAGAGCACCCGCUGACGGGUCGCGGUCGAGAAAGAUCAAGAGAAAGUGGAGCGACUUUACACGUGACCCAAGGAACGUAUGGUUUGGUUUAAAUGCAGAUGGCGUUAAUCCUUUUGGGGAGCAAAGCAGCAAGCAUAUGACAUGGCAUGUGACUCUAUGUAUGUAUAACCUUACUCCUUGGUUGUGCAUGAAGCAGAAGUUCAUUAUGAUGCCACUGCUCAUCCAAGGCCCUAGGCAACCCGGCAAUGACAUUGAUGUGUACCUAAGGCCAUUAGUUGAUGAACUUUUACAGCUAGGGAAUGGAAAUGGUGUACGUGUGUGGGAUGAGAACGAACAGGAGGAAUUUGACCUACAUGUGUUGCUGUUUGUAACCAUCAACGAUUGGCCUGCUCUCGGUAACCUUUCAGGAAAGACAAACAAGGGAUACAAUGCCUGCACACAUUGUUUAGAUGACACCGACAAUAUAUAUUUGGACAAAUGCAGGAAGAAUGUGUACAUGGGGCAUCGCCGAUUUCUUCCGACAAACCAUCAAUGUUGAAAGAAAGGAAAGCAUUUCAAAGGUGAGGCAGAUCACCGGAAGAAGCCCGCCCUCCGUACUAGUGAUCAGAUACUUGGUAUGGUCAGUGAUUUACAAGUAAUCUUUGGAAAGCGUCCUGGCAGACUAUCUGUUCUGAAUGACGAUGCGGGACACGCACCCAUGUGGAAGAAGAAUCUAUAUUUUGGGACCUACCCUAUUGGAAACACCUAGAGGUCCGCUCUGCAAUCUACGUGAUGCAUGUGAUGAAGAAUCUUUGCGUGAACCUGCUCGGCUUCUUGGGAGUGUAUGGGAAGACAAAAUAUACACCGGAGGUACGGGAGGAAUAUCAACGUGUGCAUGAAAAAGACGACAUGCAUCCAGAGUAGUAUGAAGGUCCUGCCACCUACGCUCUUACCAAAGAAGAGAAGGAAAUCUUCUUUGAAUGCCUGCUCAGUAUGAAGGUCCUGUCUGGCUUCUCAUCGAAUAUAAAUGGAAUAAUAAAUAUGGUAGAUAAAAAGUUCCAAAACCUAAAGGCUGAUGACUACCACGUGAUUAUGACCCUACUGCUUCCGGUUGCAUUGAGGGGGCUUCUACCGGAAAAUGUUUGAUUAGCCAUUGUGAAGUUAUGUGCAUUCCUCAAUGCAAUCUCUCAUAAGGUGAUUGAUCCAGCAAUCCUGCCAAGGUUAAGGAGUGAUUUGGUGCAAUGUCUUGUUAGUUUCGAGCUGGUGUUCCCACCAUCCUUCUUCAAUAUCAUGACGUGCGUCCUAGUUCAUGUGGUCGACGAGAUUGUCGUUCUGGGCCCUCUAUUUCUACACAAUAGGUUCGUGGGAGUCUUAAAGAAAUAUGUUCGUAACCGCGCUAAGCCAGAAGGAAGCAUCUCCAUGGGCCAUCAAAUAGAGGAUGUCAUCGUAUUUUGUGUUGACUUCAUUCCUAACCUUAAGAAGAUUGGUCUCCCUCAAUCGCGGUAUGAGGGGAGACUGAUUGGAAAAGGCACAGUAGGAGCAGAGUCAAUAAUGUGUACGGACGGGCAUUCUUGGUCUCAAGCACACUACACAGUUCUAUAGAAUUAUACCUUGCUGACCACGUAUGUCGAUGAACACAACAAUAUUCUGAGCUCCAUACACCCGGAGCAGUGUGACGACUUGAUUACAUUUGAACACAUUAGGACUUUCAGCAGUUGGUUGCAAAAACAUCUCAUGUGUGACAACAUUGUUUCUGAUGAGUUGUACUCGUUGGCCAGGGGACCAUCUUCGACUGUAUUGACUUACCAACGGUACAAGAUAAAUGGGAAUAUAUUUUACACGAUCACCCAAGAUCAGAAGAGCACCAACCAAAACUACAAUGUCCGCUUUGACACAUCAACCGAGAGGGGAAAGGACACAUAUUAUGGUUACAUAGUGGACAUAUGGGAACUUGACUAUGGACUUGAUUUGAAGGUCCCUUUGUUUCAUUGCAAAUGGGUCAAUCUGUCAGGAGGCGGGGUACAGAUAGACCCACAGUACGGAAUGACAACAGUGGAUCUGAACAAUCUUGCGCACGCGGAGGAACCGUUCGUCCUAGCCAAUGAUGUGGUGCAGGUUUUCUAUAUAAAGGACAUGUCUACCCAACCGAGAAAAAGAAAAUAUAAGGAAGCGAAUACAUCAUACGAUGAGCCAAAGCUCCACAUAGUUCCUCCAGGAAAAAGAGACAUCGUAGGAUUGGAGGGCAAGACAGACAUGUCUAAAGAUUAUGAAAAGUUUCAUGAAAUUCCUCCCUUCAAAGUCAAGGCUGACCCAAGCACCCUGUUCAACGAUGAAGAUUAUCCAUGGUGAUGGUGCAAUAAUCAAGGAACACAAGCGAAGAAAAAGUGAAGAAAUGAAAUGCCCUUUGUAACAGAUGAGUUUUCGUAUGAAAUCCUCAUACUUCGAAAGAGAUUGUCCGUUUUGUACAUGAAGUGCAUCCAGUUUUUGCCGCAACCCUCUCAACUUUUCAGCACAUGUUAUGUGGGUGAAAUGAUGAUACCAUGCCAACUUUCAACCUUUUCAGAGUUCAUUUGUAGUGCUUUUCAAUUUAAGGGUCAUUUUCAGCUCAGUGCGGAGCUAUUGUCAGGGACAACAUCCCGAUCAGCAUCAAGCAAUGGAAUAAGCCUAAGGGCGACAACGUCCCUGAAGGUGAUUAUGUCACCGAUAGGCUGAAAGAUGAUCUUUGGACCGUGUUGAAGGAAAGUUUCACCCUACCGCCAGAGGAGGAUCCGAAUAAGCCAGUUAUAGAGCCACUGGUUAAGGCGUAUGCUCUUACGAAGAUAGAAGAACUAUUCAGGAGGUUUAAGAAAGAGUUGAAAUCAAAGUAUGUCGACCAAGGGAAGACUCCAGAAUUCGUCGGACGAUUUGAGAAGAUUAGAGAUCACUGGCCCGCAUUUGUGGCCUACAAGUCAUCGGACAAGAGUAAGGAAAUGUCAGAGAGAAACAAGAAUGAUGUUGCAAAGAAGAAGUAUCACCAUCACACGGGGUCAGGUGGCUACCUCAAAGGCCGUCCGUUGCGGGACAAAGCUGAGAAUGACCUGAUUGCUAAAGCGGUCCAACCACAGACAUUGAACUGGCCCGACCGUUCCAGGAAUUGGUUCUUCCGAGUUGGGGGAACUUUGGACCCUGAAACAGGGGAGUGUCGUUGGACGGACGAGCAACUUGCAACACCCAUCAACAAGCUUCAGCAGUGUAUCACUUCAGCGCAGGAAGGGGCGUUCUUUCCCGAAAGAGAGAAGGGCGAGCUGACUGAGGCCCUAGGGAAUGUUGAGCACCCUGGACGAACACGAGGCACACCAGGCUCCGUUCCGUGGAAGGUUGGGUUCCCAACGCAAACGGUUACAGAAGUCGAGCGAGAAAGAGGAAAGCGGAGCUGAGCGACAUGAAGAAGAUCAAUGCAAGAAUACAAAUUCUAGAGGAACUUCAAAGCCAGCGAGAUGUCGACCAACCUUCUCAGGGGCACAAAACUACCCCAGAAUUUACCCCGCCAUCUCAGCGGAGAAGCAGUGUGGCUUCCAAGGAGCUCGUUCAGCCUCACUUCACGACUUCUAGCUACCCCGUGGAUACUAUCACGGAGUCUCAACCUUGCGAGCUUUUGACGAAAUGUCGGAACCUCUCUUUCAAGGCUACUAUCGGCGUUGUUGCACCUCCUCAAUCCAACGAAACUUUUCACUGCCGUCUGAUUCCACGUGCUUAUGCUCUUGUGAUGGUGGAUGAAGUAAAGAAGGAUUUUGAGCAGCUCGAGCUUGACCACCCUACAGGUGAAGAUGAGAAUAAGUUGGUUCAUGCUUUGAGGAGUACAUGUAUAUGGCCGAAGGAGUACAUCAAUCUUCCAAACUGGACGCCUCCUCCUCCUCCAGCGAGUGAUCAGGGCACUCCUCAUCCUCCUCCGGCGACUAAUCAGGGCACUCCUCAUCCUCCUCCGAUGAAUGAUCCUCUCCCUAUAGNNNNNNNNNNNNNNNNNNNNNNNNNNNNNNNNNNNNNNNNNNNNNNNNNNNNNNNNNNNNNNNNNNNNNNNNNNNNNNNNNNNNNNNNNNNNNNNNNNNNCGCACGAAGACCUAUCAUGGUGAUGUCCAUCUACGAGAGGGGAUGAGUGAUCUACGUACCCUUGUAGACCGUACAGCAGAAGCGUUAGAGAACGCGGUUGAUGUAGUGGAACGUCCUCACGUCCCUCGAUCCGCCCCGCGAACAAUCCCGCGAUCAGUCCCACGAUCUAGUACCGAACGGACGGCACCUCCGCGUUCAGCACACGUACAACUCGACGAUGAUCUCGGCCUUCUUGAUCCAGCAAGAGAGACGGAGAGGUAGAAGAGUUCUCCGGCAGCGUGACGGCGCUCCGGAGGUUGGUGAUGACCUUGUCUCAGCAGGGCUCCGCCCGAGCUCCGCAGAAACACGAUCUAGAGGAAAAACCGUGGAGGUAUGUGGUCGGGCUGCCGUGGGAAAGUCGCAUCAAAUCCGCCCUAAAACCUACGUAUAUAUAGGUGGGAGGGAGGGGGCCUUGCCUUGGGGUCCAAGGACCCUCAAGGGGGUCGGCCGAGCCAAGGGGGAGGACUCUCCCCCCCCAAACCGAGUUGGACUAGGUUUGGUGGGAGGGAGUCCUCCUCCCUUCCCACCUCCUCCUUUUUUUUCUUUUCCUCUUGAUUUUUCUUCUCUUGGCGCAUAGACCACUUGUGGGCUGUCCCACCAGCCCACUAAGGGNNNNNNNNNNNNNNNNNNNNNNNNNNNNNNNNNNNNNNNNNNNNNNNNNNNNNNNNNNNNNNNNNNNNNNNNNNNNNNNNNNNNNNNNNNNNNNNNNNNNCCACAACAUAAGCCCCCUGUUUGCCUGGCUCCCUUUUAACCCCCCAGUUGUGCUAACGAUGUUGCUAAUGGCCCCCUUUGAGUUGAUUAUUUCUACGUUAAGCAAAUAAUAGCACAGACUAGUCUAAUUAUUUUCUGAAAUGACAAAACUGCCCACCCUCAUCUAGUAUAAGUCACAUGAGCUGGGCAGAAGCUACUCCCGUUCUCUGCUCGUUCCCCUCCCUCACCUAGCCGCCCCAAGCGCUGGGGCGCCUCACCUCCGCCGCAUCUGCCCUAGCCGCCCCAUCUCCAUUGAUGCUCCAAGGUAAGGCAAGCCUCUUCCCUUCCCUAGCCGCCCCAUUGCUGCUACACCAACAAAGUCUCCAGCAAAAGGAAAGAAGAAGAAGAUGACUCCAAAGAAGAAGAAAUUAAGUGAACUGUGAACUCGUUUGUGCUGCAUGAACUACUUUUGCUGCUGCUACACCAACAAAGUCUCCAGCAAAAGGAAAGAAGAAGAAGAUGACUCCAAAGAAAAAGAAAUUAAGUGAACUGUGAACUAGUUUUGUCUAUUGAUGUACCCAUUUGUUAUUUAUCCAUUGAAAAAUCUGUUAAACAUUGCAAAGGGGGGCAUCAGCUACAGCAUGGUGAAAACUGGGGGGUUAAAAGGGAGCCACGCAAACAGGGGGCCUUAUGUUGUGGNNNNNNNNNNNNNNNNNNNNNNNNNNNNNNNNNNNNNNNNNNNNNNNNNNNNNNNNNNNNNNNNNNNNNNNNNNNNNNNNNNNNNNNNNNNNNNNNNNNNACCUUCGGAGAUACCUGUAGAGCAUCUUUAUAGUCACCCAGUUACGUUGCGACGUUUGAUACACACAAAGCAUUCCUCCGGUGUCAGUGAGUUAUAUGAUCUCAUGGUCAUAGGAAUAAAUACUUGACACGCAGAAAACAGUAGCAACAAAAUGACACGAUCAACAUGCUACGUCUAUUAGUUUGGGUCUAGUCCAUCACGUGAUUCUCCCAAUGACGUGAUCCAGUUAUCAAGCAACAACACCUUGUUCAUAAUCAGAAGACACUGACUAUCAUCGAUCAACUGGCUAGCCAACUAGAGGCAUGCUAGGGACGGUGUUUUGUCUAUGUAUCCACACAUGUAAAUGAGUCUUCAUUCAAUACAAUUAUAGCAUGGAUAAUAAACUAUUAUCUUGAUACAGGAAUUAUAAUAAUAACUAUAUAUUUAUUAUUGCCUCUAGGGCAUAAUUCCAACAGUCUCCCACUUGCACUAGAGUCAAUAAUCUAGCCCUCACAUCACCAUGUGAAUUACAUUGUAAUAAAUCUAACACCCAUACAGUUCUGGUGUCGAUCAUGUUUUGGCCGUGGAAGAGGUUUAGUCAGCGGGUCUGCUACAUUCAGAUCCGUGUGCACUUUGCAUAUAUUUACGUCCUCUUCCUCGACGUAGUCGCGGAUGAGGUUGAAGCGUCGUUUGAUGUGUCUGGUCUUCUUGUGAAACCGUGGUUCCUUUGCUAAGGCAAUGGCACCCGUGUUGUCACAGAACAAGGUUAUUGGAUCCAGUGCACUUGGCACCACUCUAAGAUCCGUCAUGAACUGCUUCAUCCAGACACCCUCCUUAGCCGCCUCCGAGGCAGCCAUGUACUCUGCUUCACAUGUAGAAUCUGCUACGACGCUUUGCUUGGAACUGCACCAGCUUACUGCACCCCCAUUAAGAAUAAAUACGUAUCCGGUCUGCGACUUAGAGUCGUCCGGAUCUGUGUCAAAGCUUGCAUCGACGUAACCUUUUACGGCGAGCUCUUCGUCACCUCCAUACACGAGAAACAUCUCCUUAGUCCUUUUCAGGUACUUCAGGAUAUUCUUGACCGCUGUCCAGUGAUCCACUCCUGGAUUUACUCUGGAACCUACCUGCCAUACUUAUGGCCAGGCUAACAUCCGGUCUAGUGCACAGCAUCGCAUACAUGAUAGAACCUAUGGCUGAAGCAUAGGGGACGGAGCGCAUAUGCUCUCUAUCUUCAUCAGUUGUUGGGCACUGAGUCUUACUCAAUCUCGUACCUUGUAAAACUGGCAAGAACCCUUUCUUGGACUAUUCCAUUUUGAACCUCUUCAAAACUUUAUCAAGGUAUGUGCUUUGUGAAAGUCCUAUCAGGCGUUUUGAUCUAUCCCUAUAGAUCUUAAUGCCUAGAAUGUAAGCAGCUUCUCCUAGGUCCUUCAUAGAGAAACUUUUAUUCAAGUAACCUAUUAUGCUCUCCAAAAGCUCUACGUUGUUUCCAAUCAGUAAUAUGUCAUCCACAUAUAAUAUUAGAAACGCCACAGAGCUCCCACUCACUUUCUUGUAAAUACAUGAUUCUCCAACCACUUGUAUAAACCCAAAUGCUUUGAUCACCUCAUCAAAGCGUUUGUUCCAACUCCGAGAUGCUUGCACCAGUCCAUAAAUGGAUCGCUGGAGCUUGCACACCUUGUCAGCCCUUUUAGGAUCGACAAAACCUUCGGGUUGCAUCAUAUACAACUCUUCCUUAAGGAAACCGUUAAGGAACGCUGUUUUGACAUCCAUCUGCCAGAUUUCAUAAUCGAAAAAUGCAGCUAUUGCUAACAUGAUUCUGACGGACUUAAGCAUCGCUACGGGUGAGAAAGUCUCAUCGUAGUCAACUCCUGGAACUUGUGCAAAACCCUUUGCCACAAGUCGAGCUUUAUAAACGGUCACAUUACCGUCAGCGUCCGUCUUCUUCUUAAAGAUCCAUUUGUUCUGAAUAGCCUUGCGGCCCUCAGGUAGUAUCUCCAAAGUCCACACUUUGUUCUCAUACAUGGAUCCUAUCUCGGAUUUCAUGGCUUCUAGCCAUUUGUUGGAAUCUGGGCCCACCAUUGCUUCUUCAUAAUUUGCAGGUUCAUUGUUGUCUAACAACAUGAUUGAUAAGACGGGAUUACCGUACCACUCUGGAGCAGCGCGUGAUCUCGUCGACCUGCGUGGUUCAACAGAAACUUGAACUGGAGUUUCAUGAUCAUCAUCAUUAACUUCCUCCUCAACCGGCGUCGCAACGACAGAGGUUUCCCCUUGCCCUGCGCCACCAUCCAAAGGGAUGAGAGGUUCGACAACCUCGUCAAGUUCUAUCUUCCUCCCACUCAAUUCUCUCGAGAGAAACUCCUUCUCGAGAAAAGCUCCGUUUCUAGCAACAAACACUUUGCCCUCGGAUUUGAGAUAGAAGGUGUACCCAACUGUCUCUUUUGGGUAACCUAUGAAGACGCACUUUUCCGCUUUGGGUUCCAGCUUUUCAGGCUGAAGCUUUUUGACAUAAGCAUCACAUCCCCAAACUUUUUAAGAAACAACAACUUUGGCCUUUUGCCAUACCACAGUUCGUAUGGUGUCGUCUCAAUGGAUUUUGAUGGUGCCCUAUUUAAAGUGAAUGCAGCUGUUUCUAAUGCAUAACCCCAAAAUGAUAACGACAAAUCAGUAAGAGACAUCAUAGAUCGCACCAUCUCUAACAAAGUACGAUUACGACGUUCGGACACACCAUUACGCUGUGGUGUUCCAGGCGGUGUUAACUGCGAAACAAUUCCACAUUGUCUUAAGUGAGCACCAAACUCGAAACUCAGAUAUUCACCCCCACGAUCAGACCGUAGGAACUUGAUCUUCUUGUUACGAUGAUUUUCCACUUCACUCUGAAAUUGCUUGAACUUUUCAAAUGUUUCAGACUUGUGCUUCAUCAAGUAGACAUAACCAUAUCUACUUAAAUCGUCAGUGAAGGUGAGAAAAUAACGAUAUCCGCCGCGUGCCUCUACGCUCAUUGGACCACACACAUCGGUAUGUAUGAUUUCCAACAAGUCACUUGCACGCACCAUUGUUCCGGAGAACGGAGUCUUAGUCAUCUUGCCCAUGAGGCAUGGUUCGCACGUGUCAAGUGAAUCAAAGUCAAGUGACUCCAAAAGUCCAUCAACAUGGAGUUUCUUCAUGCGCUUUACACCAAUAUGACCCAAGCGGCAGUGCCACAAAAAUAUGGCGCUAUCAUUGUUUACUCUAACUCUUUUGGUCUCAAUGUUAUGUAUAUGCGUAUCGCUAUCAAGAUUCAAUAUGAACAAUCCUCUCACAUUCGGUGCAUGACCAUAAAAGAUGUUACUCAUAGAAAUAGAACAACCAUUAUUCUCAGACUUAAAAGAGUAACCGUCUCGCAAUAAACAAGAUCCAGAGAUAAUGUUCAUGCUCAACGCAGGCACUAAAUAACAAUGAUUUAAGUUCAUCACUAAUCCCGAUGGUAGCUGAAGUGACACUGUGCCGACGGCGAUUGCAUCAACCUUGGAACCAUUUCCUACACGCAUCGUCACUUCGUCUUUCGCGAGCCUUCGUCUAUUCCGCAGUUCCUGUUUCGAGUUGCAAAUGUGAGCAACAGAACCGGUAUCGAAUACCCAGGCACUACUACGAGAGCCGGUUAAGUACACAUCAAUAACAUGUAUAUCAAAUAUACCUGAUUUUUCUUUGCCCGCCUUCUUAUCUGCCAGAUACUUGGGGCAAUUGCGCUUCCAGUGACCCAUACCCUUGCAAUAGAAGCACUCUGUUUCAGGCUUAGGUCCAGCCUUGGGUUUCUUCGGUGGAUUGGCAACAGGCUUGCCACUCUUCUUCGAAUUGCCCUUCUUGCCUUUGCCGUUUCUCUUGAAACUAGCGGUCUUGCUCACCAUCAACACUUGAUGUUCUUUACGGAGUUCAGACUCUGCGACUUUCAGCAUUGCAAACAACUCGCCGGGAGACUUGUUCAUCCCUUGCAUGUUGUAGUUCAACACAAAGCCUUUAUAGCUUGGCGGCAGUGAUUGAAGGAUUCUGUCAGUGAUAGCUUCUUGCGGGAGUUCAAUCCCCAGCUCAGCUAGAUGGUUUGAGUACCCAGACAUUUUGAGCACAUGUUCACUGACAGACGAGUUUUCAUCCAUCUUGCAAGCAUAGAAUUUAUCGGAGGUCUCAUACCUCUCGAUCCGGGCGUUCUUCUGAAAGAUAAACUCCAACUCCUGGAACAUCUCAAAUGCUCCAUGACGCUCAAAGCGACGUUGAAGUCCCGGUUCUAAGCCAUACAAGACUGCACAUUGAACUAUUGAGUAGUCCUCCUUACGUGCUAACCAAGCGUUCUUAACAUCCUGAUCAGCCGUAGCGGGUGGUUCAUCUCCUAGCGCAGCAUUAAGGACAUAAUCCUUCUUCCCAGCUUGUAAGAUCAGCUUAAGAUUACGAGCCCAGUCUACAAAGUUGCUUCCAUCAUCUUUCAACUUAGCUUUCUCUAGGAACGUAUUAAAAUUCAGGAUGACUGUCGCGUGAGCCAUGAUCUACAACACAAAUAUAUUCAAAGUGGACUUAGACUAUGUUCAAGAUAAUUAGAGUUCAACUUAAUCAAAUUAUAUGCUAAACUCCCACUCAAAAAGUACAUCUCUCUAGUCAUUUGAGUGGUUCAUGAUCCACUUACACUAUCCCAAGUCCGAUCAUCACGUGAGUUGAGUAUAGUUUCAGUGGUAAGCAUCCCUAUGCUAAUCAUAUCAACUAUAUGAUUCAUGAUCGACCUUUCGGUCUCACGUGUUCCGAGGCCAUGUCUGCACAUGCUAGGCGUGUCAAGCUUAACCCGAGUGUUCCGCAUGCGCAACUGUUUUGCACCCGUUGUAUGUGAACGUUGAGUCUAUCACACCCGAUCAUCACGUGGUGUCUCGAAACGACGAACUGUAGCAACGGUGCACAGUCGGGGAGAACACAAUUUCGUCUUGAAAUUUUAGUGAGAGAUCACCUCAUAAUGCUACCGUCGUUCUAAGCAAAAUAAGGUGCAUAAAAGGAUUAACAUCACAUGCAAUUCAUAAGUGACAUGAUAUGGCCAUCAUCACGUGCUUCUUGAUCUCCAUCACCAAAGCACCGGCACGAUCUUCUUGUCACCGGCGCCACACCAUGAUCAUCCAUCAACGUGUUGCCAUCGGGGUUGUCGUGCUACUUAUGCUAUUACUACUAAAGCUACAUCCUAGCAAAAUAGUAAACGCAUCUGCAAGCACAAACGUUAGUAUAAAGACAACCCUAUGGCUCCUGCCGGUUGCCGUACCAUCGACGUGCAAGUCGAUAUUUCUAUUACAACAUGAUCAUCUCAUACAUCCAAUAUAUCACAUCACAUCGUUGGCCAUAUCACAUCACAAUCAUACCCUGCAAAAACAAGUUAGACGUCCUCUAAUUUUGUUGUUGCAUGUUUUACGUGGUGGACAAGGGUAUCUAGUAGGAUCGCAUCUUACUUACGCAAACACCACAACGGAGAUAUAUGAGUUGCUAUUUAACCUCAUCCAAGGACCUCCUCGGUCAAAUCCGAUUCAACUAAAGUUGGAGAAACCGUCACUUGCCAGUCAUCUUUGAGCAAAGGGGGUUACUCGUAACGAUGAAACCAGUCUCUCGUAAGCGUACGAGUAAUGUCGGUCCAAGCCGCUUCAAUCCAACAAUACCGCGGAAUCAAGAAAAGACUAAGGAGGGCAGCAAAACGCACAUCACCGCCCACAAAAACUUUUGUGUUCUACUCGAGAAGACAUCUAGGCAUGAACCUAGCUCAUGAUGCCACUGUAGGGGAACGUCGCAUGGGAAACAAAAAUUUUCCUACGCGCACGAAGACCUAUCAUGGUGAUGUCCAUCUACGAGAGGGGAUGAGUGAUCUACGUACCCUUGUAGACCGUACAGCAGAAGCGUUAGAGAACGCGGUUGAUGUAGUGGAACGUCCUCACGUCCCUCGAUCCGCCCCGCGAACAAUCCCGCGAUCAGUCCCACGAUCUAGUACCGAACGGACGGCACCUCCGCGUUCAGCACACGUACAACUCGACGAUGAUCUCGGCCUUCUUGAUCCAGCAAGAGAGACGGAGAGGUAGAAGAGUUCUCCGGCAGCGUGACGGCGCUCCGGAGGUUGGUGAUGACCUUGUCUCAGCAGGGCUCCGCCCGAGCUCCGCAGAAACACGAUCUAGAGGAAAAACCGUGGAGGUAUGUGGUCGGGCUGCCGUGGGAAAGUCGNNNNNNNNNNNNNNNNNNNNNNNNNNNNNNNNNNNNNNNNNNNNNNNNNNNNNNNNNNNNNNNNNNNNNNNNNNNNNNNNNNNNNNNNNNNNNNNNNNNNCGGAAGGUUUUCGGAGUUACCGGGAAUGUACCGGGAAUGACGAAUGGGUUCCGGGAGUUCACCGGGGGGGCAACCCACCCCGGGGAAGCCCAUAGGCCUUGGGGGAGACACACCAUCCCUUAGUGGGCUGGUGGGACAGCCCACAAGUGGUCUAUGCGCCAAGAGAAGAAAAAUCAAGAGGAAAAGAAAAAAAAGGAGGAGGUGGGAAGGGAGGAGGACUCCCUCCCACCAAACCUAGUCCAACUCGGUUUGGGGGGGGAGAGUCCUCCCCCUUGGCUCGGCCGACCCCCUUGAGGGUCCUUGGACCCCAAGGCAAGGCCCCCUCCCUCCCACCUAUAUAUACGGAGGUUUUAGGGCUGAUUUGAGACGACUUUCCCACGGCAGCCCGACCACAUACCUCCACGGUUUUUCCUCUAGAUCGUGUUUCUGCGGAGCUCGGGCGGAGCCCUGCUGAGACAAGGUCANAGGUUUUAGGGCCGAUUUGAACCGACUUUCCCACGGCAGCCCGACCACAUACCUCCACGGUUUUUCCUCUAGAUCGUGUUUCUGCGGAGCUCGGGCGGAGCCCUGCUGAGACAAGGUCAUCACCAACCUCCGGAGUGCCGUCACGCUGCCGGAGAACUCUUCUACCUCUCCGUCUCUCUUGCUGGAUCAAGAAGGCCGAGAUCAUCGUCGAGCUGUACGUGUGCUGAACGCGGAGGUGCCGUCCGUUCGGUACUAGAUCGUGGGACUGAUCGCGGGAUUGUUCGCGGGGCGGAUCGAGGGACGUGAGGACGUUCCACUACAUCAACCGCGUUCUCUAACGCUUCUGCUGUACGGUCUACAAGGGUACGUAGAUCACUCAUCCCCUCUCGUAGAUGGACAUCACCAUGAUAGGUCUUCGUGCGCGUAGGAAAAUUUUUGUUUCCCAUGCGACGUUCCCCUACAAACUGAUGAACGGCCCAUUGAUCCUUCUUGUCCAUGUAUGGUAUGGCUUCAGCACCACUAGGAACAAAGUGGUAAACCGAUUGAUAUAAUUACAAUCUUUGGAGUUUUGUAUAAAAUACUAACAUGGUGUUCUUCUUGUUCAGGUCUGCAAAAACUGUACACGUGCAUACUUGCAUUGUCUUGUCACGAAAGAUCAUAGGGGCUCUCAACUGUUGUCAUAUCACAAUUUAUCGUUUAUGAUGCGGGUACCCUGUCAAUAUUUUUUCCGAUUAGUUCAUUUUGAGCACCGUCAGCUAUUGUUUGAUCACUCUGAUUUCUGUUUCAGUUAAGUAGAGAUCUCCACAUGUCGAUUCUUGAAGGACGAUUUCCAGAGUAUGUUGUCUCAUUCGACAUAAAUCUGCCUGAUUUGUCACUGAAAUAGUGUGUUGGUAAAUAACGAAAUUCUGUAACAUGUUGCAGAUUCAUGAGAGGAUUCUUGAGGGUGCAGGUUUGUCUUGUUCUCCAAUCUCUACUCUAUGAUAUAUGCUUGAACCAAAAAUAGCUGAGCAACAAACUACCCCCUUGUUUCAUCUGCUACCCAAUCAUCUACAAAGCCAAAAAUCAUACCAUGUUUUGUUAUUAUGUUUCUUAGUAGUUUGAGUUACCCGUAAACGCUAAAAUCAUGAUGAUGACAGUUCCCGAAGGGCGACGUGCCAAAGUGGGUUCACAAUGCAAUGGAGGUUGCCCGCAUUGACAUAUCGGAGUGCUGCACCCCGACCAACUGUCAGCAUGACGCAAUGGAGUCCGCUGGCGUCGACAUAGCGGAGUUUUGCCCGCCAACCAAGUGCCCGUGACGCGGAACGCUCGGGGGCAUUCAUUACAGAUACCACGGUACCGUUGACUAUAGGAAGGGUUGCCGCGUGGAAGUGAUCGUUCAUACUUAACAUGACGCGUUUUCAUGAGGUUUUGCUUUAGAUUGGGUUUCAGGUAAACAUAAGGUAUAACUGUAGGAGUGAACACAAUAUUCUGCCUGAAUAACUUUUGUGGCAUUCGUCUGCUUUUGUUAUGCAAUGUGCAUUGCUUCUAUUGUGGUCUUAGAAGGGGAGGUGGAUGCUUGAGCUAUAGGUGCUAAAUUUCUUUUGAGAACUGAAAAAGUGAGUGUCUGGUUGUAAAAAUGUUGUUGACAUAAGAAGCUUCAUGACUCAUCUUCAUAGGAUGUUCUAAUCUUCUAGCCAUGUGAUGGUGGUAGUAUAGUGAGUGAUGAUUGGCAUGUAUUGUGUGAGUGCUUGGUUCAAUUUAUUUUGGUUCAGAUACUUAUUAUGUUGAUAUUUGAAGUUUCAGGAGUGCUAAACUUAGCAUCUUGAUUAUUGAGUAUGGUGUUGUUAUUGUCAUAAAUUCUAUCAGUCGGUACCUUUCAUGCUUUUAGUGUAAUUGAGGUGUUGGAUCGAACAUACAAUUCCUUACAUAUGAAUCUAUUUACUAGCACCGCUAUGGGUCUCCUCUUACAUUAUCGGAUCACUUUUGACAUCAUAACUGUAUUUUGUUUUUGUAAUGUGAAGACCGUGAAAAGCAGUCGUUGCCAUUGUAGUAAUGUUACUAUUUGUGCACCGCACUUCUUUUAUUGUAAGAAUUUGUUGAUGAAAUUUCAGGCAUGCAGCUGCCAAUGAAGUGAAGAAAGCAGUCAAGACCUUUGAUGUGAUCCAGAGGUUUAAAGUGGAAGCGGACCAAACUGUAUUUUAUUCCCUUCUUCGUGCUCUUUGCACAAGUAAGAACAUAGAAGAUGCUGAGGAGUUGCUUCUUGCAAGAAGAAAUUUUUUUCCUACUCACAACAGAAGGUUUCAAUAUAAUACUUGAUGGUUGGUGUAACAUAUUCACCGAUCUGGCCGAAGUAAAGAGAAUUUGGAGAGAAAUGUCAAAUUGCUGCAUUACUCCUGAUGGUACAUCUUAUGCUCUCAUGGUCUGUUGUUUCUCUAAGGUAGGGAACCUUUUUGAUACUUUGAGGGUUUACGAUGAGAUGAAGAAGAGGGGUUGGAGUCCUCGUAUUGAUGUCUAUAACUAACUUAUUUAUGUUCUGACAAGAGAGAAUUGCGUGAAGGAUGCAAAAAAUGUUCUCAGUAAAAUGGUAGAUGAAGGUUUCCAACCGGAUGUUGAAACAUACAAUAGUAUUAUAGUUCCACUCUGUGAAAGUUGCAAGCUUGAGGAAGCGCGGAAGAUAAUGGAAGACAUGAAAAUGAAGGGCAUUGUUCCAACCAUUUCGACGUACCAUGCAUUUUUGAAACAGGAAGGCAUUGACGAAACACUCCAGCUACUGAAGAAAAUGAAAGAAGAUGGCUGUGGCCCUAACAGUGACACAUUUCUCAUACUCAUUGAUAAGUUUAUCCAACUGAAUGAGUCUGGAAAUGCUGUGAGGGUGUGGACUUAAAUGCAAAGAUACGACAUUAGGCCUGGUUAUGCACACUACAUGGCAGUGGUCCAAGGUUUGGUUAAACAUGGAUGUAUACCACGAGCUUUGGAGUAUUAUGAUGAAAUGAAGGCAAAUGGUUUUGCUUCUGAUCCGAUACUUGAAAAGGAAUUCAAAAAAAUUCUAUUGGCCAACAGAGACCAUUGGCGAGGAGCAGGCAGAUACAAUCUUAUUCCACAUCGUACCAAACAUUUUACAAGCAUGACAAGAAUUCCGUAACACAUGUGUCACUGUUAAGGGGCUUCUUUGUACGGCAGAAGUAAAUGUGAAAAAAUGUGAUUGUGAGGUAUGUUGACUUACCAAGUUGCACUUGAAUCCUAUAUUAAUGAGCACUGAACAGCUAAAGUUAUUGCUUCCCCUGAAACAAUUUGCCUUUGAGGGCCGUUUCCAUGUCCCAUGUACACGGUGUAGUUUCGACAUUGUUUAUGGACCGAAAAAACCAUUAAGGUGUACAACGAGUGUGCGGUGGAGCUUUGGGUGGGCGUGGAGGGGGCGUUCCACGUGGGGCGGGAGAGCGUGGACGAGUACUGCGGCGGGGCCUGCUUCGCCGAGACAGAGAUGGCGCUGCGGUGCGUGGAGGAGGUCGGUGCCUCGCUGUUCGCCGUGAAGCAGGCGCUCGGCAGCGGCUGCAGCUACACGCCCGAAAGAGGAACCUUCGACAUACGUGAGCACAGGGAGUGCCGCGACGAGUACGGCUACGGCUACCACGGCACGCACGAGCAGCUCGGCUACGGCGAAGAGGGCGGCGACCGGCAGUACGAGUACCCGGGCGGCGCGUUCGACAACUACUGCUCCGGCGGCGGCCCGGUGCGAAUGCUCCUCCUCGCCUCCUUCAUUGCCUCCGCGUCGGCGGCACUGUUUCUUGCCGUCUGAGCGGUAGCGAUUUCACCAUGUACCAUCUGUAACUAUAGAAAGGACGAGUAUUUGUCCAUCAUGUUUGACAUACACUUCUGAAUAACAAUUAUUUGAUCAAUGUAUAUAUAUAUUUUUUCUGUUCCGUGGCAACGCACGGGCACUAAACUAGUAGAGAUAGCUUAGCUAGCUUAAGUUCCCCUCCGUGGUCAGGUGUAUUGACGUAGCAUAGUGGUGUUCCUGUAGCAAUAGAGAUAGUUUAGCUAGCUUAAGUUUCCCUUGGUGGUCAGCUGUACUGAAGUAGCAUAGUGUUGUGGUGUUGUUUGUGUGGUGCGCCAGGUGCAGGGUUCGAUCCCCCACCUACACCUUUUCUUUUAUUUUGGGUGGUUGUGUGUGUGUGAGUGCACGGGAUCCCAUGUGGCCAUGUGUGGGAUGCCAUGUGCCCUGUGUGUGUGCAACUGUGUGUAUGUGUGUUGUGGGGCAUGGCCCACUUGCAUACACACACUAGGGGGGCAGGUGCAAUGACCAGUGGGCCCAUGCCUUCCCCCCCCCCCCGUUUUGAGUUGUUCUCCAUUUUAGGUAUAGUCCAAAUAGGUUAUAGCCAGAUUUGGCCUAUGCCAAAUUAGGCAGUUUUGGCUUACACAUGUUUUGGACCCAUAUUUAUUUCUCUUCUUAUUUGUGGCUGUGAUAUUAUAUUUUGUGGAUUAAUUCUAGAAGUUUAAUUGCCUAAUCUGGUUUAUAGCAGAUAUGGUAGGGCAAGAACAGCUCCUGUUCUUGGCAGAGUUAAUUUUAAUCUUGUGUAGUAUUUCUUUUGCUGUUUGUGGUGUUUUUUUGCAUGCAUAUAUAGCAGUGUGAUAUAUGGAUUUGGGGUAGGAGAACCCAAGGAAUCCAAUGGUGGCACUGGAUUCUAGUUUUGAGAAGUUCUGCAGAAGUGUAACUUUGUGAUGAGGUGGCAUUUGUUUACCUACGUAGGCUGGUUUAAGUGCAUAAUUUAGGGGGUUGAGCAUCCAUGCAUCAUAUUAGUUAGUGCAUCAUGUUGUGCAUGUGAUGUGGUGUAUAUCGUGUGUGAUUCUUGUUUCCGGUUUGCUUCGUCUCGAUAGUGUUCCGCAAGCAUGUCGGAAUGUGAGGAUCCGUUCGACUAAGUCGGUUCGUCUGCUUCACGGAGUCGUUCUUCUUCCAAGCGGGAUCUCAGGCAAGAUGAUCAUUUCCCUAGAUACCAUUACUAUCAUUACCAUGCUAGUUGCAACCUAGCAAACCAUAUAGCAUGGUAAAGCAAGCGGUAACAUAGCUCGGUUGUAGACAUGUUGAAGGUUUUCAUGGCAAUGUUGGGAGGCUGAUAUUUAACACGUGGUAAAAGGUGGAAGGCUCGGCUUUCUAGCCUGGUGUUUUGUUCCACCUUUGCCCCCCUGAGUUUCGGCUACCGGUGUUAUAUUCCAUACUUGAGCGCUCCUAACACGAUCGGGGUUGUUAUGGGGACCCCCUUGAUAAUUCAUUUUAGAUUAAGACUGGUCUGGCAAGGCCCUACUUUGGUACUACAUUUGCCUAAUAGCUAAUGAACCAUAUAGGGAGUAAUUAACCCGAGGAAACUUAAUCAACCCCCAAGCCAGUGCUCCUCAUGAGUGUUGGUCCAGCCCAAAGCACUAUGUGGGGCCAACCCAGGGCAACUUGGCUGAUUUCUAUCAGGCCACCGUACGCGUAGCUUCGUGCCCUCAGAACGAGAUACGCGGAUCCUAUCGGCAUCGUCGACACGUGGGGUGGCCUUGCUAGAUUAGUUUUACCUUUGACGAAAUAUCUUGUGCAUCGGGAUUCCGGUGAUGCUUUGGGUUAGAGUUGAGGUUUUCCACUAAGGAGUUGGACGAGAUCGCGAGUUUCAUGAUCGAGGAUUUCUAUGCGGCUUGUGCUAACUUGUGAUGGACUAUUUGGAGCACCCCUGUCAGGAUUAAAUCUUUCGGAAAGUCGUUCCCGUGGUUAUGUGACAACGUGGAAACUUGGUUUAAGAUCCGGUUCUAGAUAACUUGAAGUAAGCUUAAUUAAAAUAUGACAACCGGGUGCGUAACCGUGACUGUCUCUUUGAGAGCUCCUUCUCCGGUCGAGAACACGGUGGAGUUAUGUUUGACGUAAGUAGGUGUUCGGGAUCAUUCAUUUGAUCAUCAGUAAUUCGCGUCCGCUAUGCAUAGAUCUUCCCCCUCUUUUUCUUGUACUCGUAAUUUAGCCACCAAAAAAAAUGCUUAGUCGCUUGCCGCAGCCUCACCACUUAACCAUACCUCACCCAUUAAGCUUUGCUAGUCUUGAUACCUUUGAAAAUAAGAUUGCUGAGUCCCCUAUGGCUCACAGAUUACUACAACACCAGUUGCAGGUACAUGUAAAGUGGUAUUAAGACGUGAGCGCGAUGAUUGUUCAUUUGGAGUUUUUUCUUUUUCUUCAUCGAUCUAGGAUGGGUUCAAGACUGGCAGCCUGGGAUAGCAGGGAUGGAGGUCGUUCUUUUAUCGUUUGUUUUUGUCUGUAGACGGACCCUACUCUUCUUCAUGGUGAUUGUAUGAAAUGUACUGAUGUCACUCUGAUGUAGCUUGUGGCGAGUGUAAGCCAAUUUCAUAUACUCAUCUUUUCAGUACAUGUACUUGUAACGAUAUUAAUUCUUGCGAAACGACGAGAUGUGUUUAUAUCCCUGUCGAGGCCCUCGCGCCAAAAUAAGGAUAGGAUCGCAUCUUGGGCGUUACAGCUUAACUCCUUUAUAUCAUGACUUGGGUGUGUGCAUAUGUUACAAUGGCGUUCGUUUCUACUGGAUUGUUGAUGAUCGUUGAUUUAUAUAUAAAAUGAGACAAAAGCUUUUUUCAUGAAAAUAGAGAAAACAUUGGCCGACGAGGCCCUGCUCAGAGCCGUUCUUUUCAUGCGUGCGUUGUUUUGCUAUAUAAUGAAGGUGUUUAUCUCUUUUUUGUGGCAUUUCCUUUCCACUACUUAGAUUUUCUCAGCCUCUUACCAAGUUUAUCGAGAUAAUCUUGUAGAGUGUGCAGAGAGGUUGGACCAGCAUAAGCUGGAAUAGGCAGACGGCGCAGUCGAGGCACUCCUCUAUUGAUGCAUCUUUUUGUCUAAGAAAUCUUUAAGUCAAGUUUUCUUCACACCACCAGUUUGUUCAUCCUCCCACCUUUCAUCGAUUUUCCGGUUUUCCACCUCUUUUUGGUUUCAUCAAAUCAAUCUUUGGUAACCUAAGGGCAUCUUAAAGAUGGACCCGCAAAUGUUCCGAAACCAUCCGCACGUACGGUCCGUACUGCAGAAGUCAUCCAAUGAGGUUCUAUAUAUAUCGGUCAGUGGUUUCCCGUAAAUGGAAGACAUGUCUGGUGGAGGUUUGCGGAAGUGUGAACCGCUACUUUGCCCGAUUCUGAGCGCCCUGGCCCACCGAAAACUCCUCCCCCUCCCGCCUGUGCUUCCCGGCUGGUGCUAAUUUCCUGCAUUCAUGCCACUAUAGAAUUGACACUCCCUAUUGAACAGCGGACCCGACCUCUCACUAGCGCCCACAUUGAAGCAGCUCGCCGAUCGAGGGCGCCGUCCGCGAUGCGUCUCUGCUGUCCGCGCCUGUUCAUUGCGGAGACGCGUGACUGGACAAUGCAGGACCAAUGUUUACCAGGCCCGUUUAAUGCCCCGUCCGUCCGUAUGCCGCUAUUAAACAGGCUCAUCGGUCGAGAAACACACUCCGACAUCCCACACUGACACCUGGCCUCACCGGAAUCCCCUAUUUAAGUGCAGCCACACCCAGCUAUCUACAUAGCAUAAUGUAUCCGCUCCACAUCCUCCUUCCUUGCACCACAUCCGCCAUGACUGCAGGCGGCGAAGCUCUAUGGGAAAACCUUUCCCUAGAGAAGAAGCAGGAGGUGGCCACCCAUGCCACCGCUUAGAAGAGCGGUCUUGCCAAGCGGAUCAAGGCCGAUUUCCCGUCCAGCUCGCCCGAGGUCUCCGACUACGAUCAGGACACCACGAUAGAGAAGGGCUUCGAUGACACCGCCCUGACUCUCACGCCUCCUGUGCACUCCGGCUAUACCAUGGUGCAUGCGCACGUGCACUACAAUGCCGCAAUGGUGGAGGGGCAGCCUGUGUCGGAGCAUACGUUUUAAUUAGAGCGGGCACUAGAGCAACACCGCACGAGCGAAGAGGCCCUGGUGGCCAUGGCUGCGAAGAACACGAACUUUGUCGCGGAGCAGCGUGCCAUCUACUAUGCCAUCCGCGCUCAAGUCGCGGCUCACCAGGAAGCGGGCGUCACGGAGGCGCGGUUCUAGACGACCGCGGGAAAAAAUUAUGAGUUGUGCCUCCUACGCGUCGCUGACGAACCAUCACGCGGCACGGUGGGACAACAACAUCCAAGGCACCACCAUUUCCCUCGUAGACCAAAUGUCCAUUGGCGACGGACUAGGCGCGGAGUCCUCCGAUGAUUAGUAGGGAAUGGGAGGCGGCAGAGUCAUGUGUCCCAUGUGGGCCGGUCCGUCUCCCAUGUUCCACUCUUCCUCCCUGGAGACCACACCUUCACUUUAUCGGUCUUAUCACCGGUGCUCAUGGAUACGGCGAAUGGAGGAUGAUAUAGGCUUGGACUCUGGGCGCCACCGACACAGGAUAGGUUUAGGGGUGGGUCUUUUUUUUAUGUUCCUCAUGUAAUGAGAUCAGUCAUGUUUGUAUCAAAUCCAUCAUGUUUGCAUGAAAUUCACCCAUGUUUGCAUGAAAUUCACCCAUGUUUGCACGAAUUUUGUCCGGUUGGUUCGAGUUGUUGUCAAAAUGUUUGCGGCUAGUGUUUGAUGGCGUUCUCCCACUUCUGUGUCCGUGGACAGCCCCCCUCCCCCUGUCCGCGAACAGAUGUGGUAGAAAAUUUGCGGGUUGCUUUUGAAGAUGCCCUAAUAAACCAGAUAAAUCUAUGGUAAAACAACAAAUUUAGUAUCCAUAAAUAAAUAUUUUUAUGGUAAAACCUAUUAGCAGUUAGACAUUUUUGGUAACCCAAUAAAUUAUAAUAAAUUCACAUCCAUAAACAAAUAAAUGUCAAUCAAUCUUUUAUCUUCGAUAACUCAAUAAACAGAUCAAAGACACACACAUAACUAUUUUAUUAGUUUUGAAAUGGUAGCGAAUUUGCACUUUAAAACCAAAAGAUAAUCUUAUUACGUCUAUUUGUUUUGCAUCAUGAUUUUCAUAUGAUCCUCUUAUUGUGUUAAAUAUAUCUCGACCCGUGGCAACGCACGGCCACAUACGUAAUACAAAGAUUAUGUCGUUCGCCUGGUCGAUCGUCCAACAUUUCCCCUUCCCUCUUGUCUUUUAUUAAAUUACACUACAAGAAAUCUGUUAAUACAUAACGGAUUCCGCUUGACGUUUUUUGGCAUGAUAAUAAGUGAUUAACAAAUAAAAUCCUAAAAUCCAUAUAGAUAGGUAAAUCACGGUUAUUAUUUCAUAAACAAUUAUUUAACUAAUUACACUAAUAUGAAAAGUAAUCAUGGGCUAACAUACUAUCGAACAUUUACACCUAUUGCAAAGCCCGAGCAAUUAUCUAGCACUUCAAAAAGUUACUUAAGGUCCUGUCAUCCAUCCUUUUUCUGUCCUCCAUCCGCACCACUCCCCAUCCAAUUUAGGUAUAGUCAAUUUUUGGCAGUGGUAUUCCCUAAAACUAUCUCAACUGGCCCACAUUUUAUUUACUUGCCAAAUAUAAUAAUAUUUUCUUUGGUAAGUCAAUUAAUAUUGAUUCUAUUUCCAUUUUGGUAGGUAAUAUCAUUGUUAACAAUAAAAAUACCAUGUAAAUCACGUACGGUGAUUGCAUAUAAAAUAUCUGUGCUCCGUUCCAAUGCACGUACAAUUAUGUAGUGUGUACUCUUUGCGAUCACACACACAUGGAUCCUAUGGGGUUAGAUAUUCUUAACAAUUGACAAUCAUAUUUCAUCUUAGAUAUUCUUAUUUGUUUGACAAAAAAGACUGGGCAGAUUUUCAUCGCGAUUCGCGAAUGAGUUCAAGCUACUUGGGAUGUUAGAUCCCUAAAACGGAAGAAAACUAUGAUAAAUAGGAUAAGAAUUGGGCACGACACAAUUGCGCAUCAUGCACCAAUCAAAUUAACAUCGACGACGGUGCCUUUCAGUCUGGCUCAAGAUUGAUGAGUGUCUUGCGUUGUCCUCCGGCCUUUAUGUAUGUCGGGAGUACCAUUGUAGGAUGACUUAUCCAAGUAGGCUUUUUUAUUAACUUUGCUGUGGUAGCUCAUGUGGCCACCAUAUGCUUGUGAUGUGCUGAACCUGAUGUUACACUGCUUACAUGUGUAGUCAUCCAAUCUUAGUCGAGCCACUGUUGAGAUGGCAUAUGGUGCAGGAUUCUGUUGAAACAUAACACUUAGGCCAUCCAUCAUCGUUUUCUGCAUGGCUAUUUGCCCGUGGGUAGAUUCUGGGACUGUACAAGGUGUCUGGUUAACAAGUGGUAGGACGCCACAAAGUUGUUCAUAUGAUGAUGGCCCCAGGAUUGUAUAUGGCUUCUGCUCCUGCACAUAGUUGGAUGCGAAAGAAAGUGUAAAAAAUAGUUGGAUGUGAAAGACUAUAGAAAAAAGAAGGCAAUGGUAGUGAGUUUACCCCGUAGACUAGCCAAUCAGGGUACUGCAAGAACGGAGAGAUAUUGAAAACUCCACUAGAGUUAAGGUCGGCAUCCAUGAUGGCAAGCGGACUUCCUUGGAUCUCGGAAUGGGUCUCCAUGGUAUAGAUCUAUAUAUAUUACCAAACAAGGAAAGGAAACGUAUUUAAUUACGCACCAGGGAAUGCAUGCACGAACAUGAUGUUGUGCUACUAUAUAUAACAUCAAAGUGUCUCUCAAAAAAAAUAUAUAACACCAAAGGAUGGACUAACCAUGAGGUUGUCCAUGAAGGGACUAACGAUGAAGUCGUCCAUGAAUGUACUUGCGCUAUCCGGUGGUGCAACAAGAACAGAGCUGGACGAGAGUGUUGGUGGAAGAAGCGCAAGUGCAUUCGUGGAGUCUUCAUCAAAUGGAAACAAGGACUCUCCGGGCUCUGGGUUGAUGGACAUACAAUCCAUAUGUGGAGUUGAAAUUGGCAUUGGGUUUAUCUUCGGGAAUUCUUCCAACGUUGGCAUCACAGUUGUACCUCUAAGCGCUUCAUGCAAUGGGGAAAUGUACGAAAUGUAGUCCUCAUCACUUGUGAAACUUCCUUUAUCCUUGGUCAAAGAACCAUUUGGAUCCAUGGAAGGCUAAUCUAAUAUGAGAAUGAUAAGUUCUAUGUGUGUGUUUCUUGUGUAGAAGAAGCGUCUGCAGGUGGUUUUUGAAGCAGCUUAUGGGGGCUCUUUAUAGCAAUCAGGUUGAAACAGAAACUUAUUUUUCCAUGCGGUCGGAUUAAUUAGCCGUAUCUAUAAUAUAUUAUCGACAUUACAUGCUUACAAUCUAGAAGAUACGAUUCACACACAGGUAAAAGUAUUUCGUUAACGUAAAUCUUUCUGAUUUAUUGUAUUAUUAAAAAAUCAACCGUUACAUAUAAUGUGGAAAGACAAAGUACGCCACCCUUGUACAAUUUGAUAUUGCACGUGCUACGUUCGUUAAACAAUGCAUGUAGUCAUAUUGGGGUGGACCAUCUUUCUCUUCACGUGCUCACGGAUGGCUAUCAAAUCAGGCAAGUAUCUGCAUGCGUUAUUUAUAGUAUUUGGCAAGAUGAUAAAUAGGGACACCGGGCGGUCCAUCAGACUGGUAACUGAAAAUUAGGAAGAUCUCAGCCAUUUAUUUUUUAGCCUUCGGGCUUGCAUCCAAUAGUUGACAUUUGCUUUCUCGAUUUUCAAUUGCCUUCGGCUGGCUGUGGGUUGAUAUUGGGUUGUCGAAUAUGGGCCUUAUCUUUCAACGUGCUUAAGGCCCUGUUUGUUUCAGAAGUUCCGGAACUUUUUUUUAGUCUCAACUAAAAAGUCCCUAGUCCCUAUUCGUUUGUUUUCAUGGACUAAAUAGAGACUAGAGGUCAUUAAAUGACAUGCAUAAAGACCAUGUUACCCACAGUAAUGUAGUAGUAGUUAUUAAAUGACAUAUUAAAAGUAGGGGCACUGUUGGAAAAAGUGUCAAAAAGUCCCAAAAAGACCCUCCCAUAGGGACUUCUUCCUUUAGUCCCAAAUACCCCCUUUUAGUCCCUAAAAGUCCUUCCUGUUUGUUUCACAUGGGACUAAAAAGGACAUUUUUUAGUCCAUACACCAAAAAGUCCCUGGAAACAAGCACCCCCUAAGAGAUUGCCACAUGUCACUGAGUAAGGAUACCACGCUUCUGUAUCAAAUGGUUUUACCUUUGCGGCUGACACAUUUAGCAGCAAGUGAAUCCUGGUUUUACCUGCUUUGGAAAUCCUCUCGAAGGUUUUGGUUCGGUUCAAGUCCGGUUUUUUUAGGUUUUCCAUUUUCUGGUUGUUGUUUUCUUCAGUUUUCCUUUGGUUUCUUCUUUUUCUUCUCUUUUUCUUUUUUCUCUCUUCAAGCGUAAUUUUCUAAUUAAUUAUAAAUAUUUAUGCCUUUAUUUAAAAGAAUUUAUGUUUUCAAAAAAUGUUUCUGUUUUCAAAAAGUGUUUGUGUUUUCCUAAAAAAUAUCCUUGUUUCGAAAAAACAUAUUUCGGAGAAAAAUCUUAGUUUUCCGAAAAAUGUUCCCAUUUUCAGAAUGUUCGUAUUUCCAGAAUAAUUCUUAUUUUCAAAAAAUAUUUGUAUUCUCAACAGAUAUUUUGUAUUCUAUCAUAUUUNNNNNNNNNNNNNNNNNNNNNNNNNNNNNNNNNNNNNNNNNNNNNNNNNNNNNNNNNUAAAAAAUAAAUCAAAAACUAAACAAAGAACCAAAAGUGGAAAAAGAACACUCUGCAGCAUGUUUGGGAAGGCCGCUGCCUACGAUGACUAAACUGGGCCAGCCCAGAACGCACAAGUCAGUGCACUUACCACACAUCUUCAUGCAAUAUGUGUUUAAUAGGAGCUUCCUAUCUAGCCAUAAACACAUUUUUGACGAGACCACAACCCGAAGGCUGCGGGCCAAGUUAGAAGGGGAAACAACCUCCUCGGAGGACACAUCAAGGAUUUGAACGCCCUCCAGGCUAAACCAGAAGUGUGGAAUGCAGCCUCCCCGAAGGCCAUCUUGUGAACAAGUUGCCAAAGCUCGCAUUCGAGAGCCAAACCGGGGACACCCACAAAUAAUUUAGCCCCCACACAUUGUCGGUUUGUGUAACUCCUUGGUAGAGGCUAACAUUGUGGACCCACCAUCUUGAGGCUACCAAGGGCAUUGUCAAUGAAGUCAAAAUGUCUAAAGCAGUAAGAAAAGGAUAUACAUGCAAGAUUUUUUUCCUUGCAUUGUGAGGAUGACAAUUACUCUAUACACAACCAUUUGGUUUCAUUUAUUGAAUGGUCGAUGUCUGAGGUCUACUCCAAAUACUCUUCCAGCCUCACCACCAAAAAGAGUCGCGGGGAUCCGAUGCAUGUGGAAUUUUUUAUGUGUAGUAUGUAGACUAAAGGAGUUCAACAGAGGGGAGGUCAAAUCGAUUGUAGAACAUGUGUAAGUAUUCGAGAAACAAUGCACCACUUUGGACUCCAAGAUUAAUAAUUCCAAGCCCUCAAUGUAGCCAAAGAAUUGCCCUUUCCACCUUCGUCAGAUAUCUUAGUACAUAAACAUCGUCCAUGUUUUUUUCCAAGAGGUCACGAUCUUUGGUGAAAAAAUAAGAGUGCAAAGUACAAAUAUGGUUAGGAAGGUAAUCACCGAGUUCAUUAGUGAUAGUUCUGCACCAUAGGAAAUCAUGGAAAAGGUUUAUGCUAGUCGUCUCUCAACCUGGCAAAAAAGGGGCAUGAGGUCUUGGAUAGUUUUUUUUUGUACCGAGGGGAAGUCCAAGAUAAGUGAAGGGCAUUCCUCGAGUGUUACAUCAACAGAUAUUUGCAAUGCUUAUGGUUAUUGUGUCAUCAAAGUUGACCAGGACAAAUGUGGAUUGUGAAAGUUUAUUUUAAGACCAAUGGUAGUGUCAUAAUCCAAGAGUAUAUAUAUUUUAUCCAUUUGGAUCGUCCCGGGUAAGGCUGACCUUACAAAGUUUGAGUCGUGCGCGUAUUAAGUGACCAGGUAAUAAAUUUGAUUAUGACGUGGGAAAGGGUGGCUGAUUUUCUCUUGUCUAAAAGCAUCCUUAGUAGCAACUUGGAGGAGAUCGACCACCAGCAGAAAUAUGAGUGGCGACAACGGAUCCCCUUCUUGGCACCCAUGUUUACAAUGGUAUUGUCGUUUAGGGACACCAUUUGAUAGCAUUCAAGGUUUCCCCAAAGUGAAAACACAUUUAAACCAUCCAAGCAAUUUAUCACUAAAUCACAUCUGCUUUAUAAUCUCAAUCAUCGCUUCAUGCUCAAUCGUAUUGAAUGCUUUGAUGAAGUCAAAUUUCACGAUUAGAAUCUCCAAAUAUGCAGCUUGUCACUGGAAAAUACAUUCAAAUGCCCAUGCUAGGUAGUCCUUGAUAGAUAGACCUUUAAUAAAAUUGUAUUGAUUGUGAUGGAUGAUCUUGACAAUAAUUUUUUUGCAAUCGGUUGACUAAGAGCUUGCUAAUGACCUUAAGACAACAAUUAAUAAGAAUGAGGGGCGUGAAAUAAUUUAAUAUGUCUCGGGAGAUGACCUUGGGUAUAGUAUUUAUGAAUCCAUCAUUGAAGCUUUUGAGGUUUAAAACAUCAUCAAAGAACUGAGAGGAUAGUUGGUAAAAAGUCCCCCUUCAUUUUGGGAAAACUUGCUUUUUGAAAUACCCUAGUAAAGCAUUUGUCCUAGGGACUGGCAUUUCAGUGAUAACCUUGUAAAGUAUUUCACGCGUGAAUGGAAUGGUGAGCUGUUGAAGCCCCUCAAUCUUCUUAAUGAUGUUUGGGAGAUAAAAUCACAUUUCAUGAGGAGCAAAAGUCCCAAGUCUUUUCUUAAAUGAUUAGUAUAUAAUGGAUUCCUUGCCACCAUGAUCUUCCACUAAAGUACCCAUCCAUAAAUUUCAAUGGAGCAAGUAUGGUAUUCCUAUACCUCUCUGAGGUCGUCACUUGGAUUUUUUGAGUUUCCAUCACCAAAACGCACCCAUCGGAUGGUGCAUUUCUUUCCAAUACUUCUUCUUAUAAGAUAAGAGCCUUAGUAGGUUAUAUGCUAGGAUUACUCGGAAUUUUGAUCUCGGUGUUGUUACGUGUCUUUUAUUAGCAAGUGCAUCUAUCUCAAUGAGGGUUUUAUUUGAAUUUCAAUUGCAAUAGAUAACUUACAUAAGUUCAUGCUCUAAUUUUUUACCUCACACCCUGAGUGAUUUAAACUUUGUGCCAAGAAGUGGAGAUUGGUAUUUAGAUCAUUGUCUAAUAGCAUCAUUAAUAGGAGCUUGUAUAAGAUCAACUGCUAGCAGAGAGAUAAGUGGCGAUAACGGAUCCCCUUGUUGGGCCACACAUUUACAAUGGAAUUGUCGUCUAGGGACGCCAUUUAAGGGCACUGAAGAUUUAUCUGAAGUGUAAAUACAUUUACUCGAAGCAAUCCAUUUAUCAUUAAAUCCCGUCUUUUUUAUAAUUUCAAUUAUCACUUCAUGCUCAAUCGUAUUGAAUGAUUUGUUGAAUUUAAGUUUAAGGAAUUCAAUUUGCCGUUUGGAAGCUUGACAUUUUAAAAUAUAUUAAAGAUCGACCUUUAAUAAAAUUAUAUUGAUUGCGAUGAAUGAUCUUUAGAAUAAUUUUUGUAAAUAGUUAGCUAACGGCUUGCUAAUGACCUUGAGAUAGUAAUUAAGAAGUGUGAUGGGCGUGAUUACGGCUCGGAAGAGGACCUUGGGUAUGAUAUUUAUGAAUCCAUCAUUAACGAUUUGGAGGUAUAUACCACACCAUCAAAGAACUGAGAGCAUAAUUUGUAAUCCCCCUGCAUUAUGGGCCAACUUUCUUUUAGAAAUACCCUAGUAAAUCGAUUUGGACCGGGGCCCUAUCAGUUGUCAUUUCACUUAUCACCUAGUAAAUUACUUCAUGGGUGAACGAAGUGCUAAGCUACUGAAGCCCCUCUAUCUUCUUAAUGAUGUUUGGUGGAUAAACUCUCAUUUUAUGAGGAGAAAAAGUGGCAACUCUUCCCUUAAAUGAUUAGAGUAUAAUACAUUCCUUACCAACAUUAUCUUCCCUGAAGUACCAUACAUAGUAUUGAGCGAACCAAUAUUGUUUCUCCUACACCUUUGUGAGCCAUCAUUUUUUAGUUUUCAUCACCUAAACGCACCCACCGAAUCAUGCAACGUUUUUCCAAUACUGCUUCUCGUAGGUGGGAUUCUUGGAUUUCUCUAAAGUUGGAUCUUGUUGUUAUUAAGGGUCUUUUAUUCUCAAGUGCAUCAAUCUCGACAACGGCGUUAUUUGAACUCUCAGUGGCAAUAUUUAACUUACAUUUGUUCAUGCUCUAGUUUUUAGAUCACACUUCAGUAUUUUAAACUAUGUGUAAAGAACUCGAGAUCGACCAUUAUAUCAUUUUCUAAAAGCAUCAUUAAAGAAACUUGAAGUAGAUUGAUGCCAACAAAUCAUAUGAGUGGCGAUAAUGCACCCCCGUGUUGCGCCCCAUGUUUACAAUGGAAUUUCCAUCUAGGGGCGCAAUUUAAGGGCACUAAAGAGUUACCAGAAGUGAAAAUACAUUUAAUCCAUCCAAGCCAUUUAUCAUUAGAUCCCAUCUUCUUCAUAAUAUCAAUCAUUGCUUUGUGCUCAAUCGUAUUGAAUGCUUUGAUGAAGUCAAGUUUAAUGAGCACAAUCUCCCGUUUGGAAGUUUCACAUUGGAAAAUAUAUUCAAAUGCUCAUGCUAGGCAGUCCUAGAUAGAUCGACCUUUAAUAAAACCGUGUUGAUUGCGAUGGAUGAUCUUGAGAUUUUGUUUUUGUAAUCAGUUAGCUAACAUCUUGGUAAUGACCUUGAUAGAGCAUCUAAGAAGUGUGAUUGACCAGACAUAAUUUAUUAUGGAUCACGAGGGUACUUUGGGUUUAAUAUUUAUGAAUCCGUCAUUGAUGCUUUCGAGGUUUCAACCACCAUCAAAGAACUAAGAGCAUAGUUGGUAAAAAUUCCCCUUUAUUAUGGUCAACCUUGGUUUUAGAUAAACACUAGUAAAUCAAGUUGUCCUAUGGACCUAUCGAUCAACUAGCAUUUCACUAAUAACCUAAUAAAUUAUUUCAUUGGUGAACGAAGCGUUAAGCUUCUCAAGCCCCUCUAUCUUCUUAAUGAUGCUUGGGAGAUCAAUCUAAUUUUGUGAGGAGUAAAAGGUACCAAGUCUUUCCUUAAAUGAUUAUAAUAUAAUGAAUUCCUUCCGAGAAGGAUCUUCCACUAAAGUACAACCCAUAGUAUUCAACGAAGCAAUAUUGUUUCUCCUACACCUCUCUCGGGCCAUCGCUUGAUUUUAUUUUUCGAGUUUUCAUCAACAAGACACACCCAUCGAAUGGCACAUUUUUUCCAAUACUACUUGUUGUCAGUAAGUACAUUGGGUGAGAUUUUACGAUUACUCUAAAGUAGCAUUCCGGUUUUGUUAAGGGUAUUUUAUUCUGUCGCCACGAGGCUGCCCCCGUCUCUGAUCGGCACCGCGCUGUCCGAACCCAACGCCGCGACGCCCUCCGACGCCCUCGCCAACGCGCCCCCGACGCCCUCCGACACAUCCCUGCGGCCACCCCCUCCCCCACAAUUCCGGCCGGCCCCUUCCCCAUCGCCGGCACCACCCCGGGCCCCUUUCCCACCACGACGCCACUCCCUUCCACACCGUGGCGCUACCCCCCUUCCACACCGCCGGCGCCUACUAUCCCACGGACAACAGCGCCAGAAAUUGACACGUUGACAGAGGUUGGGCUUGCGUUGGUUUUUCCCUUGAAGAGGAAAGGGUGAUGCAACACAGGAGCAGUAAGUAUUUCCCUCAGUUUGAGAACCAAGGUAUCAACCUAGAAGGAGGGUCUCGUCAAGUCCAGAGUACCUGCGCAAACACAAACAAGCUUGCACCCAACGCUUCAAAGGGGUUGUCAAUCCCUUAAAGAUUGUUUGCAAAGUGAGAUCUGAAGGCGGAAAGUGCAACGAAGUAAAAAGUGUAAGCCUGAAAAUAUGGUGUGGAGUAGACCCUGGGGGGCAUGGUGUUCACUAGAGGCUUCUCUCAAAAUAGCAAGUAUUACGGUGGGUGAACAAAUUACUGUCGAGCAAUUGAUAGAACCGCACAAAGUCAUGAUGAUAUCUAAGGCAAUGAUCAUACAUAUAGGCAUCACGUCCGAGGCAAGUAGACUGAUACUUUCUGCAUCUACUACUAUUACUCCACACAUCGACCGCUAUCCAGCAUGCAUCUAGUGUAUUGAGUUCAUGACGAACAGAGUAACGCUUUAAGCAAGAUGACAUGAUGUAGAGGGAUAAUCUCAAACCAAUGAUGAAAACCCCAUCUUUUUACCCUUGAUGGCAACAACACGAUGCGUGCCUCGCUACCCCUUCUGUCACUGGGUCAGGUCAUCGCACGGUAUGAACCCAAAACCAAGCACUUCUCCCAUUGCAAGAAUCAUAGAUCUAGUUGGCCAGACAAAACCCACAACUCGAAAAGAAUUACAAGGAUAUGAAAUCAUGCAUAAAAGAGAUCAGAAGAAACUCAAAUAAGAUUCAUAGAUAAUAUGAUCACAAAUCCACAAUUCAUCGGAUCUCGACAGACACACCGCAAAAGAAGAUUACAUCGGAUAGAUCUCCAUGAAGAUCAUGGAGAACUUUGUAUUGAAGAUUCAAGAGAGAGAAUAAGCCAUCUAGUUACUAGCUAUGGACCCAUAGGUCUAUGGUGAACUACUCACGCAUCAUCGGAGAGGUAAUGGUGUUGAUGGAGAAGUCCUCCGUGUCCGAAUCCCCCCUCCGGCAGGGCACCAGGACGUGCCCCAGAUGGGAUCUUGCGGAGACAGAAGCUUGCGGCGGCGGAAAAGCGAUUGCGAUGAUCUCCUGAUUUUUUCUGGAAUUUUUGGGAUUAUAUAGGCGAAAGAUCUAGGUCAGGGGACCUGCAGGGGGGCCACAACCCUUGAUGGCGCCCCCCUGGCUGGGGGAUGGGGGCUUGUGGGCCCCUGGGGCUCCUAUGGCUUGGCUCCCAAGUUCUCCGAUCUUCUUUCGUUCCAAAAAGAAUCUUUUCGGAGAUUUUCUUCCGUUUGGACUCCGUUUCAAAAUCUUCUCUGAAAAGGGUCAAAAACAUGGAAAAAACAGGAACUCGCACUUGGCACUGAGUUAAUAAGUUAGUCCCAAAAAAUAAAUAAAAGGCAAGCAAAAGAUCCAAAGUUUGACAAGAUAAUAGCAUGAAACAAUCAAAAAUUAUAGAUACGUUGGAGACGUAUCAAGCAUCCCCAAGCUUAACUCCUGCUCGUCCUCCAGUAGGGAAGUGAUAAAGAAUGAAUUUUUGAUGUGGAAUGCUACCUAGCAUAGUUUUCCUUUGCAACUUCUUUCACGUGACAUGAACGUUCAAAUCCGUAAGAUUCAAAAAAAUAGUUUGCUAUUGACAUGAAAAUAGUAAUACUUCAAGCAAACUAGCAAAGUAAUCAUGAACUUUCAAAAUAACAAGGCCAAAGAAAGUUAUCCCUACAAAAUCAUAUAGUCUCGCUAUGCUCCAUCAUCCUCACACAACUAAUGUAAAUCAUGCACAACCCCGGAAUUGGCCAAGUAAUUGUUUUCGCACUCUUACUUUCUCAAACUUUUUAUAACUAUCACGCAAUACAUGAUCGCGAGCCAUGGAUAUAGCACUAUAGGUGGAAUAGAGUGUGGUGGUGGUUGUGAGACAAAAAAGGAGGAGAUGGUCACAUUGACUUGGCGUAUCAAUAGGCUAUGGAGAUGCACAUUAAUAGAUAUCAAUGUGAAUGAGUAGGGAUUGCCAUACAAGAGAUGCACUAGAGCUAUAAGUAUGUGAAAGCUCAAAAGGAAAACUAGUGGGUGUGCAUCCAACUUGCUUGCUCACGAAGACCUAGGGCAAUUGUGAGGAAGCCCAUCAUUGGAAUAUACAAGCCAAGCUAUAUAAUGAAGAUUCCCACUAGCAUAUGGUAGUGACAAAGCAAGAAGCUCUCAAUCAUGAAGAACAUGGUGCUAACAUGAAGCACAAGUGUGGAAAAAGAUAGUAGCAUUGUCCCUUCUCUCUUUUCUUUUUUUUCAUUUGGGCUCUUAGGCCUCUUUUUUUGGGCUCUUUGGCCUCUCUUUUUUAUUUCCUCCCAUGGGACAAUGCUCUAAUAAUGAUGAUCAUCACACUUUUAUUUACUCACAGCUCGAAGAUCACAACGAUGAUGACUCCAUAGGAAAUGCCUCCGGCAGUGUACCAGGAUGUGCAAUGAUCUAGCAUGGCGUAUGACGUUGAAAACAUCUCGCUAGCUAUCUUACGAUCAUGCAAUGGCAAUAUGAGAAUGACGGCGCAAGUCAUGAGACGGAACGGUGGGAGUUGCAUGGCAAUAUAUCUCGGAAUGGCUAUGAAAAUGCCAUAGUAGGUAGGUAUGGUGGCUGUUUUGGGGAAGGAAUUUGGUGGGUUUGUGCACCGGCGAGAAUUGCGCGGCACUAGUGAGGCUAGCAAUGGUGGAAGGUGAAAGUGCAUCUAUACCAUGGACUCACAUUAGUCAUGAAGAACUCACAUACUUAUUGCGAAAGUUUUUAUUAGUAAUCGAAACAAAGUGUUAAACGCAUACUCCGAGGGGAACAGUUGGUAGGUGUGAACCAUCGCGCGAUCCCGACCUCAACACAAAGGAUGACAAUCAAUAGAUCAAUUAUGCUCCGGCUUCCUAACAUAGCGGUUCACCAUACGUGUAUGCUACGGGAAUCACUAACUCCAACACAAGUAUCUCUAGAUUCACAACACCCUACUAACAUAACUCUCAAUAUUACCGAAUCCUUGUCUCAAAACUAAUUGAGAGGAAUCGAAACUUCUCUUUCUACUCAAUGCACAUGAAGAUGGAGGUUUUUGCAUCCUCUUUGGGUACCUAGCACAUGGGACUACUUUCCUAGCAUAAGCCAACUACCAAAUCACGCACCGCCGUGCUCUAAAGAUAUAAGUGAAGCACAAGAGCAAAAGUAUCUAUCUCAAAAGAUAUAAGUGAAGCACUAGAGCAGAAGUAUCUAGCUCAAAAGAUAUAAGUGAAGCACUAUGAGCAUUCUAGCAAAAUCACGAUGAGUGCAUGUCUCUCUCUCUCAAAAAGGUGUGCAGCAAGGAUGAUUAUGACACAACAGAAAGAAAAGACUCCUAUGAUACAAGACGCUCCAAGCAAAACACAUAUCAUGUGGUGAAUAAAAAUAUAGCUCCAAGUAAGGUUACCGAUGGAUUGAAGACGAAAGAGGGGAUGCCUUCCCGGGGCAUCCCCAAGCUUAGGCUUUUUGGUGUCCUUGAAUUUGGCUUGGGAUGCCUUGGGCAUCCCCAAGCUUGAGCUCUUUCCACUCCUUAUCUCUUUGUCCAUGAGAACAUCACCCAAAACUUGAAAACUUCACAACACAAAACUUAAACAGAAACUUGUGAUAACAUUAGUACAAGAAAACAAACUACCACUUCUUUUGGUACUGUAGCAAACUUGAAUUCUAUCUAUAUUGAUGAUGGGCUACUGUAUUCUCACUUUCUCAUGGCUAUUACCCCCCCCCCGAUACUAACCAUAGUUUCAUCAAAACAAGCAACCAACUCAACAAAAACAGAAUCUGUCAAAAACAUACCAGUCUGUAGCAAUCUGUAUACUUCGUAUACUUCUGGUACCUCAAAAAAUUAGAAACAUUACGACGGCCUGGGCAAAAAAUCAUACCAAUCAUCAUCAAAAAGAAUCAACUCAAAAGCUCUUUCUGAAUAAAAAUGAAAAAUCAUCUCGUGAGCGAAAAGUUUCUGUCUUUUUCCAGUAGGAUCAAACAACCAUUACCAAGACUAGUCAUAAAGGCUUUGCUUGGCUCAAACACAAAAAGAGACACAAAAACACAAUCACAACAGAAUUAUGAAAGUGUGGACGCAACAAAGGGGGGGGGGGGGGGGGGAAAAAGAUAAAUUCAUUGGGUUGCCUCCCAACAAGCGCUAUUGUUUAACGCCCUUAGCUAAGCAUUGAUAAUUCAAUGAUGCUCACACAAAAGACAAGAAUUGAAGCACAACGAGAGCAUCAUAAAGCAUGUGAAAAUCACAUCUAAGUCUAACAUACUUCCUAUGCAUAGGCAUUUUAUAGGAAAACAGAUUGUCAAGACAACCAAUAGUUACCAUAUGCAAGGAAGAAGAAGAGACAAUAGCAAUCUCAACAUAACGAGAGGUGAUUUAGUGAUAUGAAAGUUUCUACCACCAUAUUUUCCUCUCUCAUAAUAAUUACAUGUGGUAUCAUAUCCGAAUUCAACAAUGUAACUAUCACAUAGGAUAUUCUUUUCAUGAUCCACAUGCAUCCAAAGUUGACGCUCUUCAAAAAUAGUGGUAUUAUCAUCAACUAAGUCAUGACUUCUCCAAACCCACUUUCAAUAAUAUUGCAAAUAUCAUAUUCAUCAUGAGGCUUAGACAAAUUUUCAAGAUCAUAAGAAAAAUCAUCGCCCCACUCAUGAUCAUUGCAACAAGUAGUGGACAUAGCAAAACUAGCAUCCCCAAGCUUAGGGUUUUGCAUAUUCUUAGCAUGAUUGUCACUAAUAGAAUUUAUAGUGAAACCAUUGCAAUCAUGCUUUUCAUCGAAGGAGCCCUCGUGAAUCACUUCAUAAAUUUCUUCCUCACAAUUUUCAUAUUCAUGCAUCUCAAGCAAAACUCCAUAAAGAUAGUCAAGUGCACUCAACUCACUAGCAAUUGGAUCAACAUAAUUGGAUCUCUUAAAGAGAUUAGCAAGUGGAUGAGGAUCCAUAUCACUAGAUUUUCAGCAAGCAAAGAUGCAAGCAUAUUCAAGGCACAUGGCACACAAGCGAACGUAAAGCAAGAGAGAGAAAAGGGCGAACGAAAAGGCAAACGAAAAAGGCCAAUUGGUGAAGUGGGGGAGAGGAAAACGAGAGGCAAUUGGCAAACAAAGUAAAUGCAAGAGAUGAGUUUGUGACACCUACUUGGAAGAGUUAUUGACUUGAUCUUCCUCCCCGGCAACGGUGCGAGAAAUCCUUCUGCUAUCCCACAGACAACAAUGCCAGAAAUUGACACGUUGACAGAGGCUGGGCUUGCGUUGGUUUUUCCCUUGAAGAGGAAAGGGUGAUGCAGCACAGGAGCAGAAAGUAUUUCCCUCAGUUUGAGAACCAAGGUAUCGAUCCAAAAGGAGGGUCUCGUCAAAUCCAGAGUACCUGCGCAAACACAAACAAGCUUGCACCCAACGCUUCAAAGGGGUUGUCAAUCCCUUCAAGAUUGUUUGCAAAGUGACAUCUGAAGUAAAAAAAAGUGUAAGGCUAAAAAUAUGGUGUGGAGUAGACCCUGGGGGCCAUAGUGUUCACUAGAGGCUUCUAUCAAAAUAGCAAGUAUUACAGUGGGUGAACAAAUUACUGUCGAGCAAUUGAUAGAACCGCGCAAAGUCAUGACGAUAUCUAAGGCAAUGAUCACACAUAUAGGCAUCACGUCCGAGACAAGUAGACCGAUACUUUCUGCAUCUACUACUAUUACUCCACACAUCGACCGCUAUCCAGCAUGCAUCUAGUGUAUUGAGUUCAUGACGAACAGAGUAACGCUUUAAGCAAGAUGACAUGAUGUAGUGGGAUAAUCUCAAACCAACGAUGAAAACCCCAUCUUUUUACCCUUGAUGGCAACAACACGAUGCGUGCCUCACUACCCCUUUUGUCACUGGGUGAGGUCACCACACGGUAUGAACCCAAAACCAAGCACUUCUCCCAUUGCAAGAAUCAUAGAUCUAGUUGGCAAGACAAAACCCACAACUCGAAGAGAAUUACAAGGAUAUGAAAUCAUGCAUAAGAGAGAUCAGAAGAAACUCAAAUAAGAUUCAUAGAUAAUCUGAUCAUAAAUCCACAAUUCAUCGGAUCUCGACAAACACACCGCAAAAGAAGAUUACAUGGGAUAGAUCUCCAUGAAGAUCAUGGAGAACUUUGUAUUGAAGAUCCAAGAGAGAAGAAGCCAUCUAGUUACUAACUAUGGACCCGUAGGUCUAUGGUGAACUACUCACGCAUCAUCGGAGAGGUAAUGGUGUUGAUGGAGAAGCCCUCCGUAUCCGAAUCCCCCCUCCGGCAGGGCACCAGGACAUGCCCCAGAUGGGAUCUUGCGGAGACAGAAGCUUGCGGUGGUGGAAAAGCGAUUGCGAUGAUCUCCUGAUUUUUUAUGGAAUUUUUGGGAUUAUAUAGGCGAAAGAUCUAGGUCAGGGGACCUCCAGGGGGGCCACAAGCCUGGAUGGCUCCCCCUGGCCGUGGGGUGGGGUCUUGUGGGGCCCCUGGGGAUCCUCUGGCUUGGCUCCCAAGUUCUCCGAUCUGUUGGGGAACGUCGCAUGGGAAACAAAAAUUUUCCUACGCGCACGAAGACCUAUCAUGGUGAUGUCCAUCAACGAGAGGGGAUGAGUGAUCUACGUACCCUUGUAGAUCAUACAGCAGAAGCGUUAGAGAACACGGUUGAUGUAGUGGAACGUCCUCACGUCCCUCGAUCCGCCCCGCGAACAAUCCCGCGAUCAGUCCCACGAUCUAGUACCGAACGGACGGCACCUCCGCGUUCAGCACACGUACAGCUCGACGAUGAUCUCGGCCUUCUUGAUCCAGCAAGAGAGAUGGAGAGGUAGAAGAGUUCUCCGGCAGCGUGACGGCGCUCCGGAGGUUGGUGAUGACCUUGUAUCAGCAGGGCUCCGCCUGAGCUCCGCAGAAACGCGAUCUAGAGGAAAAACCGUGGAGGUAUGUGGUCGGGCAGCCGUGAGAAAGUCGUCUCAAAUCAGCCCUAAUUGCUCCAUAUAUAUAGGAGGAGGGAGGGGGCCUUGCCUUGGGGUCCAAGGACCCCCAAGGAGUCGGCCGAGCCAAGGGGGGGAGGACUCCCCCCCCCCAAACCGAGUUGGACUUGGUUUGGUGGGAGGAGUCCCCCUCCCUUCCCACCUCCUUCCUUUUUUUUUCUUUCCUCUUGAUUUUUCUUCUCUUGGCGCAUUGGGCACUUGUGGGCUGUCCCACCAGCCCACUAAAGGCUGGUGUGGCUCCCCCAAUGCCUAUGGGCUUCCCCGGGGUGGGUUGCCCCCCCCCCCCCNUACAGCAGAAGCGUUAGAGAACGCGGUUGAUGUAGUGGAACGUCCUCACGUCCCUCGAUCCGCCCCGCGAACAAUCCCGCGAUCAGUCCCACGAUCUAGUACCGAACGGACGGCACCUCCGCGUUCAGCACACGUACAACUCGACGAUGAUCUCGGCCUUCUUGAUCCAGCAAGAGAGACGGAGAGGUAGAAGAGUUCUCCGGCAGCGUGACGGCGCUCCGGAGGUUGGUGAUGACCUUGUCUCAGCAGGGCUCCGCCCGAGCUCCGCAGAAACACGAUCUAGAGGAAAAACCGUGGAGGUAUGUGGUCGGGCUGCCGUGGGAAAGUCGUUUCAAAUCGGCCCUAAAACCUUCGUAUAUAUAGGUGGGAGGGAGGGGGCCUUGCCUUGGGGUCCAAGGACCCUCAAGGGGGUCGGCCGAGCCAAGGGGGAGGACUCUCCCCCCCCAAACCGAGUUGGACUAGGUUUGGUGGGAGGGAGUCCUCCUCCCUUCCCACCUCCUCCUUUUUUUUCUUUUCCUCUUGAUUUUUCUUCUCUUGGCGCAUAGACCACUUGUGGGCUGUCCCACCAGCCCACUAAGGGCUGGUGUGUCUCCCCCAAGGCCUAUGGUCUUCCCCGGGGUGGGUUGCCCCCCCGUGAACUCCCGGAACCCAUUCGUCAUUCCCGGUACAUUCCCGGUAACUCCGAAAACCUUCCGGUAAUCAAAUGAGGUCAUCCUAUAUAUCAAUCUUCGUUUCCGGACCAUUCCGUAAACCCUCGUGACGUCCGUGAUCUCAUCCGGGACUCCAAACAACAUUCGGUAACCAACCAUAUAACUCAAAUACGCAUAAAACAACGUCGAACCUUAAGUGUGCAGACCCUGCGGGUUCGAGAACUAUGUAGACAUGACCCGAGAGACUCCUCGGUCAAUAUCCAAUAGCGGGACUUGGAUGCCCAUAUUGGAUCCUACAUAUUCUACGAAGAUCUUAUCGUUUGAACCUCAGUGCCAAGGAUUCGUAUAAUCCCGUAUGUCAUUCCCUUUGUCCUUCGGUAUGUUACUUGCCCGAGAUUCGAUCGUCAGUAUCCGCAUACCUAUUUCAAUCUCGUUUACCGGCAAGUCUCUUUACUCGUUCCCCCCCCCCCCCCCCCGCAACUUACACUAAGUUACAUUGCUUGCAAGGCUUGUGUGUGAUGUUGUAUUACCGAGUGGGCCCCGAGAUACCUCUCCGUCAUACGGAGUGACAAAUCCCAGUCUUGAUCCAUACUAACUCAACUAACACCUUCGGAAAUACCUGUAGAGCAUCUUUAUAGUCACCCAGUUAUGUUGCGACGUUUGAUACACACAAAGCAUUCCUCCGGUGUCAGUGAGUUAUAUGAUCUCAUGGUCAUAGGAAUAAAUAUUUGACACGCAGAAAACAGUAGCAACAAAAUGACACGAUCAACAUGCUACGUCUAUCAGUUUGGGUCUAGUCCAUCACGUGAUUCUCCCAAUGACGUGAUCCAGUUAUCAAGCAACAACACCUUGUUCAUAAUCAGAAGACACUGACUAUCAUUGAUCAACUGGCUAGCCAACUAGAGGCAUGCUAGGGACGGUGUUUUGUCUAUGUAUCCAGACAUGUAAAUGAGUCUUCAUUCAAUACAAUUAUAGCAUGGAUAAUAAACUAUUAUCUUGAUACAGGAAUUAUAAUAAUAACUACACAUUUAUUAUUGCCUCUAGGGCAUAAUUCCAACACGAUCUUCUUCCGUUCCAAAAAAAAUCUUUUCGGGGAUUUUCUUCCGUUUGGACUCCGUUUCAAAAUCUCCUCUGAAAGGGGUCAAAAACAUGGAAAAAACAGGAACUGGCACUUGGCACUGAGUUAAUGAGUUAGUCCCAAAAAAUAAAUAAAAGGCAAGCAAAACAUCCAAAGUUUGACAAGAUAGUAGCAUGAAACCAUCAAAAAUUAUAGAUACGUUGGAGAUGUAUCAGCGCCUUCCUCCCCCAUCGUAAGUUCGUUUUUUUGGCUUUUUCAUUUCAUUGCAUAUAUAUAUAUACAUACAUAUAAUUAGGUUAAUUUAGUUAGUUUAGGGCUCUGUUAGUGUUAGUUUAGGUCAAAUAGGUUAGUUUAGGGCUUUGUUAGUGUAAGUUUAGGUCAAAUAGGUUAGUUUAGUGCUAAAUAGGUUAUUGUUAGUUUAGGUUGACAUAUAAAUGAUUUAGGUUUUAGAGUAGAUUUUACAUAUAAAUAAUGAUUUGACAUAUAAAUGGUUAAGGUUUUCCUUUUAUUAUUUUAAGUUUGCUACUCGUAUUUCUUUGUUAACAUUUUAUAACUAUUUGCAAAAGUUUGAUGAGUGACAUUUGCAAAAGUUUGUUAUGUAUUUGCAAUUAAUUAGUAUAUAUAUGUAGACAAUAGAUUCUCUUAGUCCUAUAAUAACAAAUGGAUUUAUCAAGAAUGCCACAUUAUGUAUGUGCACAAAUUGAUCCAAUUUCUUUUAUGAUCUCAUCUAUGUAACCUAGCUAGCUAGUUUCUAUAUGUCACGUUGUUUGUCCAAGUAUUGAAGAAAUCCAUGGCUUCAUCAUUACCUCGUAGUAAUAGACGCAUGAUGCUAUGAAUCUCUCGAACGUUAUUUUGGAACGGAGUUCCAGAUAGGAUAAUUCGCUUUUUGGUACGAAGUUGAGGAAAGUCCUUCCAAAUAGUGAUAUUCGGAUGGCUCUUUUUGAACUGCAUACCAAAAACCAAAUUAUCCUAUUCGGGAUUCCAUUACAAAACAACUUUGUAAAGCUUCAUAGCAUCAUGCGCCUAUUACUACCAGGUAAUGAUUGAUACGUCCCAAACGUAUCUAUAAUUUCUGCUUGUUCCAUGAUCUUUUGGGUGACAUUGUUACAUAUUUUGCUACACUUUUAUAUCAUUUUACACAUAUUUGGACUAACCUACUAACUCAGUGCACCCAGUGCUAGUUUCUGUCUGCUAAUGUCUAUUUUGCAGGGGCUUUUACCCAAUUUACCGAAGCCCGAAAAAAUCCAAAAAAAAUAUAUAAAAAAUCAGCGAAACAGAAGCUUCGGGAUUACCAAAGGACGGCCAGAGGUGGGCCAGGGGCCUCCCAGGCGGCCUGCUGGCGCGGCUAGGCCCUAGGCCGCGCUAGGAGGUCGCCUGGGUGGGUCCCACCUCCUCCGGUGCCCUCCUUUGUCCUAUAUUUAGAGAUUCGUGAGGAAACCGUCGCAGACUUUCUGGAAUCACGAAUUUCUCCAUCGUUCCGCCGCCGCAGCGCUUCCGAGAUCGGGAGCGUCAGGAGACCUCUUCCCGGCAACCUGUGGGAGGGAGGAUUGACCUCCGGAAGCUUCUCCACCACCAUGGACGCCUCCCGGAUAUGACGUGAGUAGUUUCCCUUGGACCAUGAGUCCGUGACCAGUAGCUAUGUGAUGUUUUCUCUCCAAUCUUGUGCUUCAAUGGUUAGUCCUUGUGAGCUGCCCUAGAUGAUCAAGGCAUCUAUGUAAUUCUCUUGCUAUUGCUAUGCUCGUUUUGUUGGGAUCCGAUGGAUUAUGAUAUUAUGUUCAGAUUGUUAUGAGUUAUAUAUUUGAUUAUCCUUUUAUAUUAUGUUCCUUAGUGAUUCAUGCAUGUUCUCCGUUGCUUUAUAUUGCUUUGGCCAAGUAGUAGAUCUUGACUCCAGGAGGGGGUGUUAUGCAUGAUUGUGGGUUCGGGCCCCUCGAUGUCUAGCUUCAGUGACAGAAACAUGAGACUAUGGGAUGUGCUUGUUGCCACUAGGGAGAAAACAACGGUGCUUGUGACCACGAUUGCAAGGAUUGUCUACCUUACGCAUAGUUCGUUAAUGCAGUUGCCCGUUGCUUUGACUUUACCCUUUGGGUGGGGCUCGCAACUUAAUACUGGAGAGAUGUUCUGGAUAGAUAUCUCAAGGUGGAUGAUUAGUAAGUAGAUGCUGAUGCAUAAACAGUCUACUUGUCUCAGCGUAUUUCCCAUUACUAUUGAACCUCUAACUAUCAAGGAGCAUAAUUAGCAUUGCGGUGCGAUCAUAAUUCUGUCAAUCGCCCAACCGUGAUUUGUUUACCCUAGCAUAGUUGUUUAUCGUCUUUUGGGAGAGAGACAUCACUAGUGAACGUCAUGUGACUCUGGUCCAUAUCACCAUCAUUGUUUACACGUCCAUCAUUUACCGCUUUCUUUACUUUUCCGUUGCAAUCACUAUUACCUUCCUGCUUGUGUUUUGAUCCUUUGCAAACUACAAGGCCGGUGAGAUUGACUACCUCUCUGUACUUGUUGGGAGCAAAGUUAUUUGUUAUGUGUGCAGGUCCACAUCUUCUUCUAGAGCCAGGGUGGAACACACCUACUUGUUGUGCCUAGGAUUCUCCUGGUUCGAUAAACCUUACAGUCUUCGUGUAAGGGAAAUUUGUUGCUGGCUACAUCUCCACCUUCCACUUGGGGUAUCCAACGAGGGGCAAGAAGUAUAUACAUCACCUCGUCAUCAAUGAUGAAGUCAUGGUUUUAUUGAAUCCUUUGACAAUAGACAAUGUGACAUAUAGAAGGGUAGAUGAGAUCAGGAAAAUAUGGAUCAUUUUCUGCACAUCCAGAAUGUCGCCAUUUUGUUAAAUCUCUUAAAGGUUAAGAGAAUCCGUUUAGACAUAUUUACAGUAAAGAUUCACUCAUUUUGCUCCGUAUGUAAUUUUCUGAUGAAAUCUUUAAAAGGUCUUAUAUUUUGGAACAGAGGGAGUACAAGUUUAGAAAAGUUUAUUAAAUAGUUGGAAUUUAAAUAGUAGGACAUACAAUGCCCGGCACGCAUCCUCGUCGUCGACUCGGUGGCGACCACCUACUUGAUAGGCCAAGCAUGUGCGGGACUGGGCUCCGCCGGGCUGGCACUGGGAGGAGUUACCUUCCAUGGCGCGCAGCUUCGUGAGGAACCGGGCUCCCGUCAUCGACCCGGGGUUUCUUGGUGGCUGUUGCGGGGGCCACUUUCGGUGCCUAGGGUGCCGGGCCCCGAGGAGGAGGUACGUCGCCGUGUCAUGGAGGAGGACGAGCAUGUCCGUCACUACAUGGAGGCGUUGGAUGUCAGGUUCUCCACUACUUGGCAGGUUCUUCAAGGAUCUCACUCGAGCUAUGAUCCGGUGAUGGUCCCUACCCUUUGGGUGUCCACCGCCCGCGUCUCAGUACAGCGACGGCUCUUUGUUGGUUGAUCAGUUAUAUAUUAUUCGAGAGAUGUAUUACUGUAUUCGAGAGAUGUAUUAUUUAUGUAUUCCAAAUUAUAUAUUCGAUAAUAUUAAGUGCAUUAUUUGAUGAUGCAUUAAUUAAGUCGAUUAUUCAAUGUAUAUAAGAGGGAGUUUUAGUUGUUAGUUAAUUUAGUUUUUUAUGUUUAAUUAAUUUGUAGAUACUAUGGAUCCAAUACACGGCAUAGACGAACAUCACGAAGAUGUGAUGCAUGGUGUCAUCCGCGGGGAUUAUAUUUUAAUUGGCGAUAUCGAUGUCACCAAUCAGUUUUUGAACGAGUCCGGCGAAGGAGAUGAGUCUCUCAACACAGGAGGUAGAAGCUCCGGUGAGGUAGACGCCCACGCCUCGGGCGAGGGAGGAAUCAGCGGCUCCAAUGAGGAAGAGGCCGACGAGGGAGAAGCCGACCGCUCCGUCGAGGUGCAUAUAUAUAUUAGUAAACUAAUCCUCUGCUAUAUACAUAUAUUAACGCUCUUUCUUUUAGCCCUUCGGAUCAAGCAAAACUUCAGUACGGACGAAACGAGGCCCAACCAAGAAGAUGGAUGACGGUGAGAGAUACAGGAUCGAAAGCGUCUCAAAUGUCGGGCAACCAAUUGCUCCCACAGAUGUAAAGCAGAAGUUUGUGAAGCCAUGCGGAGUUGUUGUUAGGGACCACAUCCCUAUCACCACUCGAGGAUGGAUUAAGCCAAGGGAGGAAGGAGUCUCAUAUGUCAGCACAACAGCCAAAGAAAACCUUUGGAGAAAGCUCAUGCUUCAUUUCACCCUGUCGGCGCCAGAGGUGGAUCCAGAUGAGGAGGAAAUGAAGAGGCGAAAAGAGGCCCUAGAGAAAAAAAAUCAAGGAGUAGGAUCCUAAAAAGAUGGCGAUCUAUUCAGGGGCUGGAAAAAAAGAUUGCACCAGGAAUUUAUCUUGAAAGAUAAGACUCCAGAUUUCGAUAACGACUAUGAGAAGAUAAAAGACUACUGGGCCGAAUUUGUGGCGUACAAGAAAUAAGACGAAUGCACGUAAGAAGAAGUACCACCAUAUUAUGGGGCCUGGUGGCUACGGCGGUCACAUGGCUAAGUGGGAAGCACUUGAGGCAUCAUUUCUGGUAAAACAAUAUCACUCCAGAGCCUUUAAGAUGGCUCGAACGGGGAAGAAACUGGUUUUACGGGCAUGUGGGCUUGUUGGACGAAGAAGGGAAGGCAAUAUAUAACCAAAGACACAAAGAUAAUCCCCUACCCAUCGAGGACAUUAGACGUGCAGUACAGGAUGUUGAAGAGGGACGGUUCAUUCCCAAUAGAGAGAACGAUGAGCUCACACGCGCCCUUGGGAAUGAUGAACACAAAGGGCGAGCACGAGGCUUACCAGACUCCCCGUCGUAGUUGCUUGCGUUUUGCAAGGAAAGGAAGAGAUUUCCCGAUAGAAGCCAUCAGAGGAGAAAGGAAAAGGAAGCAGCUGAGAAAGCGGCUGCUCCAGACCGGCUGCAUAACAUAGAAGAAGAAGUAAAGCGGUGCAGCAGCAUCAAAUCGAUAGACAACAAGGUAGCGGCCAAUCUCAGCAGCUCAUGAUAGAAGUUGCAUCGUAUCGGAAAAGCAGUGUCUCUUCCACGCAGCUCCAAGAUGAUGGUGAUGAUGCACUAACAACGGAUCCUCCUCGUCGCUACCCAGUGGAUGAUAUCACAGAGAGCACACCUUGUGAGCUAAAGGUGAAAGUUGCUAACUUAAGGUUGACGGUGGCGGUCGGCAUGGCCGUACCAAUUGGACAUAUUCCAACUUGGCAUUGCUCUUCGGUUCUAGAAGGGUAUGCUGUCGUCGCGGUGGAUGAAGUGUUGAAAGAUUAUGAGGAGCUGAAGCUCGACCACCCUGCAGGUGAAGAUAGGGAUUUGACUCAACUUGGAGAAGUCAAGAAACAAACCAUUGUAUGGCCAAAGGAGGACAUCUUGCUUCCAAAUUGGCCGCCAAGGCCACCGACUCCUCAAAGCAGCAAUCCUUCUUCGCCUCCACCUCACCAGUCUCCAGCGCAAUCGUCGUCUUUACCGCCUCACCAGUCUCCAGCGCAACCGUCGUCUUCGCCGCCUCACCAGUCUCCAGCGUAGCCGUCUCCACUGCCGCAUCAGCCGUCUCUGUCCACUGAGGAUCAGAGCAAAAACCAGAAACGUACCACCGCUAAUAGUGGCGGAAGAAAGGGGAUCCAAUCACCGAAACGUAAGUUGUCACCCCUCCCAAAAGUACCUCAUAAGGAUAUGGAGAAGAGACCUUGGGACUAUACUGGAGAGGACAAUAUUAAGAGGGUAGAUGCCCAGCAUCAACAAUGGAUGGCUGACAAGGCUAACAAGAAGAAGCCGAAAGAGCCAGAAUUCCCGGUCACGCAGAAGAUCACGCCGCGUGUGUCAAAAUGCUGAAAACCCUUGUAGAUCCCCCGCCACCGUUGCCAGCAGACUAUGAAUGCUCUACUCUCAAGUUGGCUCACACAAAAAAGCAGUGGUUGAAGAGUAGUACGUCCAGCGGGAAAUCAGUUGCCCAGCUCGGACAACAGAAAAACCAAUCGUGUCCCCCUCUCAAAGUGUAUUCCGAUUCAAAGGUGUGCUCGAGCGGAGCUGCGGUCGAGCAGAGGAAUGAUGGAACAACUCGUAUCAAUCCGGAGUUUGUUGCACUAUACGGAGAAGCGGCCAAGGCUCAUGGCAUGUCUAUUGAUGAGUACAUAAACCAUAUGCAGGAAUUCUCUGACAUAACAUACGUGUAUCGGUGCAGGGCUCCUCUCAUCAAACCUGAGUUGGUCAAUGAGCUACCAACAAAAAUGCAAAGAUUGCAUGACUGGUACAUGCGAGCAUGUGCUGAACAACAAAACUGGAUCUACAUUGCAUAUAAAACGAGCAUUACGGGCAUGGAGAAUGCGUGCUAAUGAUUGAAUUCGAUGAAUUAUUUCAGUUAUACAAACAAGACACCCUCGAAAAAUCUAUCAUAAGUGCCUAUUGUUUGUAAGUAUUAUUAAUUUAUGUCAUUAAGUCUUACUCACCUCGUUCUUGCAAUUUUGCAGAAUGAAGAUUCUCGAAUGCAAAAGAGGAUGAAUCUAUGACAUUGGGUUCAUUGACCCAUAUUUCAUUCAUCACCAAAGUCUUGCAACGAAUCCCCGCGAGAUAGAGAAUAACUUGGUACAAGGGUUAAGGUUUUCCGCUACCAAAAGGGAAAUACUAUUUCCUUACAACUUCAAGUGAGCGUUACUACACACAUUCUAUUUUUUGCAUACUCGAUGUUAUUAUAAGUGUAUAAUUGACUCGUUAUGCAUGCGCAUGUUCCACUAUAUUCUGUUAAUCAUUGUACCUGACGAGGGACUAGUAAAAUUCAUGGACCCGAAACGCACACCCCUCGCAGAAUGGGCAAACAUGCAGGAAUGCCUCCAGAGGUAAUUUCAAUCAUUAUGGCACUAUAUCGGCAACUUCUCAUUCAUUUCCUGAUAGCAAGGAAUUAAUAUAGAACUCCUUUAUUCAUUUUGUUUUCUUGGCAGGUCUUGGAAACGGUUCACCGCCAAGGCUCGGGGUGUUUGGAAGUGAGGGCUUACAUUUAGACAAAUGGAUGUAAGUAACUACUAGCUAGAUCCGCGCAUCUCUUUAUUCUAGUUUCAAUACCAUUAUCAUUCUUGAUUAUGUUUUUGAUUGAACUCUGUUCUUGUAAAGUGCUUGAGGCAGGAACAGGGGAACAAUUUAUGUGGAUACUAUGUUUGCGAGUUCAUUCGCCAGACGACCCAUGAGAGGGGCAAAAACCGGGACAUAAAAAAAUUGAAGUAUGAUAAACAAUACUCACAACUUUAUUUUAUUACCGUCAAUUGUGUUCGGUUUCAUUGAUAUAUAUUGACCCCUUCUUCAAAUUAGAUCGGACGAUUGCGGGACGAUCUUCUACCACAGGAACAUGUACGAGCAAUUCAAGAGGAAAUUGUCGGAUUCUUAGAUGCAGAGGUCCUAGAUGUGAAGGGAGAAUAUUAUUGCCCGUCGAUGCAAUUCAAAUGAAAUGUUAAAGUGUAAAAGAGAUGCAUAUGUGCAUGUGUAACUUGUAUCUACAUUUUGUAAUAUGUUCGACAAAGCACGACGGAUGAGAUGGUGUAAUAUAUUCGUGGCAAUGAUGUGCAAUAUAGUUGUUCCUUUAUUGUUGUGUAUGUACCAUCCAAUUUAGUGCAAAACAAGAAUUAAAAAGUGCCCAAAACAAAUAAAUGGGAAAAUAGGGGGCAGGAAAAUAGCCCCAUCCAAUUUAGUGCAAAACCCUAAACCCUAAAAAGUGCUCAAGAGAAAAGAAGAGAAGCAAUAGCCCCGGUUCGUAAUAAGAACCGGGACUUAUACCCCUCCCCCUCGCUCCAAGCCCCGCCACGUGGAGGACCAUUAGCCUCGGUUCGGGGCCGAACUGGGGAUAGCAUUAGUCCUGGUUAUUUAGUCUCGGUUCGUGAACCGGGACUAAUGUCCCAACCAAACCGGUGCUAUAGGCCCUUUUUCUACUAGUGUAUGUCUCAAACUACCCGAUGAUGAUGAGAUGGCAUGUGGUGACAUCAACAAUGCAUUACGGCAUGUCCCAUUAUUCCUUACAGGUUCGACAUGGUUUUAUUUGAACAUAGUCAACGCACUCCCGCAAAAGUCCAUACACACGUGGGUAGACUUCGAACACGCGUUCAUCAACAACUUUGAGGGAACAUACGUGAGGCGUAGAAGUGUUGCAGACCUCUUCUACUUGUAAAUUGCGUUGGGUUUUCCUCCGAAGAGGAGAGAAGAUGCAGCAUAGUAAAGAUAAGUAUUUCCCAUAAUAAAAACCAAGAUUAUCGAACCAAUAGGAGAACCACACAACUUUUCGUCUUCAACACCUACACACAAAAGAGCAAACACUUACAUCUAAUGCGAUCAACAGGAUUGUCGGGCCUCUUGAACUCAUUACUUGCAAGUAUUAAGUAGUGAUAGAUAGAUAAUAUAAAUAUAAAACCCCAAUAACAAAAGAAAAAUGGCAGCAAUAUUUUAGUGUUUUUGUAAUAUAUUUUGUGAAGACCUGGGGGCACAGUUUUCGCUAAAGUCUUCUCUCUCAAAGAAAGCAAACGACGGGUAAACCAAUUACUCUUGGGCAAUGACGACCCACAAGUAUAGGGUAUCAAUCAUAGUCCUUUUGAUAAGUAAGAGAGUCGAACCCAACGAGGAGCAAAAGAAAAUGAUAAGUAGUUUUUAGGAAGGUAUUUUCUUCAAGUGUUGUGAGUAACAGUGGUGAAUAGUUUUGCAGCAAGAUAAUGCAUAACAAGUUGCCGGGCUUCUCGGACCGGGUACCCAGGCCCGUAGGCCUACAGCCCCGUGCGUGACAUGGCAGGAUGAGCUUGGUUCGGCCCACCAGCCAGCUCGGCAAGGAAGACCCUCGUGAGGCAAGCGUCAAGGUUUCACCUUCGAGGAUCACGAGGGGUCACCCGCAGCAAGGGCGCGUCCCGAGGACACCCCUAAGGCUCUCAUGAGGUGGGCUCACCGAGGGCAACAUAGCAGGGCCCCACGGCCCUGCGCCUCCGCGUGAGUGACACAGGUUGGACAGGUGGCGCAAGAGCGAUGCCAGCAGGCACGGAUAGGGAGGAUUCGAUUUCCCGUGCUAAGGGAGCGAGACCAGCUAGCGUGCCCCCGAAGCGACUCCCAAAUGUUUCCCGUUUGAAGCAAGAAGACUAAGAUUGGGGGCUCGGCAGGACGGAGGUCACCCCCGAGCCCACUAGCGCAUCAUGAAGGGAAGCUUUUGCAGGUGAAGACCACCUUUGUCAGGGCGGACUGUAGUCCUCUCCCCUUUCAAAAUGGUCGCUGUGGCAACCCUUCCUGUCAAUGUUUUCGAGGGGAAGAGGACCGAGGUCAGUAUAAAAGAGAGGCCCGGCCUCCGUAGUAGGGACCCCGAAACCCCAUCGUCUCUAAUAGGGCAAGAACCCACCUUUGUACUCGUCUCCCACCUCAAGCAAUCCCAAAACAAGCAAAAGUAGGGUUUUACACCGCAAGGUGGCCCGGACCUAGGUAAAUUGUCGUGUGUUCUAGUUAGCUGCCCUGAGCUCAUGCAGCCGGAGAGUCACCAUGAAGUCGAGAGGUAGAACAGGGUAGGAGAGCGAGCGCACCCAAGAGUUUGAACCUUUUCUUGGGUGUGUAGAGCCUAGAUUCCGACACAUGUGACAAGUAACAAUAGUAGCAAGUAUGCAGCAAGAUAGCCCAAUCCCUUUUGUAGCAAAGGACAGGCAUGUAAUUACACAUAUAUGAAGCAAAGCGCUCCCAAGGACACAUGGGAACUUAUGUUCAUCAUGUUGACUUGAUACGCGUUCACUACUUUGAUAAUUUGAUAUGUGGGUGGACCAAUGCUAAGGUGAUGUUCUUACUUGAACAAGCAACCCACUUAUGAUUACCCCCUCUCUCAAGCAUCCGCAACUAUGAAAGAAGAAUUAAGAUAAAUAUAAUCAUACCAUGAAAUUUGUGGAUCCAAAGCAGCCCCUUAUGAAAUAACGCAUAAACUAGGGUUUAAGCUUCUGUAACUCUAGAAACUCAUCAUCUACUUAUUACUCCACAAUGUCUUACCUUAUGCCCAUAACAUGGUGAACUGUCGUGUAGUCGACAUUCACACGACACCACUAUGAGAAACAACAACAUACAUAUCAUCGAAAUGUCGAAUGAUACCAACCUCACAUGAUUACUUAUAACAUGAAUUAUCCCAUGUCCUCGGGAACAUAUAUAACUACUCACAACUUAUCACCAUGUUUAAGACCAGGGGCAUAAUAAUUGUGAUUAAGGAUCUGAAAAUAUUAUCUUUCACCAAAUAAACCAACUAGCAUCAACUACAAGAUGCAAUCAACACUACUAGUUACCCACACGUACCAAACUCAGGUUUUGAGACAAAGAUUGAAUACAAGAUAUGAACUAGAGUUUGAGAUGCUAUGGUAUAGGUGAGUAUGUAGAUGAGGAUUGGUCCUCCCACGAAGGAGGAAGCGUUGGUGAUGACGAUGGCUUUGAUUUCCCCCUCCCGAGGGAAGUUUCCCCUGUAGAAUCGCUCUGCCUGAGAGCAAAAGGGCCUCCGCCCAGGUUUCCGCUUUGAGAUGGUGGCGCUCUUUCCCGAAAGUAAAUUCUUAUUUUUUUUUCUAGGUCAAAAACCAUCUUAUAGUUGAAGAGGGACGUUAGGGCACCUCGGAGGUGGUCCCAAGCCAUUAGGACGUGCUAGGGGGUGGGCACGCCACGUAGGCUUGACACCAACAGGUGCCCCCCCCUCUGGUAUAUUUUUCCUCCAUAAAUUACCAUAUAUUCCACAAAAAUUCUUUGUGAAGUUUCAGGUAAUUUGGAUUUGAGUGAAUUUUCAGUCUUUCUCUUGGUUUUCAUGUCCAGAAUUCCAGUUUUCGACAAUUUCCCUCUUUGUGGCGUGCUACGGCAGCAGACAACAGCGCCAGAGAUUGACACUUUGACGAAGGCUGGGCUUGCAUUGGUUUUUCCCUUGAAGAGGAAAGGGUGGUGCAGCACAGGAGCAGUAAGUAUUUCCCUCAGUUUGAGAACCAAGGUAUCAAUCCAGAAGGAGGGUCUCGUCAAGUCCAGAGUACCUGCGCAAACACAAAUGAGCUUGCACCCAACGCAAUAAAGGGGUUGUCAAUCCCUUCAAGAUUGAUUGCAAAGUGAGAUCUGAAGGCGGAAAGUGCAACGAAGUAAAAGAGUAAGGCUGAAAAUAUGGUGUGGAGUAGACCCGGGGGCCAUCGUGUUCACUAGAGGCUUCUCUCAAAAUAGCAAAUAUCACGGUGGGUGAACAAAUUACUGUCGAGCAAUUGAUAGAACCGCGCAAAGUCAUGACGAUAUCUGAGGCAAUGAUCAUACAUAUAGGCAUCACGUCCGAGACAAGUAGACCGAUACUUUCUGCAUCUACUACUAUUACUCCAGACAUCGACCGCUAUCCAGCAUGCAUCUAGUGUAUUGAGUUCAUGACGAACAGAAUAACGCCUUAAGCAAGAUGACAUGAUCUAGAGGGAUAAUCUCAAACCAAUGAUGAAAACCCCAUAUUUUUACCCUUGAUGGCAACAACACGAUGCGUGCCUCGCUACCCCUUCUGUCACUGGGUGAGGUCACCGCACGGUAUGAACCCAAAACCAAGCACUUCUCCCAUUGCAAGAAUCAUAGAUCUAGUUGGCCAGACAAAACCCACAACUCGAAGAGAAUUACAAGGAUAUGAAAUCAUGCAUAAGAGAGAUCAGAAGAAACUCAAAUAAGAUUCAUAGAUAAUCUGAUCAUAAAUCCACAAUUCAUCGGAUCUCGACAAACACACCGCAAAAGAAGAUUACAUCGGAUAGAUCUCCAUGAAGAUCAUGGAGAACUUUGUAUUGAAGAUCUAAGAGAGAGAAGAAGCCAUCUAGUUACUAGCUAUGGACCUGUAGGUAUCUGGUGAACUACUCACGCAUCAUCGGAGAGGUCAUGGUGUUGAUGAAGAAGCCCUCCGUGUCCGAAUCCCCCUCCGGCAGGGCACCAGAACGUGCCCCAGAUGGGAUCUUGCGGAGACAGAAGCUUGCGGCGGCGGAAAAGUACUUUCGAUGAUCUCCUUAUUUUUUUGGGAUUUUUAGGGAAUAUAUAGACGCGACACCUAGGGCAAAGGGCGUCCAAGGGGGCCCACAAGCCUGUGGGCCGUGGCCUCCCCCCUGGCCGUGGGGUGAGGGCUUGUGGCACCCCUGGGGCUCCCCUGCCUUGGCUCUCAAGCCUCCUGAUCUUCUUCCGUUACGGAAAAAUUCUUUUCGGGGAUUUUAUUCCGUUUGGACUCCGUUUCAAAAUCUCCUCUGAAAGGGCUCAAAAACAUGGAAAAAUAGGAACUGGCACUUGGCACUGAGUUAAUAAGUUAGUCCCAAAAAAUAUAUAGAAGGCAUGCAAAACAUCCAAAGUUUGACAAGAUAAUAGCAUGAAACAAUCAAAAAUUAUAGAUACGUUGGAGACGUAUCAGCGUCUCCUGCGAGGAUUGCAUGAAGAGAGACUUUUUGCAAUCAGCCGUAGGACGUUGCGGCUCUGGCAAUUCAGGCAUCAUCAAAUCACCUCCACGCUCAUAGUUCGAGUCAUACUCCCGAGCAUCAUCAUAGCCGGCAUUGAUAGGAAACACGUAUUAUACCAAUCCAAGAUCUUGUUUCCUUCCUACGAAUCCAAUCAAGUGGUUCACCAAUACCAUCAAUCAUCACUUGACCCAUCACCCCUACAAAUCCAAUAUCGAUAGGGUUCUACAUAAUUUCCUAGAGUCCUUUUUAUCUACUUAUCAUUGCAAGGGCUAUAUCACAGUAUACCCACCAACUUUCAAUACCAUAACCACCUAAACUCCAAGGUCAAGCUUAUAUGGAUACUUAAAUCAUCCCUAACAUCAUCCAAUCACCUCUACUUGUCACCCAUCGAGAAACAUGGUAUCAUGAUCAAGAUCAUCGGACUAAAUCUAAUUUACUCCAAACCAUGUGUUCUCAUUUAUCAUAGACACUCUGUUAGGAUUGCCUACUAAAUCCAAGUCUAUGUCCAACGAGAACUCUUACUUGUUAGUCCAAGUCAUUAUUAAUCCAUGACUGCUACAUGACAAAGUCAAUUUAUUAAACCACCAAGAGUUUUAGCUUGUAAUCAUGAUUGUACGAAUGAAUCCAACUUACUCUAGGAUCAUGUAGGUUAUGCUACUUUAUCAGCUUAUUCCACCAAGUUCACCUACCAACUUAUGUGUAUUACAGUACACUAAGAGAAUCUAGCUACAUAUGCGAGACAUUUACUGUAAUCACCUUGAAUCAUUGGCUACAGGUCGUAUGCCCUUAGAACAAUCCUUCCUAUGGCAUCAAGAUCCUCGUGCUAACUUAAUAAUGAAGGAUACUUCUUCACUGUGAUCACUUGUUCCAUAAUGAACCUAGUGCUAAGCAAGGCUCAACGGGUGCUUUGGCGAGUCUGUGUAUUAAACACCUGAUCAAAGGUUUGAGCUGGGGAAGCUUGUGAGGUUUAGUUUGGUCUAGGGAGGUUUUCCAAUCUUGGGGGAGAAGCAUAAAGCUAUGGGGUUGUGUCUUGUUGAGUACGUUGUAGUCAAAGUCUUCUGUGUUAGUUGUGUGUCGAGGUUGAUCCUUGGUGCAUCUUGUCCUGCCGGUCUUAAGUUGUCGAUAAAGGUGAGGGAGAGAGAAAAGUAGCAUAGAAGGGAGUGCCUAAGGGGGUGCUAUAGUGCAAGUGCAUUCAAACAAGUGUCCAGAGGCCAAAUGCAAACAUCAAGAUGAGUCACGUGAUAUAGUCGCGUACUUGUUGCCUGGGGCCAAAGUGCAACUUAUAUCAAGCCACAAACAAGAAAAACAAGCAACACACAAUAUGGUUCCCUUCGAACCACCACACAGACUCGACUUCGCAUAGGGGACACAUAACUUAUCCUACCCCAGGGGUUCUCAAACUCAAUAGUCGUGCUUGCUUCGUGUCUUGGAGAGGAGUCCGCUCAGUCUUCUGGGUCUUCUUCACGUGUCCCUAUGUCUCUUGUUGUGGUUCAAUGAAACAAUCCGGGUUGUGCGUUAAGAGUUUUUUACGAAUUCCCUCUGGUAAGCUGUCGGUGAAGGUGGUUCCUCAUGUCUAUCAUUGACAAAGUCUUCUGUUGUCUUUGUAAUCUUGUCAAUGUCUUCUUGUAUUCCAAGGCAUCGAGGGUUUUGAGUGGACGACCCUUACGCAAUGACAUCAGCAAAGCAUGAUAGAGUUCUGACUUGUCGGUUAUGUUGAUGACAAUAUCAACACCAAGAGCAGGGGAUGAAGAGACCCGUUUUUCGUGCUCACUACGUAAGGCGUACCAAAUGGCGAGGUUCUCAUCCACCGAGUUGUUGACACAACAAUGGUAAGGACAGAGUCACUCUAUUAGGUAUGCAUAUCAUGAUCUUGCAUAUCUUAUGUCCUGGUUGUCGUAGGCCAAGCUUGCAUCACCCUGGGACAGUGUCGAGGGCGCCACCAUCUUCUGAGUCUCGAUGUCUUCAUUCCUUGAGAAGGUAGCUCUUGUUGGUGUCGUCUCGUCGUAGCGUUGCCAACCUUGUCUUCCAGAUACAUGGGUGAUCGUUUGGCACGGUCGUUUGCUUCCAAGUUACCCAUGAGGAUUGCAAGGAAUCGACUGGUCGGGGGCAUAAGGGUGCUAGCGACCAUUUCAUGUUUUGAAAAAGAUGAUGAGGAGAGUCAAGAAAAUUAGGGCGGAAGUGCUAAGGCAGAACCUCCGCUUCCUUUGAAAAGUUAGGAGAGGUGAGAAAUAUAUAGAUUGUAAGUGGUUUGAAAGGUCUGGAAAAAUAGCUUUGUCCUAACUAAAGUCCAUGCUAACUAAGGGCUUCCUACAGUUAGGAUGGAUCUGAUACCAGCUCUGUGGGGACCCUGACUUAUAAGUCGUGAUCAGUAAAUGUACGCGCACAGUGAUACCAGAGAUCAAUGCUCACUGAACACAUAGAAACUGAAUAACAAAGAGUCUUACAUCCAUUGCGUAAUGUUUUAUUCAAGUAUGACCUCCAUGUCCAAGUCUUCAUAUAUUUGCAACGGAAAAUCUUCAUCGAUAGUGUGAACCCAUGUCAUCUGCCUUAACCUACAAGCAUUACGAUCGAGAAGCAACCUAAUUCGCAUGUUCAUCACCGACGGACUCCUCUCCAUAUUCUUGCUCUUCCAUGCCUGGCCAAUUAAAUAACCAGUGGCAAGAAAAUGUGUACUUUGAAUGUACUCGCAAGCAACCCAUGAUGUGGAACAAGGCAAUAAUAAAGCAUGAUAUAACACUAAUAGGUAAUUUGCGGAAAGCAGAUUUUUCCUAGUGCAAUGACAUGAUCAACUUUUUGUGGGGCAUGCAUCAUGAGGAAAGCGAUAUAUAUGUGAACAUGUUAUAGAUAUCAAUACCAACAUAGGGUUGAACAACCCAUGUUCACCCAUCAUGCCAAGUCGUCCGACUUAGCUUAGGUAUCAUGUUUCUCACAUAACCACCUUUCUCACACACGCACACUGUUUGGUAAAUAUGGACGUAGCCCAAGAGCAGUCAUCCAACUAUCCUUGACCGUGGAAAUGACAAUUCGAAUAGUUUUACACUCUACACAGGUUGCACACUUUACCCAUAAGACUCGGGAAACUUUCGUGUCAAAACAUGACUCGCGGUAUUUCUCAUACCCGAGGCAAGUACCCGAACAUUACCUUUCCCAUGACGAUACUAGCAAAGAGACCACUCGUUGGUGACAAUCUCUCAUGAUGUACUUCACACGUAUCAUCCACGAGGGCACGCAACGCUGUGCCUGGUGUAUGUAAAAACAGCCCAUGGUCGCCCUUUCUUGGCACGACCCCGUCUCGAGAGUGACCACGUCACUCGAGCCACUAGUAAUACGGGCUCUCUACUAGCACCAACCAUAGUAAUCAAAUAAGCCCUGUCCCAUAAGGGGUAUCAUGGUUGUGCAUAUAAGGUUGGAGUAACUGUUGCAACUUAAACCAAUCCGAUUUCGAAAACCACACACCCAUUAGCCUCGGUACACCACUUCUUUAUCAAGUGGCUACCUAGCUCACACAUCUCCGUCAGGCAUUAGUGGCACCCGACGAGGUUUUCGUAAAACCUUUGAAAUCACUUUCAUUUGUUAUCUCCAUGCAUGUUCCCAUCCCAUUGCGUAGACACUAAUAGCAACUUAACUACUUCCUGUUGGAAAACGUCGCAUGGGAAACAAAAAAUUUCCUACGCGCACGAAGACCUAUCAUGGUGAUGUCCAUCUACGAGAGGGGAUGAGUGAUCUACGUACCCUUGUAUACCGUACAGCAGAAGCGUUAGAGAACGCGGUUGAUGUAGUGGAACGUCCUCACGUCCCUCGAUCCGCCCCGCGAACAAUCCCGCGAUCAGUCCCACGAUCUAGUACCGAACGGACGGCACCUCCGCGUUCAGCACACGUACAGCUCGACGAUGAUCUCGGCCUUCUUGAUCCAGCAAGAGAGACAGAGAGGUAGAAGAGUUCUCCGGCAGCGUGAAGGCGCUCCGGAGGUUGGUGAUGACCUUGUCUCAGCAGGGCUCUGCCCGAGCUCCGCAGAAACGCGAUCUAGAGGAAAAACCGUGGAGGUAUGUGGUCGGGCUGCCGUGGAAAAGUCGUCUCAAAUCAGCCCUAAAACCUCCGUAUAUAUAGGUGGGAGGGAGGGGGCCUUGCCUUGGGGUCNCUCGACGAUGAUCUCGGCCUUCUUGAUCCAGCAAGAGAGACGGAGAGGUAGAAGAGUUCUCCGGCAGCGUGACGGCGCUCCGGAGGUUGGUGAUGACCUUGUCUCAGCAGGGCUCCGCCCGAGCUCCGCAGAAACGCGAUCUAGAGGAAAAACCGUGGAGGUAUGUGGUCGGGCUGCCGUGGAAAAGUCGUCUCAAAUCAGCCCUAAAACCUCCGUAUAUAUAGGUGGGAGGGAGGGGGCCUUGCCUUGGGGUCCAAGGACCCUCAAGGGGGUCGGCCGAGCCAAGGGGGAGGACUCUCCCCCCCCCCCAAACCGAGUUGGACUAGGUUUGGUGGGAGGGAGUCCUCCUCCCUUCCCACCUCCUCCCUUUUUUUCUUUUCUCUUGAUUUUUCUUCUCUUGGCGCAUAGACCACUUGUGGGCUGUCCCACCAGCCCACUAAGGGCUGGUGGGUCUCCCCCAAAGCCUAUGGGCUUCCCCGGGGUGGGUUGCCCCCCCCCCCCGGUGAACUCCCGGAACCCAUUCGUCAUUCCCGGUACAUUCCCGGUAACUCCGAAAACCUUCCGGUAAUCAAAUGAGGUCAUCCUAUAUAUCAAUCUUCGUUUCCGGACUAUUCCGGAAACCCUCGUGACAUCUGUGAUCUCAUCCGGGACUCCGAACAACAUUCGGUAACCAAGCAUAUAACUCAAAUACGCAUAAAACAACGUCGAACCUUAAGUGUGCAGACCCUGCGGGUUCGAGAACUAUGUAGACAUGACCCGAGAGACUCCUCGGUCAAUAUCCAAUAGCGGGACCUGGAUGCCCAUAUUGGAUCCUACAUAUUCUACAAAGAUCUUAUCGUUUGAACCUCAGUGCCAAGGAUUCGUAUAAUCCCGUAUGUCAUUCCCUUUGUCCUUUGGUAUGUUACUUGCCCGAGAUUCGAUCGUCAGUAUCCGCAUACCUAUUUCAAUCUCGUUUACCGGCAAGUCUCUUUACUCGUUCUGUAAUACAAGAUCCCGCAACUUACACUAAGUCACAUUGCUUGCAAGGCUUGUGUGUGAUGUUGUAUUACCGAGUGGGCCCCGAGAUACCUCUCCGUCACGCGGAGUGACAAAUCCCAGUCUCGAUCCAUACUAACUCAACGAACACCUUCGGAGAUACCUGUAGAGCAUCUUUGUAGUCACCCAGUUACGUUGCGACGUUUGAUACACACAAAGCAUUCCUCCGGUGUCCGUGAGUUAUAUGAUCUCAUGGUCAUAGGAACAAAUACUUGACACACAGAAAACAGUAGCAACAAAAUGACACGAUCAACAUGCUACGUCUAUUAGUUUGGGUCUAGUCCAUCACAUGAUUCUCCUAAUGAUGUGAUCCCGUUAUCAAGUGACAACACUUGCCUAUGGCCAGGAAACCUUGACCAUCUUUGAUCAACGAGCUAGUCAACUAGAGGCUUACUAGGGAUAGUGUUUUGUCUAUGUAUCCACACAAGUAUUGUGUUUCCAAUCAAUACAAUUAUAGCAUGGAUAAUAAACGAUUAUCAUGAACUAAGAAAUAUAAUAAUAAAUAAUUUAUUAUUGCCUCUAGGGCAUAUUUCCAACAGUCUCCCACUUGCACUAGAGUCAAUAAUCUAGUUCACAUCACCAUGUGAUUCCAACGAAUCCAACACCCAUAUAGUUAUGGGGUCUGAUCACGUCUUGCUCGUGAGAGAGGUUUUAGUCAACGGUUCUGAAACUUUCAGAUCCGUGCGUUCUUUACAAAUCUUUAUGUCAUCUUAUAGAUGCUGCUACUACGUGCUAUUCGGAAAUGCUCCAAAUAUCUACUCUACUAUAUAAAUCCGUUUCACUACUCAUAGUUAUUCGGAUUAGUGUCAAAGCUUGCAUCGACGUAACCCUUUACGACGAACUCUUUAACCACCUCCAUAAUCGAGAAAAAUUCCUUAGUCCAUUUGUUACUAAGGAUAAAUUUUGACCGCUGCUAGUGAUUCAAUCAUGGAUCACUCUCUGUACCUCUCAACAGACUUUGAGUCAAGGCACACAUCAGGUGCGGUACACAGCAUGGCAUACUUUAGAUUCUACGGCUAAGGCAUAGAAGACGACCUUCGUCUAUUCUCUUUAUUCUGCCGUGGUCGGGUUUUGAGUCUUACUCAAAUUCACACCUUACAACGCAACCAAGAACUCCUUCUUUACUGAUCUAUUUUGAACUCCUUCAAAAACUUGUCAAGGCAUGCAUCUUGUUGAAACUUCUAUUAAGCGCUUUCGAUCUAUCUCCAUAGAUCUUUGAUGCUCAAUGUUCAAGUAGCGCAAUCUAGGUAUUACUUUGAAAAACUCUAUUCAAACAACCCUGUAUGCUUUACAGAAAUUCUACAUUACUUAUGAUCCACAAUAUGUCAACCACAUAUACUUAUUAGAAAUUCUAUAGUGCUCCCACUCACUUCUUUGGAAAUACAAGUUUCUCAUAAACCUUGUACAAACCCAAAAUCUUUGAUCAUCUCAUCAAAGUAUAUAUAUUCCAACUCCGAGAUGCUUGCACCAGUCCAUUGAAGGAUCGCUGGAGCUUGCAUACUUGCUAGUAUCUUUAGGAUCGACAAAACCUCCUGGUUGUAUCACAUACAAUGUUUGCUCAAGGAAACCGUCGAGGAAACAAUGUUUUGACAUCCUACGUGCAAUAUUUCAUAAAUAAUGCAUCAACAACUAACAUAAUUCUAACAGACCUUUAGCAUCGCUACGAGUGAGAAAGUCUCAUCAUAGUCAACUGUUUGAUCUUGUCGAAAACAUCUUUGCGACAAGUCGAGCUUUUCUUAAUAGUGACUUAUCACCAUCAUCGUCUGUUUUCCUUUAAAGAUCCAUCUUUACUCAAUAGUCCUAUGACCAUCAAGUAAUUCUUCCAAAGUCUACACUUUGUUUUCAUCCAUGGAUCCUCUCUCGGAUUUCAUGGCUUCCAGCCAUUUGUCGGAAUCUGGGCCCACCAUCGCUUUCUCCAUAACUCGUAGGUUCACUGUUGCUCAACAACAUGACCUCCAAGACAGGGUUACCGUACUACUCUGCAGCAGUACGCGACCUUGUCGACCUACGAGGUUUGUAGUAACUUGAUUCGAAGCUCAAUGAUCACCAUCAUCAGCUUCCACUUCAAUUGGUGUAGGCGCCACAGGAACAACUUCCUGCGCCCUGCUACACACUGGUUGAAGUGAUGGUUCAAUAACCUCAUCAAGUUCUACUACCCUCCCACUCAAUUCUUUCGAGAGAAACCUUUCCUCGAGAAAGGAUCCGUUUCUAGAAACAAACACUUUGUUUCGGAUCUGAGAUAGGAGAUGUACCCAACUGUUUUGGAUACCCUAUGAAGAAGCAUUUAUCCGCUUUGGGUUCGAGCUUAUCAGACUGAAACUUUUUCACAUAAGUGUCGAAACCCCAAACUUUCAAGAAACGACAGUUUAGAUUUCUCUAAACCUCAGUCUAUACUGUGUCAUCUCAACGGAAAUACGCGGUGCCCUGUUUAAAGUGAGUGCGGUUGUCUCUAAUGCAUAACCCAUAAACGAUAGUGGUAAUUCGAUAAGAGACAUCAUAGUAUGCACCAUACCAAAUAGUGCGUGGCUAUGACGUUCAGACACAUCAUCACACUAUGAUGUUCCAGGUGGCAUGAACUGCGAAACAAUUUCCACAUUGUCUUAACUGCGUACCAAAACUCGUAACUCAGAUAUUCAUUUCUAUGAUCAUAUCGUAGACAGUUUAUCCUCUUGUUACGACGAACUUCACUCUGAAACGGGUUUGAACUUUUCAACAUUUCAGACUUGUGAUUCAUUAAGUAAAUACUCCUGUAUCUACUCAAAUCGUCAGUGAAGUAAGAACAUAAUGAUAUCCACUGCGUGCCUCAGUACCCAUUGGACUGCAUACAUCAAAAUGUAUCACUUCCAACAAGUUACUAUCUUAUUUCAUCUCAAUGAAAACAAGGCCUUGCUCAUGUGGUAUGGUUUGCAUGUCACUAGUGAUUCGAAAUCAGGUGAGUACAAAGAUCCAUCAGCAUGGAGCCUCUUCAUGCAAUUUAUACUAACAUGACUCAAGCGGCAGUGCCACAAGUAAGUGGUACUAUCAUCAUUAACUCGUAUCCUUUUGGCACCAAUAUUAUGAACAUGUGUAACACUACGAUCGAGAUUCAAUAAACCAUUGAAGGUGAUUAUUCAAGAAAAUAGAGUAACCAUUAUUCUCUUUAAAUGAAUAAUCGUAUUGCAAUAAACACGAUCCAAUCAUGUUCAUGCUUAACGCAAGCACCAAAUAACAAUUAUUUAGGUUUAACACCAAUCCCGAUGGUAGAGGGAGCGUGCGACGUUUGAUCAUAUCAACCUUGGAAACACUUCCAACACGUAUCGUCACCUCGCCUUUAGCUAGUCUCCGUUUAUGCCGUAGCUUUCAUUUCGUGUUACUAAUCACUUAGCAACCAAACCGGUAUCCAAUACCCUCAUGCUACUAGGAGUACUAGUAAAGUACACAUCAACAUCAUGUAUAUCUAAUAUACUUCUCUUGAUUUUUGCCAGCCUUCUUAUCUACCAAGUAUCUAGAGUUGCUCCGCCUCAGUGACUGUUCCCCUCAUUACAGAAGCACUUAGUCUCGGGUUUGGGUUUAAUCUUGGGUCUCUUCAUUAGUGCAGCAACUGUUUUGCCGUUUCACGAAGUAUCCCUUCUAGCCCUUGCCUUUCUUGAAACUUAGUGGUUUUACAAACCAUCAACUAUUGAUGCUCCUUCUUGAUUUCUACUUUCGUAGUGUCAAACAUCGCGAAUCGCUCAAGGAUCAUUGUAUGUAUCCUUGAUAUGUUAUAGUUCAUCACGAAGCUCUCACAGCUUGGUGGCAGUGACUUUGGAGAACUAUCACUAUCUCAUCUGGAAGAUUAACUCCCACUUGAUUCAAGCGAUUGUCGUACUCAGACAACCUGAGCACACGCUCAACGAUUGAGCCUUUCUCCUUUACUUUGUGGACAAAGAAUCUUGUCGGAGGUCUCGUACCUCUUAACAAGGGCACAAGCUUGAAAUCACAAUUUCAUCUCUUUAGAACAUCACUUAUGUUCCGUGACGUUUUACAACGUUUUUGGCGCCUUGCUUCUAAGCCAUUAAGUAUUUUGCACUGAACUAUCGUGUAGUCAUCAGAAACGUGUAUGUCGGAUGUUCAUAGCAUCCACAGAUGACGCUCGAGGUGCAGCACACCGAGUGGUGCAUUAAGGACAUAAUCCUUCUGCGCAGCAACGAGGACAAUCCUCGGUUUUACAGACCCAGUCUGCAAAGUUUUGUUACUAUCAAUUUUCAACUAAAUUUUCUCUAGGAACAUAUAAAAACAGUAGAGCUAUAGCGCAAGCUACAUCGUAAUUCGCAAAGACCAUUAGACUAUGUUCAUGACAAUUAGUUCAAUUAAUCAUAUUACUUAAGAACUCCCACUCAAAAAGUACAUCUCUCUAGUCAUUUGAGUGGUACAUGAUCCAAAUCCACUAUCUCAAGUCCGAUCAUCACGUGAGUCGAGAAUAGUUUCAGUGGUAAGCAUCUCUAUGCUAAUCAUAUCAACUAUACGAUUCAUGCUCGACCUUUCGGUCUCAUGUGUUCUGAGGCCAUGUCUGCACAUGCUAGGCUCAUCAAGCUUAACCCGAGUGUUCCGCGUGCGCAACUGUUUUGCACCCGUUGUGAACGUUGAGUCUAUCACACCCGAUCAUCACGUGGUGUCUCGAAACGACGAACUGUAGCAACGGUGCACAGUCGGGGAGAACACAAUUUCGUCUUGAAAUUUUAGUGAAAGAUCACCUCAUAAUGCUACCGUCGUGUUGGGGAACGUCGCAUGGGAAACAAAAAUUUUCCUACGCGCACGAAGACCUAUCAUGGUGAUGUCCAUCUACGAGAGGGGAUGAGUGAUCUACGUACCCUUGUAGAUCGUACAGCAGAAGCGUUUAGAGAACGCGGUUGAUGUAGUGGAACGUCCUCACGUCCCUCGAUCCGCCCCGCGAACAAUCCCGCGAUCAGUCCCACGAUCUAGUACCGAACGGACGACACCUCCGCGUUCAGCACACGUACAGCUCGACGAUGAUCUCGGCCUUCUUGAUCCAGCAAGAGAGCCGGAGAGGUAGAAGAGUUCUCCGGCAGCGUGACGGCGCUCCGGAGGUUGGUGAUGAUCUCGUCUCAGCAGGGCUCCGCCCGAGCUCCGCAGAAACGCGAUCUAGAGGAAAAACUAUGGAGGUAUGUGGUCGGGCAGCCGUGAGAAAGUCGUCUCAAAUCUGCCCUAAAAGCCCCAUAUAUAUAGGAGGAGGGAGGGGGACCUUGCCUUGGGGUCCAAGGGAUCCCCAAGGGGUCGGCCGAGCCAGGGGGGAGGACUCUCCCCCCCCCAAACCGAGUCCUACUUGGUUUGGUGGGAGGGAGUCCUUCCCCCUUCCCACUUCUUCCUUUUUUUUUUCCUUUCCUUUGAUUUUUUCUCUCUUGGCGCAUAGGGGAUUGGUGGGCUGUCCCACCAGCCCACUAAGGGCUGGUGUGACCCCCCCAAAUGCCUAUGGGCUUCCCCGGAGUGGGUUGCCCCCCUCCGGUGAACUCCCAGAACCCAUUCAUCAUUCCCGGUACAUUCCCGGUAACUCCGAAAACCUUCCGGUAAUCAAAUGAGGUCAUCCUAUAUAUCAAUCUUCGUUUCCGGACCAUUCUGGAAACCCUCGUGACGUCCGUGAUCUCAUCCGGGACUCCGAACAACAUUCGGUAACCAACCAUAUAACUCAAAUACGCAUAAAACAACGUCGAGCCUUAAGUGUGCAUACCCUGCGGGUUCGAGAACUAUGUAGACAUGACCCGAGAGACUCCUCGGCCAAUAUCCAAUAGCGGGACCUGGAUGCCCAUAUUGGAUCCUACAUAUUCUACGAAGAUCUUAUCGUUUGAACCUCAGUGCCAAGGAUNUAUUGGAUCCUACAUAUUCUACGAAGAUCUUAUCGUUUGAACCUCAGUGCCAAGGAUUCGUAUAAUCCCGUAUGUCAUUCCCUUUGUCCUUCGGUAUGUUACUCGCCCGAGAUUCGAUCGUCAGUAUCCGUAUACCAAUUUCAAUCUCGUUUACCAGCCAGUCUCUUUACUCGUUCCGUAAUACAAGAUCUCGCAACUUACACUAAGUUACAUUGCUUGCAAGGCUUGUGUGUGAUGUUGUAUUACCGAGUGGGCCCCGAGNNNNNNNNNNNNNNNNNNNNNNNNNNNNNNNNNNNNNNNNNNNNNNNNNNNNNNNNNNNNNNNNNNNNNNNNNNNNNNNNNNNNNNNNNNNNNNNNNNNNGACCCGAGAGGGUUUUUUUAUUAAACUAAUCGGUUGGUUUAUGGAGGGAUUGAAAAAAAUCGGUGAAAGGGUGGAAAGGCUAGCGGUAGGAGGUCGAACCAUCGUACGAGGUUGAACCAUCACGACGGCAGAUCCCCCUUUAAUAGUAGAGAUGUGGGAGAAAGGGAUCACCUUCGAGGACUUUACUCCCGACAUGGACCUCCGGAGCAGCGCGCCGGCUGCCUCCGCCUGCGCCGGCGUAUUGGGCGCGGACG